UUUUUUUUGGGCGGCAGAUGGGAUGGUGUACGGGGGAUGGCUUGUGGAGGAAGACUCAAAACAGGGGAAGGAAGCGAAAGAAAGGCAGGAAAAAAAGUGUUGGAGGACGGGGGGGAUACCUUGCUCAAGGAGAAAACUUUCAGGUAAAAUUUUCUGUGAACUCCAUGUUUCUUCGUUAUGACAUUAUUGUGCUCACUUCUUUUGUUGAUUCCAGGAUGUGAUUUGUUGGUCGGUUUGGAUGUCAUGGAUUAUUGGUUUAUUUUUGCUGAAUUUAUCCGUGUGCGGAGGUGCUCUGUUUGACUCUAUUCUGGUUUCCCUAACUCCUUCCAUAAGCACCUGAAUGUAUGAAUUCAUCCCUGAGCCCGAUUAUAUAAAAAUCAUGCUUUGUUCCCUGUGGUUUCUUCCCUCUGUUUGUUGCUCUAUUCCUUGUUGGUUGUGGGAAUGAGGUCAUCGAUGGCCAGGUUAUCGAAACUGGGGAAGUGACUUCGUGAACGGAUCACCUUCUAUGCACCCAUCUCAUCUUUCUCAUUCACUCAUCACGGCUACACUUCCAUGAUUACACCAUCCUCAGUCAAAUACAUAUCUCCAUACCCAUUUUUCACCUUUCCCGUACCUUCCUCACCUAUCCAUCACACCCAUCGUCAUAUCUAGUUCAUCACUAACCCAUUUUCCUCUCGCCAGCCGUGGUUAUGCUUCGUCCAUCUCAUGCAUACGAUCCCUCACUACUAUUCCUAUAUUCUCAUCCUUCCAAACUCCUCAACACAACACCUAACCCUCAUACCUGCACCCCGCCAUGCCCGCGCCUAGCUCACCCCCAUAGGAACCUCAAAGCCGUUCGCCUACUUGCAUGGGAGCCAUGCAUGCCGCCCCUCCCCGCGUCUUCCUGCACCGGCUAUGUGCGCGCCUGCACCAGCCACCAAUGGCGGCAGCGCCUUCUGGACGUCGCCAGGCCGCUGCCACCUGCUCCGGCAACGCGCGCGCCUGCACCAGCAGCCAUGGCGGCGGCACCUUCUGAACGUCACCAGACCGCCGCCACGGCUCCCCUCUUCCCCGCGCCGCCGCUGCUCCUCUUUUCCCCGCGCCGCCAUGGCUCUCCUCUUCAUCGUGCCGCCGGUGGAGUCUUCGCGGGUGGAGAGGCAAUUGGUGAAGAGAAGCUUUGCCCAUGAUGGUUUUUGGGCUUGGGUUUGAACUGGGAACCCAGGCCCAAGCCUAUGAAGAGAAGCCCAGGUUUAUGAAGGCUUUAAUUGCCUUGGGCUUGCCCAUUAAUAUCAUAUGGAUUGGGCUUGAUGAGGAUGGGGCUUAUUGGUGGAUUUGGGCUUGACUAGGUUUGGGCUUUAUUAGGGUUGCUGAUGGACUGGGUUUGGGCUCUAUUAUUAUUAUUAAUUCAACAUUUAAAAUACUAUUAUUAUCAUUGUUAUUAAUCAAACUUUUAAAAAUCUUAUUAUUACUAUUAUUAUUAUUACGUUUAUCAUUAUUAUUAUUUCUAUUCAACAUUUAAAAUAUUAUUAUCAUUAUUAUUAUUAAUUCAACAUUUAAAAUAUUAUUAUUAUCACUAUCAUUAAUCCAAACUUUCAAAACCCUAUAAUUAUUAUUACUAACCCAAAUUUCAAAAUCUAUUUAUUUAUUAUUAUUUAUUAUUAUCAUUAAUCCAAAUUUCAAAAUCUAUUUAUUAUUGUUAUCCUUAUCAUUAAACCCAACCUCCAAAAUCUCAUCAUUAUCAUUAUUAUUAAUUCAAACUUUCAACACCUAUUUAUUAUUAUUUAUUAUUAUCAUCAGUCCAAACCUCCAAGAUCUCAUCAUUAUUAUUAUAAUUAACUCAACUUUCAAAAUUUAUUUAUUAUUAUUAUCAUCAUUAAUCCAAGCUUUCAAAAAUCUCAUCAUUAUUGUUAUUAUUACCUCAACUUUCAAAAUCUUAUUUUUAUUAUUAUCAUUGAUUAAAACUUUCAAAACCUUAUUAUUAUUAUUAAUUCAAACUUUCUAACUUCCAAUUUCCAAGCCCAAUUUAUAAAAAUUCAACCUUCAAAUGAUACUCCAAAAUUCCGAUCUUUAAAACUCAAUUUCGAUUUCCGAAAAUUCUCAUACUCACUUUAAUCUAUUUAAUUAUUGUUAUUUUGAUUAUUUAUUUCAAAACCCCAUUUCAAAUCAAAUUCUCUAAAACUUCUGAUUCUCGAAUUAAAUUCCUAAUCCCAAAAAUUCUCAUGUUCGCACUAAAUUAUUUGAUCAUUGAUAUUUUAUUUAUUUAUUUAUUUCAAAACUCCAUUUUAAAUCAAAUUCUCUAAAACUUCUGAUUUCCGAAUUAAACUCCUAAUCCCAAAAAUUCUCAUGUUCUCAUUAAUUUAUUUAAUCAUUAGUAUUUUAUCUCCAUUUUAAAUCAACUCUUUAAAACUUCAGAUUUACAAAUUAAAUUCCUAAUCUUGAAAAUUCCCAUAUUCACAUUAAUUUAAUCACUAAUAGUUUGUUUAUUUAUCUUAAAAUUCUAUUUUAAACAAUUCUUUAAACUUUCUAACUUCUAAAUCUAAUUUCCAAUUUCAAAAAUUCCAGCAUUCCAUUCAUUUAUUUAAUCAUUAUUUUCGUCCUUAUUAUUAUUAGUCCAUUUAUUUACUUCAAAAUUUCAUUUUUAAACAUUUUUUUGAAUCCCAAUUUUCGAACUUAAUUUCCAAUUUCUAAAAUUCUAAUUUCCUUCAAGUUUGACAUCCCAAAAUUCCAACUCUUAAAUUUAAUUCUCAAGACUCCAAUCUUCAAAUAAUUUUCGAGACUCCAAUUUCCAAAUAAAUUUCAAAAAUUCAAUUUUCUCUCUAACAGUUUUAAUUCUCUUCGGGUUUCAAAUAAUCUUCGAUUUCUCUUGAUUUUAUAUAAACAUGAAUGCUAUUUUCAUAAUUCCAGAAUAAUGGGAUUUGUGAUAUUAAUUCCUGCAAAAAUGAAUGGGCUUUGGUGGGGGCCCAACAUACGUGCUUUCCUCAUGAUUGAUUGAUUGUUUGAUUGAUUUAAUUGCCAUGCGUGCUUGAUUUUAUUCUGCUCUAUGGCAUGCCCGAAAUUAUCCUUUAAUUGUGCACUAACCUCACUUUUUGAUAAGCGCAUUGUGGCUCGUCACCCAGGUACGUAUCUAUCCCCAUUCUGAUAUUUCCAUAUACAUGUUUUGAUUCUCCUAUGUGCAUGAUAGUUCCGGGUAUUCAUUGUUUUUCCUCAUCAAUUGCCAUGAUUGCUUCAUUUUAUUAGUAGAGACCCAUUUAGGGACUUAGAGGGGUGCUACGGUUCAUACCGUACCUUCCUGAUAAGUAACCUGACCCUCGGACCCGAUCCGGUUUUUCACAGACCACCUUUUCCAAAGUAAGGAGUCACACUUAGGGUUUUUCUUUCUUAUUUUGUUUACCCUUUUAAAAAUAAAACAAAAAUAAGUGGCGACUCCAAGUCAUUUUCUUAAACAAUAAAAAAUCAAAUUUUCAAAUAAAAAUCGAGUCCGCCAUUGAGUGGGAAACGCAUGAGCCGAAAUGCGGGGUCCACAAAAGGUCAUUGAAAACCCAAUUUUAGAAAUAUAACCCUUCAUCAUUUUUUUUAUCUCAUGUUAACAAAAAUGCUCUUAUUAUUUUCUUAUAAAAAUAAUCAUUUCUUUUAAAACACACUAUAAAUACUCCAAAUAGUCAGGGGCUUUUAUGUAUAAAAAAAUGAAUUACUCUUUAAAUAAAAAUAUUGGAGGGAAUAAAUUAACAAAUAUGAGGUAUUUCAUCCCUUUUAUCUAAUUAUUUCUAUAAUUUUAAGAGUUUAAGAAGGCUAGACAAAGACUAAUUAUUAGGCACAUUUUGUAAAAACACUAGUUAUUAGACACAUUUUUCGCUCAAUCAAUCAAUCACGGAGUUGACUAGACACUAAUUAUUGGACUUUUUUUUUUUUUUUUUUAUAAUAAGUGAAAGACAAGAAUACAAUCGACUACUUUGGUCAAUUAAACAAUCAUUCAGUUGACUAUAAACUAAUCUUUAGAUUUUUUUUUUUAUAAUAAUUGGAAGACAUGAAUACAAUCGAUUACUUUGAUUAAUUAAUCAAUUAUUCAAGAAAUUUAGAAAAAUAUUGGAUAAAAGAUAUAUAUAACGGAUUAUUUCAAAUUGAAACUUAAGAUUAUAAAUCUUACUUUUAAUGUUGAAAAAUCAUGUAAAACACAAGUUUUUAUCUUUGAAGUAAUCAAUUUCAUUUUUCACAAAAAAUCAUUAAUAAUGCAUGAAUGAAUUCUUUUAAAAAAUCUUAUAAAAAAUGUGAUUAUUUUUCAUUCCCAAAUACUUAGGUUCUAAAGAUCAAUUUUAAAGCAUACUUAUCCUUACUAUGCCUUACAAGAAAAUCUAUUCUAUACAUAUGAUCUUGUAAAAAAAUGUAAAUAAAAAAAUAAAAUAAAAUAAAAAGAAAAAAAAAAGCCUCUCUUGUUUUCCUCUUUUGACUGGAUAUCAUUACCAUACCUAAAAUUAAAUAUUUAAUUAAAAUAUUAUUUUACUAUCAUCAAAAUUUAGAUUUAACCAAACUUUAGGCUAGUAUGUUGAUACGAUAAGUUAAUUUUCUAUCUUAAAGUUUUAAAAACUUUUGAAAUUAAACAUUUUCUUACACAUUUAUUUUUAAAGUUUUUUAGCAUAAAAUUUAAAAUUGAAGCUUUUAAGGGAAAACCUCAUAAUAUAAUAUACUAGAAAGACAUGGUCAAACAAAUAGAGACGAAGCCUCAAAAGGAAGGGGCAAUGGUUGAACCACUUGACAUUGUUGCCUACUACUAAGAUGGUGUAAGAAACAACAUAACCAAUGGAACAUAUGCACAUUAAACAUUGUACAAUUAUUAUAAAUGUCUUAUACAUUAUGUGUGAAAAUACGAAAUAAAUAAAUAAAAUUAUAUUCAACAUUUAUAUUUGUAUACAAACAAUAUUUUCGAUAGUUUGAUAUAAAAAAACAAAUAAAAAAAUGAAGAAAAGCAUAUAAAUAUAUUUUCAAUGGACAAACUUAUUCAAUUAGUAUAAAUAUCUUGUAUAUUUAAUACAAAUACCUUAUACUUUGUGAAAAUGUAAAAAUAUAGUAUUUGAUAUUUAUAAAUGUGGGUAAGUAAUUUUUCUAAUGGUUUGAUUUAAAAAAAAAAUAAUGAGAAUCAAGAAAUACAUGCAAAUAAAUUAGUGUGAAUGAUAAAGGAUGUUUUUUUACCAUAAAUUUUCAUGGACUUAGCAUCAAUUAUGCAUCUAUAGAUGUUAACCCAAUUAGCAUAAUGUGAAAACCCUUACACACAAUAUAUAAACCCUAUACUUGAAUUAGGAAGGACAAAAAAAAAAUAGUUAGAGCAUUUGGUACCAUCAAUGAUGACUUCACCUAAAGAAAAGUUAAUGAACAUUAUGUUCUCAAUGGAAGAGCAACCCUAGUAGGACAUAUGGAGUAAAUUGAUGCUCUUCUUUCGACAACGAAGUAGCUAAGUCAUGAAAAUGGGGUUUUGCUAACAACAUUAAAUGCAAGAAUUCCCCAAUAUACUGCAAUUCAUAUUCAAUUCAUAGACUUUCAACUAACUACUCUCAAUAACGAGCAAACCCAAGUCAAUACAUAAGAUUGAUUAUUACUUAUGAUAAUUGAAACCAUAAUUAAUAAGACAUAUAUAUAUAUAUAUAUAUAUAUAUAUAUAUAUAUAUAUAUAUAUAUAUAUAUAUAUAUAUAUAUAUAUAUAUAUAUAUAUAUAAAAAAAAUAGAGACAAUUGUGUUUUGGAUCCAGGUGGAUCAAAAAAUAAGGUUUGGUUUAUAGAACUUACAUAAUUGAUGGAAAUGAUAUAAGUUAUCAAAAGACCAAAAUACUCAUUGACCUUUCACGUAAGUUUUUUUGGUCUUUAUUGUACCACUAUUCAUGCAACCAUAAUAAUUUUAUUUUAACUAUUUGGAUUUUUCAUUGUUUUUUAAAACUUUUUUUUUUAUAAAUAAUUGAAAAUCAACAUUAUUUUCUAUUUUAAAUUAUAAAUAAAGAAAAAUUACGUUCAAAAACUAUUUUAAAAAAUACUUUCUAAAAAAAUGGUAAUAUGAUUUAUAUUUUUUACAUUUUCUAUUAGAAAAAAAUAUUUAAUUAAAAAUGAAAAAUAAUUUUUAAAAAUAAAAAUUGAAAACCUUGUUUAGUACUAUUUUUUUAUAUGAAAAUAAUAAAAAUAAUUAAAUUUCAUUAAUUGAUUAUCCAUUAAAUUUUAUAUGAAAAUUUUUUAUAAGAGUAAAAAGAUUCAAUAUCUUUAAAAAAAGAAAAAAAAAACAAAACAAAACAAUAAGUUAGAAAUGAGUAAUACUUAAUUGGGAAUAGAAAAGGGGAAAAAAUUGAAAUUUACACUCAUUAUAUGCCUAUGUAGGGAUUAAAGGUAUUUUAGGGAUUAAUGAAGGAUAAUAUCCUUUAACUUAAUUUUUAUAAUUUAUUUGGGUCUUGACCUUAAAUGUGCAUGAUAUAUGGAUCUUUGGUCAAUUUUUGGGCCCAUUCGGGCCCAAAAUACAAUUCUCCCUACAAAAAUAUUUAUUAAAAUAAAUUAAUUAAUAAAAGCCAUUUAAAGAGUUUCAUAACUUAGUAUCGAAGCUAUUGUAAGAAAAAAGUAUUAUAUAAUGUAGGGUUUAGGUUCAAAGUCUACCUAAGAUUAAAUUUAAGUCUCGAGACAAAUUCACAUUCAAAACUAGGUUUUUAAGUUUGAAAAAUAGAUCCCUUAAACAAAUUAAAUGGUAAAAAAUAAUUACAAAGAAAAUUUCUCUAGCUGGUUUCUUCAUCUUGAAAACUAACGGAAACAUAUAUUAAUAUUUGGUAUGAAAAUUCGUAACCUUAGAAACACAGCUUUGAGUCUUGCUGAGAAAAACAAAGCUUAUUUGCUCGUAGACCAUCGUAGUGGUCGUCAUACCGUGUGAGGACCGGGGAAGCAUCUUUGCUCGUAGACCGGCUUUUGUAGUCUUUCUUUAACAAUUACAAGUUGUCAGGAUUCCCUUCAUCCUCCCAAAUAAUAUUGUUUUUGGUCUUGUUCUGGUUGCAUCUCCGUGGAAGGAAAGAAGAUGAAUCAAGUUCCUUUGUAAGUAUCAAUGUCUCUGAUUCAUUUUUUGGUUCCUAGAAUCGAAUCCUCGCUCUGUUCUUGCUUAAUUUCUCCUUUUUCUGUUGGGUCUUUCACUGCAGGUUUAGCUCUGCACGGGAACUGGCAAAUUUGGUGCUGAGCUCCAAUCUAAUCGACUGUGCUUUCACCAAAAUUCUUGAACUUAAGAGAGGCCAAACAGCCUUGCCUGUUCAAUACAGACUUUAUCAACUGUCUUCCAAGUGCACAAUUGUAGCUUUUGUCUCUUCACCUGACUGCACUCAAUACCCUCUUCCUGGACAAGGAGAUUUAGAUCGGUCUCCUCUCUUUGACUUCCUCCGUACCGAAGAAUACCCGUCCGUCUCCAUUAACAGAGCAGCAUUAGCCCUCUAUACCCCUCUCCAUGAUCAUCUCUCUGGACUAACAGAUGAGGUCAAAAUCUGAUACUUGUUUGAAUUUUCGUUUCCUUUUCGUUAACAAUUGUGAGACACGAAACAGCUUGACCAUGAGAUCUCCCUCAUGGAGUCGAACUACCUGAAGGAUAAGACGUCACACAUAUCCAUUUUCAUGGCAUCGUCACAUGACCCAUUGAUCGGUUGUGAUUCAACUCUUAAUAGGAACACAGUAGAACUGGUGUUGGUAUAUCUGUCUUUAGAUAAGCUUGCAUAUAUCUUGUCACUGAAAAAGGAAUGUUCAGAAGUGAGAUUAGUGGCAUUAUUCUGACAUGGAUUUCAUAUGGUUACUUGUUUUGCAGUUGACUCAGAUUGAAGGUCAGUUAAUCAUCACUGGGCACUCCCUGGGAGGAUCCGUUGCUUCUCUCUUCACCUUACGCCUGCUAGAUGGCAAUUUAUUAAAACCCAAAUGCCGCCCCUUUUGUAUCACCUUUGGUUCACCCCUCAUAGGCGACUUUGGCCUCCAACACUCCAUAUGGAAUUCUUUCUUCCUGCAUGUAGUGUCUAACCAAGACCCAGUCCCCGGACUCUUCCUCCCAUCCGGCAGAUCUCCGCCCACAUCCUCCCAUUCACAAACUACCGGUUACAAGCCCUUUGGGACAUAUCUCUUGUGCUCUGAACUUGGUUGUGCUUGUUUUGACAACCCUGAUUUAAUUUUGGGAUUGCUUAAAGUCAUAUCAUCAGAGGUUGCCGGAGGAUUGCAGGAUGUUGACUAUGGGGAGAUUUUAAGAAACCUCAAGGAGAGGGCAAUCUGCAAGGGACUGCCGCAGGUGGGUGAACGGUUUGCAGAUCCAUUUUCAGCUGGGAUCAUCAUGGAACUUGAGACAAUUGGAUUUAAUCAAACAAAGGUAAACAGCUUUCUCCCAUCUAAUGAUGUUAUGAAACAUGGUUUACACUACACCAAAUACUGCAAUAACUGCCCUAUUCAGAUUUAUCUUCUUGUUCUUUGGGAUCUUCCAUAACUAGUCUCAUUUUUAAAAUUCAUGGCAGUUGCUGCAGCAUAACAUUGAUAUCAACGCUAUGAUAAGAACAAUGGAAGCGGAAACCAGAAGCCUAAUCCAGAAAAAUAAAGCUUCCGAUGCCAAGAAACUGAAUGACAUAAAAAGAGACAUGGCCCAUCUAGAAUGGUAUAAGAAGAAAUCGGAAAUGGGUUACUACGAUUGCUUCAAAAAUCAGGGGUCUAAAAGGGACAUCAACGUUGAACAAUUUAGGGGAAACCUCACAAUGUACUGGGAAGACAUGGUUGCACAAGUACAGAGGAAGCCCCAGAAGGAAGGAGCAACAUUUCGAACCCGUUGGUUCUAUGCAGGGACAGUUUAUAGGAGAAUGGUUGAACCACUGGACAUUGCUGCCUUCUACAGAGAGGGUGGAACAGACUACAUAAACAAUGGAAGAUCUCUUCAUUACAAGCUGUUGCAGCAAUGGUAUGAAGAAGAUGUGAAACCCCCCUCUAGAGAUAAGCUUGAUUCCAAGAAGCAAAAGGUGUCUGGUAUCCUAACUGAGGAUUCUUUGUUUUGGGCACAUGUGGAGGAGGCCAUCUUGUCAUGCGAAUUGCUCAAGAGUCAAAACUGUACUCUUGAGCAGGGAAAAUCAUCAUGGGAUAAUCUGGUUAAGUUCGAGGAGUAUGUAAUGGAACAUAUUAACAACUAUGCAGCGUCCCCUGAGAUUUUCUCGAGGGAAAGCAGCUUCAUGAAAUGGUGGGGACUGUAUGAGGGCUACAUAGAUACUUGCAGUAAUUCCCAUGGGUCGCCAUUGAUCAACUUCAUGAAGAAACGUAGCUAUAUGAAGUAUGGUUAGAGGGGCAAUCCAGUUUGUGUGUUGUGUUUGUUGUUUUGUGAGCGUUCAAUGGAUAAAACUAGAAAGAGUGACCUUUUUCCCUUUUUCUUGGUUGCUGCCCAUAUUCUCAGCACUAUUUUCUUCCUUCUUUUCCUCUGUUUUUUUGUUAAGAAAUGAAUAUUAUGAUGUUGCUGGGAUGCACUUUCAUUGUUGUUCUAUUACAUUGUGUUUUAUUUAUAUCCUAAACAAAUAAAUCAAAACAAGAAAAUCAAAUAAGACUUAAAGAGUCUUUUCCUUCAAAAAAAAAAAUGGGGAAAAAGAAAAACAUUUUUGUUUAGAUUCAACUCCACCAAAACUUGCAACAACUUCCCAUUGAAAAAUUCCUUUUAAGCUUCUGAAUGAUAUAAAACCAGAUAUGUUCCAGCUAGAAUGGUACAAGAAAGAAAUCAAAAGAUGAGUACAGUGGGUUAUUAUGACAGCUUUAGAAACCUGGGGUGUAAAAGAGACAUUAAAAUGGAACCGAUGGGAAGACAUGGUAGAACACGUAGAGAGGAAGCCUCACCAGGAAGGGGCAGCUUUGCAAACCCUCUGGCUCUGUACAGGAACGAAUUAUAGAAAGAUGGUUGAACCACUUGACAUUGUUCCCUACCACAGAGAGGGUGGAAGACACUACAUAACAUUACACGCUAUUGGAGCAAUGAUGCAAUGAAGAGGAGAAGGGGGCUUUGUCUUCUCAUGCAAAUUGCUCUCAGAGCUCAGAACCUACUCCUGAAGGGAAAGAAUCAUCAUUGAGUGAUCUGGUUAAGUUUGAGGAUUUAUUUAUAUAAUUGAACUGAUUGGAAGCUAUGCAGUGUCGGCCCCCGCCCGAGCAGCUUCAUGAAACGGUGGAAAGAGUUGGAAGAAGUCAUAGAUACUUGCUAUAGGAGCUUCAUGAAGUAUGGAGAGGUGUGGCAUAGAUACUUGCAGUCUCUGAAUUUCCCAAAUCCAAUUUCAGAUUGUGUAUUUAGAUUCGUGGAACUUGUUUUCUUGCUUUUUGUUAGGUACAAUUGAGAUGGGCUGAACCGAAAGGCCCGCCAGGAUGAACAAUAUAAUGGGCCUGAAUUUUAAACCAGCGGAUGGGCUUUGUACUGGAUUCAGCUGUCUGAGCCCAAUGAGUAUUGAAUGUAUUUCUGUAUAAAAUUAAAUUUUUAACAUUGAAAUAUAAGGACUUACUUAAAAACACAUUUGGUAACUUUUUUUUUUUUAUGGUUAAUAAUAGAUUUAAAAAAAAAUUAAAAAUAUAUAAUUUUUUAGGAUAAAUUUGAGGCAUGUUUAGGUAUUUUUCGUGGUAAAGAGUUUUGAGAAGCAAUGGGAAAUAUACAGAAUACUUUAAAAACUUUUGCAUAAGUAAGAUACUUACACGAGGCUUUCAUGAAAAAUAAAUUGAUAAAAACAAUUCUCAUAUUUAAAUUUCGAAACAUAAAACAACUCAGAACUGUUUUUAAAAAUUGUUCUUAAAAAUAGUUUUCUAUUAAGUCACAUUCAAGGAUGCUUUUAUCUUUUAUUUUUCUAUGUUUCAUCCUUGCAUAAAUGGAGUACAAAGACAUAAGUUAAUCUAAUUAACAAAUAUAGAUAAUCAUCCGAUAAAAGAGUAAAUUAGGUGAUGAUCUCUUUAUAUAUGCAAGUAAUGGAAUGAAUGUGAUGAAAAAUAAAAUAAAAAAGUAAGGGGAGAAAUGUUGUAAAUAAAGUGUUUUUAUUGUAGUUCAACGACCUAUCCACUUCCGCACCUUGACAUAUUUCACAAUUUUAAAAGUUUUCUUAAUCAUGAUUCUCUUUAUUAUUCUUUAAGUCCGGAUUUCUUAUGUUUCAAUAGACUUUUACAAUCACUAAGAUAGUGUUUGUUUUUUCACUUAAUUCUAAAUAUAACUUAAAACUAAAUAAUAUUUAAUAAUAUCAGGAUUAGGUUGUUUUUUUUAUAACAUUUUAUUUCUAUAUAAUAUUAAAAAGUAAAGAAAAAUCAAUAUAUUAUUUUUUUCAUUUAAAAAAAGUCAAAUAUUUUGACUUUUUUUUAAGCUAAAAAUUUAUAAUAAAAAAUAAAAAACAAACAAACAAACAAACAACUUAAAGUGUAAAAAUAGAUUGUUUUCAAUAAAAAUUUAAAAAAAAACAAACACCUUCUAAAUAAAAUUCCUUAACCACUCGUUCAAUAGCUCCUUUAAGCACAAAAUGUAUUGAAGUGCUCACAAUGAAAAGAUAAACAAGUUUUGAUUCAAUAUAAUUUUGGGUUAUCUAAUUAAAAGGGUCAUUGAAAACCCAAUUUUAGAAAUAUAACCCUUCAUCAUUUUUUUAUCUCGUGUUAACAAAAAUGCUCUUAUUAUUUUCUUAUAAAAAUAAUCAUUUCUUUUAAAACACACUAUAAAUACUCCAAAUAGCCAAGGGCUUUUAUGUAAAAAAAAAUGAAUUACUCUUCAAAUAAAAAUAUUGGAGGGAAUAAAUUCACAAAUAUGAGGUAUUUCAUCCCUUUUAAAUAAUUAUUUCUAUAAUUUUAAGAGUUUAAGAAGGCUAGACAAAGACUAAUUAUUAGGCACAUUUUGUAAAAACACUAGUUAUUAGACACAUUUUUUGCUCAAUCAAGCAAUCACACAGUUGACUAAACACUAAUUAUUGGACUUUUUUUUUUUAUAAUAAGUGGAAGACAAGAAUACAAUCGACUACUUUGGUCAAUUAAGCAAUCAUUCAGUUGACUAUAAACUAGUCUUUAGACAUUUUUUUUUAUAAUAAUUGGAAGACAUGAAUACAAUCGAUUACUUUGGUCAAUUAAUCAAUUAUUCAAGAAAUUUAGAAAAAUAUUGGAUAAAAGAUAUAUAUAACGGAUUAUUUCAAAUUGAAACUUAAGAUCAUAAAUCUUACUUUUAAUGUUGAAAAAUCAUGUAAAACACAAGUUUUUAUCUUUGAAGUAAUCAAUUUCAUUUUUCACAAAAAAUCAUUAAUAAUACAUGAAUGAAUUCUUUUAAAAAAAUCUUAUAAAAAAUGUGAUUAUUUUUCAUUCCCAAAUAUUUAGGUUCUAAAGGUCAAUUUUAAAGCAUACUUAUCCUUACUAUGCCUUACAAGAAAAUCUAUUCUAUACAUAUGAUCUUGUAAAAAACUGUAAAUAAAAAAGAAAAAAAGAAAAAAAACCUCUCUUGUUUUCCUCUUUUGAUUGGAUAUCAUUAUCAUACUUAAAAUUAAAUAUUUAAUCAAAAUAUUAUUUUACUAUCAUCAAAAUUUAGAUUUAACCAAACUUUAGGCUAGUAUGUUGAUACGACAAGUUAAUUUUCUAUCUUAAAGUUUUAAAAACUUUUGAAAUUAAACAUUUUCUUACACAUUUAUUUUUAAAGUUUUUAGCAUAAAAUUUAAAAUUGAAGCUUUUAAAGGAAAACCUCAUAAUAUAAUAUACUAGAAAGACAUGGUCAAACAAAUAGAGACGAAGCCUCAAAAGGAAGGGGCAAUGGUUGAACCACUUGACAUUGUUGCCUACUACUAAGAUGGUGUAAGAAACAACAUAACCAAUGGAACAUAUGCACAUUAAACAUUGUACAAUUAUUAUAAAUGUCUUAUACAUUAUGUGUGAAAAUACCAAAAAAAAAGAAAAAUUAUAUUCAACAUUUACAUUUGUAUACAAACAAUGUUUUCGACAAUUUGAUAUAAAAAACAAAUAAAAAAAAUAAAGAAAAACAUACAAAUAUAUUUACAAUGGACAAACUUAUUCAAUUAGUAUAAAUAUCUUGUAUAUUUAAUACAAAUACCUUAUACUUUGUGAAAAUGUAAAAAUAUAGUAUUUAAUAUUUAUACAUGUGGGUAAGUAAUUUUUCUAAUGGUUUGAUUUAAAAAACAAAUAAUGAGAAUCAAGAAAAACAUGCAAAUAAAUUAGUGUGAAUGAUAAAGGGUGUUUUUUACCAUAAAUUUUCAUGGACUUAGCAUCAAUUAUGCAUCUAUAGAUGUUAACCCAAUUAGCAUAAUGUGAAAACCCUUGCACACAAUAUAUAAACCCUAUACUUGAAUUAGGAAGGACAAAAAAAAAAUAGUUAGAGCAAUUGGUACCAUCAAUGAUGACUUCACCUAAAGAAAGGUUAAUGAACAUUAUGUUCUCAACGGAGAGCAACUCUGGUAGAACAUAUGGAGUAAAUCAAUGCCCUUCUUUUAACGAUGAAGUAGCUAAGUCAUGAAAACAAGGUUUUGCUAACAACAUUAAAGGCAAGAAUUCCCCCAAUAUACUCCAAUUCAUAUUCAAUUCACAGACCUUCAACUAACUACUCUCAGUAACGAGCAAACCCAAGUCAAUACAUAAGAUUGAUUAUUACUUAUGAUAAUUGAAACCCUAAUUAAAUAAAUAAGGACACAAAUAUAUAUAUAUAUAUAUAGGGACAGUUGUGUUUUGGACCUAGGUGAACCCAAAAAUUAAGGUUUGGUUUAUAUAACUUACAUAAUUGAUGAAAAUGAUAUAAGAUAUCAAAAUAUCAAAAUACUCAUUGACCUUUCACAUAAGCUUUUUUGGUAUUUAUUGCACUACUAUUCAUUCAACCAUAAUAAUUCUAUUUUAACUAUUUGGAUUUUUCAUUGUUUUUUAAAACUUUUUAUUUAUAAAUAAUUGAAAAUCAACAUUAUUUUCUAUUUUAAAUUAUAAAUAAAGAAAAAUUACGUUCGAAAACUAUUUUAAAAAAUACUUUCUAAAAAAAAUGGUAAUAUGAUUUAUAUUUUUUAUAUUUUCUUUUAGAAAAAAAUAUUUAAUUAAAAAAUGAAAAAUAUUUUUAAAAAUAAAAAUUGGAAACCUUGUUUAGUACUAUUUUUUUUAUAUAAAAAUAAUAAAAAUAAUUAAAUUUCAUUUAUUGAUUAUCCAUUAAAUUUUAUAUGAAAAUUUUGUAUAAGAGUAAAAAGAUUCAAUAUCUUUAAAAAAAGAAAAAAAAAACAAAACAAAAAGUUAGAAAUGAGUAAUACUUAAUUGGGAAUAGAAAAUGGGAAAAAUUUUGAAAUUUACACUCACUAUAUGUCUACGUAGGGAUUAAGGGUAUUUUAGGGAUUAAUGAAGGAUAAUAUCUUUUAACUUAAUUUUUACAUUUUAUUUGGGUCUUGGGAUUAAAUGUACAUUAUAUAUGGAUCUUUGGUUAAUUUUUGGACCCAUCCGGACCCAAAACACAAUUCUCCAUAAAAAAAUAUUUAUUAAAAUAAAUAAAUUAAUAAAAACCAUUUAGAGAGUUUCAUAACUUAGGUGGUGUUUGUUUUUUUGGCUUUUUGGUGAAAACCAUUUAGUUUUAGAAUUUAGGUUGUUUGUUUUUUUACUUUUUCAUGACUUAUUAUAAACUUUUUACAAAAUAGAAAAAGCCAAAAUAUAUGACUUUUUCUAAAUAGAAAAAUAACACAAUGGUUUUUUUUACUUUUUAAUACUUAAUAGAAAUAAAAUAUUAUAAAAACAAACAACCUAAUAUUUAAUACUAUUAAGUAUUAAAGUUCUAUUUAGAAUUAAGUAAAAAAACAAACACCACCUAAGUGUCGAAGCUAUUGUAAGAAAAAAGUAUUAUAUAAUGUAGGGUUUAGGUUCAAAGUCUACCUAAGAUUAAAUUUAAGUCUUAAGACAAAUUCACAUUCAAAACUAGGUUUUUAAGUUAGAAAAAUAGACCCCUUAAACCAAUUAAAUGGUAAAAAAAAAUUACAAAGAAAAUUUCUCUAGCUGGUUUCUUCAUCUUGAAAACUAACGGAAACAUAUAUCAAUAUUUGGUAUGAAAAUUCGUAACCUUAGAAACACAGCUUUGAGUCUUGCUGAGAAAAACAAAGCUUAUUUGCUCGUAGACCAUCGUAGUGGUCGUCAUACCGUGUGAGGACCGGGGAAGCAUCUUUGCUCGUAGACCGGCUUUUGUAGUCUUUCUUUAACAAUUGCAAGUUGUCAGGAUUCCCUUCAUCCUCCUAUAUAAUAUUGUUUUUGGUCUUGUUCUGGUUGUAUCUCCGUGGAAGGAAGGAAGAUGAAUCAAGUUCCUUUGUAUGUAUCAAUGUCUCUGAUUCAUUUUUUGGUUCCUAGAAUCGAAUCCUCGCUCUGUUCUUGCUUAAUUUCUCCUUUUUCUGUUGGGUCUUUCACUGCAGGUUUAGCUCUGCACGGGAACUGGCAAAUUUGGUGCUGGCCUCCAAUCUAAUCGACUGUGCUUUCACCAAAAUUCUUGAACUUAAGAGAGGCCAAACAGCCUUGCCUGUUCAAUACAGACUUUAUCAACUGUCUUCCAAGUGCACAAUUGUAGCUUUUGUCUCUUCACCUGACUGCACUCAAUACCCUCUUCCUGGACAAGGAGAUUUAGAUCGGUCUCCUCUCUUUGACUUCCUCCGUACCGAAGAAUACCCGUCCGUCUCCAUUAACAGAGCAGCAUUAGACCUCUUUACCCCUCUCCAUGAUCAUCUCUCUGGACUAACAGAUGAGGUCAAAAUCUGAUACUUGUUUGAAUUUUCGUUUCCUUUUCGUUAACAAUUGUGAGACACGAAACAGCUUGACCAUGAGAUCUCCCUCAUGGAGUCGAACUACCUGAAGGAUAAGACGUCACACAUAUCCAUUUUCAUGGCAUCGUCACAUGACCCAUUGAUCGGUUGUGAUUCAACUCUUAAUAGGAAUACAGUAGAACCGGUGUUGGUAUCUGUCUUUAGAUCAGCUUGCAUAUAUCUUGUCACUGAAAAAGGAAUGUUCAGAAGUGAGAUUAGUGGCAUUAUUCUGACAUGGAUUUCAUAUGGUUACUUGUUUUGCAGUUGACUCGGAUUGAAGGUCAAUUAAUCAUCACUGGGCACUCCCUGGGAGGAUCCGUUGCUUCUCUCUUCACCUUACGCCUGCUAGACGGCAAUUUAUUAAAGCCCAAAUGCCAUCCCUUUUGUAUCACCUUUGGUUCACCCCUCAUAGGCGACUUUGGCCUCCAAGACUCCAAAUGGAAUUCUUUCUUCCUGCAUGUAGUGUCUAACCAAGACCCAGUCCCCGGACUCUUCCUCCCAUCCGGCAGAUCUCCGCCCACAUCCUCCCAUUCACAAACUACCGGUUACAAGCCCUUUGGGACAUAUCUCUUGUGCUCUGAACUUGGUUGUGCUUGUUUUGACAACCCUGAUUUAAUUUUGAGAUUGCUGAAAGUCAUAUCAUCAGAGGUUGCCGGAGGAUUGCAGGAUGUUGAUUAUGGGGAGAUUUUAAGAAACCUCAAGGAGAGGGCAAUCUGCAAGGGACUGCCGCAGGUGGGUGAACGGUUUGCAGAUCCAUUUUCAGCUGGGAUCAUCAUGGAACUUGAGACAAUUGGAUUUAAUCAAACAAAGGUAAACAGCUUUCUCCCAUCUAAUGAUGUUAUGAAACAUGGUUUACACUUCACCAUAUACUGCAAUAACUGCCCUAUUCAGAUUUAUCUUCUUGUUCUUUGGGAUCUUCCAUAACUCGUCUCAUUUUUAAAAUUCAUGCCAGCUGCUGCAGCAUAACAUUGAUAUCGACGCUAUGAUAAGAACAAUGGAAGAGGAAACCAGAAGCCUAAUCCAGAAAAAUAAAGCUUCCGAUGCCAAGAAACUGAAUGACAUAAAAAGAGACAUGGCCCAUCUAGAAUGGUAUAAGAAGAAAUCGGAAAUGGGUUACUACGAUUGCUUCAAAAACCAGGGGUCUAAAAGGGACAUCCACGUUGAACAGUUUAGGGUAAACCUCACAAAAUACUGGAAAGACAUGGUUGCACAAGUACAGAGGAAGCCCCAGAAGGAAGGAGCAACAUUUCGAACCCGUUGGCUCUAUGCAGGGACAGUUUAUAGGAGAAUGGUUGAACCACUGGACAUUGCUGCCUUCUACGGAGAGGGUAAAACAGACUACAUAAACAAGAAAAGAUCUCUUCAUUACCAGCUGUUGCAGCAAUGGUAUGAGGAAGAUGUGAAACCCCCCUCUAGAGAUAAGCUUGAUUCCAAGAAGCAAAAGGUGUCUGGUAUCCUAACUGAGGAUUCUUUGUUUUGGGCAUAUGUGGAGGAGGCCAUCUUGUCAUGCGAAUUGCUCAAGAGUCAAAACUGUACUCUUGAGCAGGGAAAAUCAUCAUGGGAUAAUCUGGUUAAGUUCGAGGAGUAUGUAAUGGAACAGAUUAACAACUAUGCAGCGUCCCCUGAGAUUUUCUCGAGGGAAAGCAGCUUCAUGAAAUGGUGGGGACUGUAUGAGGGCUACAUAGAUACUUGCAGUAAUUCCCAUGGGUCGCCAUUGAUCAACUUCAUGAAGGAUCGUAGGUAUAUACAGUAUGGACGUUAGAGGGGCAAUCCAGUUUGUGUGUUGUGUUUGUUGUUUUGUGAGCGUUCAAUGGAUAAAACUAGAAAGAGUGUGACCUUUUUCCCUUUUUCUUGGUUGCUGCCCAUAUUCUCAGCACUAUUUUCUUCCUUCUUUUCCUCAGUUUUUUUUGUUAAGAAAUGAAUAUUAUGAUGUUGCUGGGAUGCACUUUCAUUGUUGUUCUAUUAAAUUGUGUUUUAUUUAUAUCCUAAACAAAUAAAUGUAAACAAGAAAAUCAAAUAAGACUUCAAAGAGUCUUUUCCUUCAAAAAAAAAAAAAAUGGGGAAAAAGAAAAACAUUUUUGUUUAGAUUCAACUCCACCAAAACUUGCAACAACUUCCCAUUGAAAAAUUCCUUUUAAGCUCUGAAUGACAUAAAACUAGAUAUGUUCCAGCUAGAAUGGUACAAGAAAGAAAUCAACAGAUGAGAACAAUGGGUUAUUAUGACAGCUUCAGAAACCUGGGGUGUAAAAGAGACAUUAAAAUGGAACCGAUGGGAAGACAUGGUAAAACACGUAGAGAGGAAGCCUCACCAGGAAGGGGCAGCUUUGCAAACCCUCUGGCUCUGUACAGGAACGAAUUAUAGAAAGAUUGUUGAACCACUUGACAUUGCUGCCUACCACAGAGAGGGUGGAAGACACUACAUAACCAAUGGAGGAUCUAAACAUUACACGCUAUUGGAGCAAUGAUGCAAUGAAGAGGAGAAGGGGGCUUUGUCUUCUCAUGCAAAUUGCUCUCAGAGCUCAGAACCUACUCCUGAAGGGAAAGAAUCAUCAUGGAGUGAUCUGGUUAAGUUUGAGGAUUUAUUUAUAUAAUUGAACUGAUUGGAAGCUAUGCAGUGUCGGCCCCCACCCGAGCAGCUUCAUGAAACGGUGGAAAGAGUUGGAAGAAGUCAUAGAUACUUGCUAUAGGAGCUUCAUGAAGUAUGGAGAGGUAUGGCAUAGAUACUUGCAGUGUCUGAAUUUCCCAAAUCCAAUUUCAGAUUGUGUACUUAGAUUCGUGGAACUUGUUUUCUUGCUUUUUGUUAGGUACAAUUGAGAUGGGCUGAACCGCAAGGCCCGCCAGGAUGAACAAUAUAAUGGGCCUGAAUUUUAAACCAGUGGAUGGGCUUUGGACUGGAUUCAGCUGUCUGAGCCCAAUGAGUAUUGAAUGUGUUUCUGUAUAAAAUUAAAUUUUUAACAUUGAAAUAUAAGGACUUACUUAAAAACACAUUUGGUAACUUUUUUUUUUUGGUUAAUAAUAGAUUGUUUAAAAAAAAAUUAAAAAAAUAUUAUUUUUUAGAAUAAAUUUGAGGCAUGUUUAGGUAUUUUUCGUGGUAAAGAGUUUAGAAGCAAUGAGAAUAUAUAUAGAAUACUUUAAAACUUUUGCAUAAUACUUACUUACAUGAUGCUUUCAUAAAAAAUAAAUCAAUAAAAACAAUUUUCAUAGUUGAAUUUCAAAACAUAAAACAACUCAGAAUUGUUUUUAAGAAUUGUUCUUAGAAAUAGUUUUCUAUUAAGUCACAUUCAAGGAAUCGUUUUCAUAUAUGCAAGUAAUGGAAUGAAUGUGAUGAAAAAUAAAAAAUAAAAAGUAAGGGGAAAGAUAUUGUAAAUAAAGUGUUUUUAUCGUGGUUCAAUGACCUAUCCACUUCCACACCUUGAUGUAUUUCACAAUUUUAAAAGUUUUCUUAAUCAUGAUUCUCCUUAUUAUUCUUUAUGUCGAGAUUUUUUAAGUUUUAAUAGACUUUUUCAAUCACUAAGGUGGUGUUUGCUUUUUCACUUAAUUUUAAAUAUAACUUAAAACUAAAUAAUACUUAAUAGUAUCAACUAUUAAGUUGUUUGUUUCUAUAACAGUUUAUUUCUAUAUAAUAUUAAAAAGUAAAGAAAAAUCAACAUGCUAUUUUUGUCAUUUAAAAAAAGUCAAAUAUUUUGAAUUUUUUUAUUUAGCUAAAAAUUUAUAAUAAAUCCUAAAAAGAUAAAUAAUAAUAAUAAUAAAUAAAUAAAUAAAUAAAAACAAAUAAACAACUUAAAGUCUAAAAACAAAUUGUUGUCAACAAAAAAUUAAAAAAACAAGCACUUUCUAAAUAAGAUUCCUUAACCACUCGUACAAUAGCUCCUUUAAGCACAAGAUGUAAUGAAUGAAUACAACUUUGGUGAAAUAACUAAAGUGCUCACAAUGAGAAAAUAAACAAGUUUGGAUUCAAUAUAAUUUUUGGCUAUCUAAUUAAAAGGGUAAUUGAAAACCCAAUUUUGGAAAUAUAACCCUUCAUCAUUUUUUUUACCUCAUUUUAAUAAAAAUACUCUUAUUAUUUUCUUAUAAAAAUAAUCAUUUCUUUUAAAACAUACUAUAAAUACUUCAAAUAAUCAAGAGCAUUUAUGUAAAAAAUGAAUUACUCUUCAAAUAAAAAUAUUGGAGGGAAUAAAUUCACAAAUAUAUGGGGUAUUUCAUCCCUUCUAACUAAUUAUUUCUAUAAUUUAAAGAGUUUAAGAAGGCAAGACAACUAAAUAAAUGAAGUUUUCAAGUUAUUGUCUCUAUCAUAAAUAAAGUCCAAUAAUCACAUUUGUAUCGUUUUGUACAAAGACUAAUUAUUAGGCAUAUUUUGUAAAAACACUAAUUAUUAGACACAUUUUUCGCUCAAUCAAACAAUCACACAGUUGACUAGAAACUAGUUGUUGGACAUUUUUUUUUAUAAUCAUUGGAAGACAAGAAUACAAUCGACUACUUUAAUCAAUUAAGCAAUCAUACAGUCGACUAUAAACUAGUCAUUGGACAUUUUUUUUAAAAUCAUUGGAAGACAGGAAUACAAUCGAUCACUUUGGUCAAUUAAUCAAUUAUUCAAGAAAUUUAGAAAAAUAUUGGAUAAACGACAUAUAGUGGAUUAUUUCAAAUUGAAACUUAAGAUCGGAAAUCUUGCUUUUAAAUCAUGUAAAACACAAGUUUUUAUCUUUGAAGUAAUCAAUCUCAUUUUUAACAAAAAAAAUCAUUAAUAAUAUAUGAAUGAAUUCUUUUAAAAAAUGUGAUUAUUUUUCAUUCCCAAAUACUUAUGUUCUAAAGGUCAAUUUUAAAGCAUACUUGUCCCUACUAUGCCUUAUAAGAGAAUAUAUUCUAUACAUGUGAUAUUGUAAAAAAGUUUAAAAAAUAAAUAAAUAAAUAAAUAAAACCUCUUUUGUUUUCCUCUUUUGACUAUAUAUCAUCAUUAUCAUACUUAAAAUUAAAUAUUCAAUCAAAAUAUUAUUUUAUUAUCAUCAAAAUUUAAAUUUAACCAAACUUUAGGCUAGUACGUUGAUAUGACAAGUUAAUUUUCUAUCUUAAAGUUUUAAAAACUUUGAAAUUAAACAUUUUCUUACACAUUUAUUUUUAAAGUUUUUAGCAUAAAAUUUAAAAUAAAAAAAUACAUUAUUUUCAAAUUCAUUUUGAAAAUUUUUAUUUUAAAAAUAAAAAAUUUAAUAAAAAAAAAUGCAGGCCAGUUUUUUUUCCCUCUUUUUACCCUACAGUUUAAUUAAUUUGAGGUUAGAGGAAAGCUAUGAAAGAAAGAAAAUAAAAAUAAAAAAGAAAAUGAAAGAAUGAAAAAUAUAGCAAAAAAAUUUAAAAGAAAAAAUCUACAAGCUAAUAUUUUUUUCUUAUUUGAGAUGAUAUUUUAUAUUUAGCUUUACUACAAGCUAAAGUCACCAAAACCAUGAUCACAAAAGGGUAAUAUUGAUAUAAUGAAAGAUUAUGAAAAAAAAAAAGUUCUAUAACAAGCAAUAUUUGCUUGACUUUCAUUUAAAAAAAUUUAAAAUCAAAAUACUUUUAGUAAAAUUAUCUAAACAUGUCAAACCUAAACGAAGUGAGUGUUUCAUAUUAAGUUAUUUUUUAAGCCAAAAAACUUAUUUUAAUAGAAUUAAUCACAUAGAUAAAAAGUUGCUAUCGUGGUGGGAAAAAGGUUUUCUUUCAUUUAUUAAAUGCUAAUAAAUUUUGAAUUAUUGAAUUCAUAAAUCUUUUAAUAAAGGUCUCAUUACGUUACAUCUAAGGUUUUAUUGUGUUGGCAUCUUAUGUCUGGUGUUAUUAUUUAUUUUAUAUCCAUUUUAUUGUUUUAUAGUUUAAUCUCAUUUGAUUGUACUAUCAUUAAAUAAUCUAAAUUUGAUUACUAUGAGAUUUUAAAGUUAGAUAUGAUGUCAAUCAUGGUAUAGAUUUUGAAAGAUAUUAUCAAAUCAAAUAUUUAGGGUAUUUGAUAAAUCAAUUUAAUAACUUAAAAUGAUUUAAUAAUUUAUUUAUAUUAAUUUAAAGUUUUCAAAUAAAUUUUUUUAUAAAUAUAAUUUUAGAUUUAAGUAAAGAUAAGUUAAUUUUAAAUUUUAAAUUAAAAUAAUUAACUCAUUCUUAGUUAAAUCUAAAACUAUAUUUAAAAUAAAUAAAAACAGAGAUGGAUAUAAAUUAAGUCAAUAACUCACUUUAAAUCAUUGACUUGAUUUACCAAACACUUCAAAAUCUCACAUUUACAAGACCUGAAGUGGAUCCUUUUCAAUGAAUAUUGUCAUAUUUGUUGGAGUGUACCCAAAAUCCAAAUAUUUCAGUCUUUUUUCUCUUUAUUUCAUUUUAAAAUAAAAUAAUAAUCAUUAUACCAUGAACUUUCAAAAGUACCAUCAUUAUGUCAGUGGAGAUGGGAAGCUGAAAGCCUGAAACAAAUCAAUGGUGAAAGACACCAGUUUUCCAACAACAAAAAAGGCCAAAUCUGAUUCCAACUCAUCCAGUCUAUCUGUGCACUUUGACAACUGAAACACUUUAUUCCAAUUCACAUUUCACUAGAAAUUCCAUUCCAUAUCUACUCAAUAUUCACUGAAAAGGGUUUACAAUGAAAUAACAACUNNNNNNNNNNNNNNNNNNNNNNNNNNNNNNNNNNNNNNNNNNNNNNNNNNNNNNNNNNNNNNNNNNNNNNNNNNNNNNNNNNNNNNNNNNNNNNNNNNNNGAAAUUCAAAGAGCAACACUACUAACAUCUCAGAAUCCUCUGUGCAAUCACUACCAAAACUUUUCCUUACACAUGAAUGAAGAAAUGAGGCUGUACAUAUAUAAUCUGCGGAUGACAACAUGCAAGAAUGCAAAUGGGGGAAAUGGGGAAACAAAUAUUCUAGACAGGGUCUUAUUGGAAAGAAUCUAGGAUUGGGGCUUGAAGAAAAAUGGAAGAAUGGCAUCAUAAGACUGCAGUCUGAGUGGGAGAAGAAUUCAGGCGGGAGAGACAGGUUGAAGAUGAGUUCAGUAAUGAGCUCUCAAGGCUUGGGCAUGGUUCAGGGAACACCCAUUGGGAGAACCCAGAGACAUUUGAGCAAACCCAAGAGAUGGAGGCAGGAGGAGUAGUUGAUAGGGAGAUGUUGGAUAGACAAAUGGAAGUGAACGGGGAUUCUUGAAUACCAGUGAAGCUUCCAGCAAUGGUUAUGUUUGUGCCGAUCACAUUCUGCAAGGUGAUGUGAUCCAAGACAGGGAGUGCAUUGGGGUCAAAAUGGUCAUCUGGGUGGGAGCCGAUUUGGCCUGUUGCACUGAAGGCUGUGUGGAUGUUUUCCAUUGCGACAUCUGAUAUGAUGAUUUCUUGGAUAUAACCACCUCUUCCCUUGGUAGUUCUGAACUCGAUGCCACUGAAUGAGUUGUAUAGGUGGACCUGCUCCACACAGACGUUAGAAAUGCCACCAGACAUCUCACUACCGAAGGCCAGGGAAGAGCCAGAUGAUGAUUGAAGGUUGACCCGUCUGAUGUGUACAUUUGUGGUGGGUCUACCAUAGGCAAUGCCAUAUUCAUCCCAGCCACUCUUGAGUGCAAUGGCAUCAUGGCCCAUGGCAAUGCUGCAAUCCUCUAUGCAGGUGCUAUCUGAAGAAUCUGAAAUCAAAACAUUAUACAAAGUUGACUUAGCAAAAUUCUUUUCAUGACUGAACCCUUCCUGAACAUAGAAAAAAGUAAAAUUAUAAUCUACAUGAACCACUAAACAAACCACAGGUAACAACCUGUUUCCUCUUUCAACAAAUAUCCCUAUCAAUAUACUUAAACAUUCAUAUAUACAUUAAAAACUAAUAUAGAUUUUCAGAAAUAUCUUACCAAUCGGAAGAGGGUUCAAACAAUAAACAAAGACAAAACAAUUCUAGCACUGAUAAUUAAAGAUCCAAAAGUUUAUCAAAUUUAGUAAAAAGAAACAGACCAAAACCUACAAAAUUAUUGUUAAACAAGUGAAAAACAAAACAUUAAAUUAUCUAUUAUCACUCUUGGAGACUGACGGUAUGAAAAUAAGUUCAAAUGCCUCAGAUUCCUUCACCUCCAUUCUUAAUUCCUAGCCUCUUCAACAACCAAGUUUCAAGUACCUUAAUUCGUCCAUCUCCAGAACUGAUAGCAAAGAAGUCCAAAGAAGGGGUAAAGGUUGUUAAUAAAUCUCGGAUAUUCGAUGGGCCCAUGGUCCUGUAUCAAAAGAAUAAAUUAAAUGUCAAAGUCCUUACAAUUCAUAAUUUACAAAUUAGAAAUGAAAUUGUAGAUAUACGAGAGGUGUUCCAAGACGUUAUUAAGGGAGAUUGACUGUAACUGCCUAUUGAUAAAGAAACAAAACAACUUACCAUGACGAAAAUAAUAUAGCUCAAAAUCACAGUAGGAAGUGCCAAAAAAAGGUGGCAAUCCUCUGAAACAUAUGAUGAAGAAGAUAUAAAAAAAUAUAUAAGAAAGACACAGCAUUAAAAAUUUUAAAGCUCGCCAAUAUGUUGCCAAUCCAGUAAAUCAUUUCAUUAACUAAACUGAUUCAGCACUUAAGCUCUAAUAACCUUUGUUUGGUAGCCGAGAAAAUGGAAGAGAAGGAGGAAAAAAAUGCAAUAUCAUGCUAUCUGUUACUGAAUCAAGCCAAACAAUUCAGUUAAACUUGGCUGAACAGCAGUUUUAGCUUUCUUAGCCUGAAUAACGAAAAUUCAAGAUUUUAUCUAUUUUACUUUCCUGCAUUUUCUCAGCUUCCCGGUUUGUCUACGGACAAACUAGAGGAAAAUAAAAUAAAAAAUAAAAAGAAAACUAAAACCAGGUAUUUUCAGUUGUUCUCCAUAAAAAGCAAACGAAAAAUCAACAGAACUAAAUCCUGAGCAAUUACCGAUCCGGCUCAGGCUGAAUUUCCGGUUCUCUUAGAAAAUAUUAUAUAGCAGUUCCAAUAAGGGACCGUCGUGCAUCAUUAUACUAAUUUUCCUCCGUUUUUCGGCAACCAAACAGAGGAUAAACUUGUUUUGAGGAGAAGAUGCACGCUUACCUGUUUUGGCGACCGGCGGCGGCGAGAUGCAAAGAAAAAGAGAGAACGAGAGAGGGGUUUUACCUGUUUUGGCGACCGGCAGCGGCUAGAAGCAAAGAAAAAGAGAGAACGAGAGUGGGGUUUUAGGAACGCAGCCGCGUAGCUGCUCAUUUCGCAAGGGCCCCUUUUUUAUUUCUUUUUCUUUUUUUUCAAUUUUAGGAUUUUUCAUUUUAGCCUCCAUAUUUGAGUGUAUUUAGAUUUGUGGAACCUGUUUUGGGGCUUUUUGUUAGGUACAAUUGAGAUGGGCUGAACCGAAAAGCCCGCCAGGAUGAACAACAUUAAUGGGCCUGAAUUUUAAACCUAUGAAUGGGCUUUAUACUGGAUUCAGCUGUCUGAGCCCAAUGAGUAUUGAAUGUGUUUCUGUAUAAAAUUAAACUUUUAACAUUGAAAUAUGAGGACUUACUUAAAAACACAUUUGGUAACUUUUUUUUUUGGUUAAUAAUGGACUUUAAGAAAAAAUUAAAAAUAUAUUAUUUUUUAGAAUAAAUUUGAGGCAUGUUUAGGUAUUUUUUGUGGUAAAGAGUUUUGAGAAGCAAUAGAAAAUAUAUAGAAUACUUUAAAAACUUUUGCAUAAGAUACUUACUUACACGAGGCUUUCAUGAAAAAUAAAUCGAUAAAAACAAUUUUCAUAUUUGAAUUGCGAAACAUAAAACAACUCAAAACUGUUUUUAAGCAUUGUUCUUAAAAAUAGUUUUCUAUUAAGUCACAAUCAAGGAAGCUUUUAUCUUUUAUUUUUCUAUGUUUCAUCCUUGCAUAAAGGGAGUAUAAAGACUAAAGUUAAUCUAAUUAACAAAUUUGGAUAAUCAUCCAAUAAAUGAGUAAAUUAGGUGAUGAUCUCUUUAUAUAUGCAAGUAAUGGAAUGAAUGUGAUGAAAAAUAGAAAAAAGUAAGGGGAGAAAUGUUGUAAAUAAAGUGUUUUUAUUGUGGUUCAAUGACCAAUCCACUUCCACACCUUGACAUAUUUCACAAUUUUAAAAGUUUUCUUAAUCAUGAUUCUCCUUAUUAUUUUUUAAGUCCGGAUUUCUUAAGUUUCAAUAGACUUUUACAAUCACUAAGAUGGUGUUUAUUUUUUCACUUAAUUCUAAAUAUAAGUUAAAACUAAAUAAUAUUUAAUAAUAUCAAGUAUUAGGUUGUUUUUUUUUAUAACAUUUUAUUUUUAUAUAAUAUUAAAAAGUAAAGAAAAAUCAAUAUGUUAUUUUUUUCAUUUAAAAAAAGACAAAUAUUUUGCCUUUUUUUUAAGCUAAAAAUUUAUAAUAAAAAAAAAAAAGCAAACAAUUUAAAGUGUAAAACAGAUUGUUUUCAACAAAAAUUUAAAAAAACAAACACUUUCUAAAUAAGAUUCCUUAGCCACUUGUACAAUGGCUUCUUUAAGCACAAAAUGUAAUAAAUGAAUACAACUCUGGUGAAAUGACUAAAGUGCUCACAAUGAGAAGAUAAACAAGUUUGGAUUCAAUAUAAUUUUGGGUUAUCUAAUUAAAAUGGUCAUUGAAAACCCAAUUUUGGAAAUAUAACCCUUCGUCAUUUUUUUACCUCAUUUUAACAAAAAAAAGCUCUUAUUAUUUUCCUAUAAAAAUAAUCAUUCCUUUUAAAACACACUAUAAAUACUUCAAAUAGCCCAAGGUUUUUAUGUAAAAAAAAAUGAAUUACUCUUCAAAUAAAAAUAUUGGAGGGAAUAAAUUCACAAAUAUGGGUAUUUCAUCUCUUUUAACUAAUUAUUUCUAUAAUUUUAAGAGUUUAAGAAGGCUAGACAAAGACUAAUUAUUGGACUUUUUUUUUUAUAAUCAAUGGAAGACAGGAAUACAAUCGACUACUUUGAUCAAUUAAGCAAUUAUACAGUUGACAAUAAACUAGUCGUUAGACAUUUUUUUUUAUAAUAAUUGGAAGACAUGAAUACAAUCGAUUACUUUGGUCAAUUAAUCAAUUAUUUAAGAAAUUUAAAAAAAUAUUGGAUAAAAGAUAUAUAUAUAUAUAACGAAUUAUUUCAAAUUGAAACUUAAGAUCAGAAAUCGUGCUUUUAAUGUUGAAAAAUCAUGUAAAACACAAGUUUUUAUCUUUGAAGUAAUCAAUUCAUUUUUCACAAAAAAUCAUUAAUAAUACAUUAAUGAAUUCUUUUAAAAAAUCUUAUAAAAAAUGUGAUUAUUUUUCAUUCCCAAAUACUUAGGUUCUAAAGGUCAAUUUUAAAGCAUACUUAUCCUUACUAUGCCUUACAAGAAAAUCUAUUCUAUACAUAUGAUUUUGUAAAAAAGUGUAAAUAAAAAAAAUAAAAAAUAAAAAAUAAAAAAUAAAAAAAACCUCUCUUGUUUUCCUCUUUUGAUUGGAUAUCAUUAUUAUACUUAAAAUUAAAUAUUUAAUCAAAAUAUUAUUUUACUAUCAUCAAAAUUUAGAUUUAACCAAACUUUAGGCUAGUAUGUUGAUAUGACAAGUUAAUUUUCUAUCUUAAAGUUUUAAAAACUUUUGAAAUUAAACAUUUUCUUACACAUUUAUUUUUAAAGUUUUUAGCAUAAAAUUUAAAAUUAAAGCUUUUAAGGAAAAACCUCAUAAUACAAUAUACUAGAAAGACAUGGUCAAACAGAUAGAGAGGAAGCCUCGAAAGGAAGGGGCAAUGGUUGAACCACUUGACAUUGUUGCCUACUACUAAGAUGGUGUAAGAAACAACAUAACCAAUGGAACAUAUGCACAUUAAACAUUGUAUAAUUAUUAUAAAUGUCUUAUACAUUAUAUGUGAAAAUACGAAAAAAAAAAUAAAAUAAAAUUAUAUUCAACAUUUAUAUUUGUAUACAAACAAUAUUUUCAAUACUUUGAUAUAAAAAACAAAUUAAAAAAAUGAAGAAAAACAUAUAAAUAUAUUUACAAUGGACAAACUUAUUCAAUUAGUAUAAAUAUCUUGUAUAUUUAAUACAAAUACCUUAUACUUUGUGAAAAUGUAAAAAUAUAGUAUUUGAUAUUGAUACAUGUGGGUAAGUAAUUUUUCUAAUGGUUUGAUUUAAAAAACAAAUAAUGAGAAUCAAGAAAAACAUGCAAAUAAAUUAGUGUGAAUGAUAAAGGGUGUUUUUUACCAUAAAUUUUUAUGGACUUAGCAUCAAUUAUGCAUCUAUAGAUGUUAACCCAAUUAGCAUAAUGUGAAAACCCUUACACACAAUAUAUAAACCCUAUACUUGAAUUAGGAAGGACAAAAAAAAAAAUAGUUAGAGCAUUUGGUACCAUCAAUGAUGACUUCACCUAAAGAAAAGUUAAUGAACAUUAUGUUCUCAAUGGAAGAGCAACCCUAGUAGGACAUAUGGAGUAAAUUGAUGCUCUUCUUUCGACAACGAAGUAGCUAAGUCAUGAAAAUGGGGUUUUGCUAACAACAUUAAAUGCAAGAAUUCCCCAAUAUACUGCAAUUCAUAUUCAAUUCAUAGACUUUCAACUAACUACUCUCAAUAACGAGCAAACCCAAGUCAAUACAUAAGAUUGAUUAUUACUUAUGAUAAUUGAAACCCUAAUUAAUAAAUAAGGACACAAAUAUAUGUAUAUAUAUAUAUAUAUAUAUAUAUAUAUAUAUAAAAUAGAGACAAUUGUGUUUUGGACCCAGGUGGAUCAAAAAUUAAGGUUUGGUUCAUAAAACUUACAUAAUUGAUGGAAAUGAUAUAAGUUAUCAAAAUACCAAAAUACUCAUUGAUCUUUCACGUAAGCUUUUUUUGUCUUUAUUGCACCACUAUUCAUGCAACCAUAAUAAUUCUAUUUUAACUAUUUGGAUUUUUCAUUAUUUUUUAAAACUUUUUUUUUAUAAAUAAUUGAAAAUCAACAUUAUUUUCUAUUUUAAAUUAUAAAUAAAGAAAAAUUACGUUCAAAAACUAUUUUAAAAAAUAAUUUCUAAAAAAAUGGUAAUAUGAUUUAUAUUUUUUAUAUUUUCUUUUAGAAAAAAAUAUUUAAUUAAAAAAUGAAAAAUAUUUUUCAAAAUAAAAAUUGAAAACCUUGUUUAGUACUAUUUUUUUAUAUGAAAAUAAUAAAAAUAAUUAAUUUAUUAUCCAUUCAAUUUUAUAUGAAAAUUUUUUAUAAGAGUAAAAAGAUUCAAUAUCUUUAAUAAAAGAAAAAAAAAACAAAACAAAAAGUUAGAAAUAAGUAAUACUUAAUUAGGAAUAGAAAAAGGGAAAAAUUUUGAAAUUUACACUCACUAUAUGCCUAUGUAGGGAUUAAAGGUAUUUUAUGAAUUAAUGAAGGAUAAUAUUUUUUAACUUAAUUUUUACAAUUUAUUUGGGUCUUGGGCUUAAAUGUGAAUGAUAUAUGGAUCUUUAGUCAAUUUUUGGGCCCAUCCGGGCCCAAAACACAAUUCUCCCUAAAAAACUAUUUAUUAAAAUCAAUAAACUAAUAAAAACCAUUUAGAGAGUUUCAUAACUUAGUGUCGAAGCUAUUGUAAGAAAUAAGUAUUAUAUAAUGUAGAGUUUAGGUUUAAAGUCUACCUAAGAUUAAAUUUAAGUCUUAAGACAAAUUCACAUUCAAAACUAGGUUUUUAAGUUAGAAAAAUAGAUCUCUUAAACCAAUUAAAUGGUAAAAAAAAUUACAAAGAAAAUUUCUCUUGCUGGUUUCUUCAUCUUGAAAACUAACGGAAACAUAUAUCAAUAUUUGGUAUGAAAAUUCGUAACCUUAGAAACACAGCUUUGGGUCUUGCUGAGAAAAACAAAGCUUAUUUGCUCGUAGACCAUCCUGGUGGUCAUCAUACCGUGUGAGAACCGGGGAAGCAUCUUUUCUCGUAGACCGGCUUUUGUAGUCUUUCUUUAACAAUUACAAGUUGUCAGGAUUCCCUUCAUCCUCCUAUAUAAUAUUGUUUUUGGUCUUGUUCUGGUUGUAUCUCCGUGGAAGAAAGGAAGAUGAAUCAAGUUCCUUUGUAAGUAUCAAUGUCUCUGAUUCAUUUUUUGGUUCCUAGAAUCGAAUCCUCGCUUUGUUCUUGCUUAAUUUCUCCUUUUUCUGUUGGGUCUUUCACUGCAGGUUUAGCUCUGCACGGGAACUGGCAAAUUUGGUGCUGAGCUCCAAUCUAAUCGACUGUGCUUUGACCAAAAUUCUUGAACUUAACAGAGACCAAACAGCCUUGCCUGUUCAAUACAGACUUUUUCAACUGUCUUCCAAGUGCACAAUUGUAGCUUUUGUCUCUUCACCUGACUGCACUCAAUACCCUCUUCCUGGACAAGGAGAUUUAGAUCGGUCUCCUCUCUUUGACUUCCUCCGUACCGAAGAAUACCCGUCCGUCUCCAUUAACAGAGCAGCAUUAACCCUCUAUACCCCUCUCCAUGAUCAUCUCUCUGGACUAACAGAUGAGGUCAAAAUCUGAUACUUGUUUGAAUUUUCGUUUCCUUUUCGUUAACAAUUGUGAGACACGAAACAGCUUGACCAUGAGAUCUCCCUCAUGGAGUCGAACUACCUGAAGGAUAAGACGUCACACAUAUCCAUUUUCAUGGCAUCGUCACAUGACCCAUUGAUCGGUUGUGAUUCAACUCUUAACAGGAAUACAGUAGAACUGGUGUUGGUAUCUGUCUUUAGAUAAGCUUGCAUAUAUCUUGUCACUGAAAAAGGAAUGUUCAGAAGUGAGAUUAGUGGCAUUAUUCUGACAUGGAUUUCAUAUGGUUACUUGUUUUGCAGUUGACUCAGAUUGAAGGUCAGUUAAUCAUCACUGGGUACUCCCUGGGAGGAUCCGUUGCUUCUCUCUUCACCUUACGCCUGCUAGAUGGCAAUUUAUUAAAGCCCAAAUGCCGCCCCUUUUGUAUCACCUUUGGUUCACCCCUCAUAGGCGACUUUGGCCUCCAACACUCCAUAUGGAAUUCUUUCUUCCUGCAUGUAGUGUCUAACCAAGACCCAGUCCCCGGACUCUUCCUCCCAUCCGGCAGAUCUCCGCCCACAUCCUCCCAUUCACAAACUACCGGUUACAAGCCCUUCGGGACAUAUCUCUUGUGCUCUGAACUUGGUUGUGCUUGUUUUGACAACCCUGAUUUAAUUUUGGGAUUGCUUAAAGUCAUAUCAUCAGAGGUUGCCGGAGGAUUGCAGGAUGUUGAUUAUGGGGAGAUUUUAAGAAACCUCAAGGAGAGGGCAAUCUGCAAGGGACUGCCGCAGGUGGGUGAACGGUUUGCAGAUCCAUUUUCAGCUGGGAUCGUCAUGGAACUUGAGACAAUUGGAUUUAAUCAAACAAAGGUAAACAGCUUUCUCCCAUCUAAUGAUGUUAUGAAACAUGGUUUACACUUCACCAAAUACUGCAAUAACUGCCCUAUUCAGAUUUAUCUUCUUGUUCUUUGGGAUCUUCCAUAACUCGUCUCAUUUUUAAAAUUCAUGGCAGCUGCUGCAGCAUAACAUUGAUAUCAACGCUAUGAUAAGAACAAUGGAAGCUGAAACCAGAAGCCUAAUCCAGAAAAAUAAAGCUUCCGAUGCCAAGAAACUGAAUGACAUAAAAAGAGACAUGGCCCAUCUAGAAUGGUAUAAGAAGAAAUCGGAAAUGGGUUACUACGAUUGCUUCAAAAAUCAGGGGUCUAAAAGGGACAUCAACGUUGAACAGUUUAGGGGAAACCUCACAAUGUACUGGGAAGACAUGGUUGCACAAGUACAGAGGAAGCCCCAGAAGGAAGGAGCAACAUUUCGAACCCGUUGGCUCUAUGCAGGGACAGUUUAUAGGAGAAUGGUUGAACCACUGGACAUUGCUGCCUUCUACAGAGAGGGUGGAACAGACUACAUAAACAAUGGAAGAUCUCUUCAUUACAAGCUGUUGCAGCAAUGGUAUGAAGAAGAUGUGAAACCCCCCUCUAGAGAUAAGCUUGAUUCCAAGAAGCAAAAGGUGUCUGGUAUCCUAACUGAGGAUUCUUUGUUUUGGGCACAUGUGGAGGAGGCCAUCUUGUCAUGCGAAUUGCUCAAGAGUAAAAACUGUACUCUUGAGCAGGGAAAAUCAUCAUGGGAUAAUCUGGUUAAGUUCGAGGAGUAUGUAAUGGAACAGAUUAACAACUAUGCAGCGUCCCCUGAGAUUUUCUCGAGGGAAAGCAGCUUCAUGAAAUGGUGGGGACUGUAUGAGGGCUACAUAGAUACUUGCAGUAAUUCCCAUGGGUCGCCAUUGAUCAACUUCAUGAAGAAACGUAGCUAUAUGAAGUAUGGUUAGAGGGGCAAUCCAGUUUGUGUGUUGUGUUUGUUGUUUUGUGAGCGUUCAAUGGAUAAAACUAGAAAGAGUGUGACCUUUUUCCCUUUUUCUUGGUUGCUGCCCAUAUUCUCAGCACUAUUUUCUUCCUUCUUUUCCUCAGUUUUUUUUGUUAAGAAAUGAAUAUUAUGAUGUUGCUGGGAUGCACUUUCAUUGUUGUUCUAUUAAAUUGUGUUUUAUUUAUAUCCUAAACAAAUAAAUGUAAACAAGAAAAUCAAAUAAGACUUCAAAGAGUCUUUUCCUUCAAAAAAAAAAAAAGGGGGGGAAGGGGAAGAAAAACAUGUUUGUUUAGAUUCAACUCCACCAAAACUCGCAACAACUUCCCAUUGAAAAUUUCCUUUUAAGCUUCUGACUGACAUAAAACUAGAUAUGUUCCAGCUAGAACGGUACAAGAAAGAAAUCAAAAGAUGAGCACAAUGGGUUAUUAUGACAGCUUCAGAAACCUGGGGUGUAAAAGAGACAUUAAAAUGGAACCGAUGGGAAGACAUGGUAGAACACGUAGAGAGGAAGCCUCACCAGGAAGGGGCAGCUUUGCAAAUCCUCUGGCUCUGUACAGGAACGAAUUAUAGAAAGAUGGUUGAACCACUUGACAUUGCUGCCUACCACAGAGAGGGUGGAAGACACUACAUAACCAAUGGAGGAUCUAAACAUUACACGCUAUUGGAGCAAUGAUGCAAUGAAGAGGAGAAGGGGGCUUUGUCUUCUCAUGCAAAUUGCUCUCAGAGCUCAGAACCUACUCCUGAAGGGAAAGAAUCAUCAUGGAGUGAUCUGGUUAAGUUUGAGGAUUUAUUUAUAUAAUUGAACUGAUUGGAAGCUAUGCAGUGUCGGCCCCCACCCGAACAGCUUCAUGAAACGGUGGAAAGAGUUGGAAGAAGUCAUAGAUACUUGCUAUAGGAGCUUCAUGAAGUAUGGAGAGGUAUGGCAUAGAUACUUGCAGUGUCUGAAUUUCCCAAAUCCAAUUUCAGAUUGUGUAUUUAGAUUCGUGGAACUUGUUCUCUUGCUUUUUGUUAGGUACAAUUGAGAUGGGCUGAACCGCAAGGCCCGGCAGGAUGAACAAUAUAAUGGGCCUGAAUUUUAAACCAGUGGAUGGGCUUUGGACUGGAUUCAGCUGUCUGAGCCCAAUGAGUAUUGAAUGUGUUUCUGUAUAAAAUUAAAUUUUUAACAUUGAAAUAUAAGGACUUACUUAAAAACACAUUUGGUAACUUUUUUUUUGGUUAAUAAUAGAUUGUUUAAAAAAAAUAUUAUUUUUUAGAAUAAAUUUGAGGCAGGUUUAGGUAUUUUUGGUGGUAAAGAGUUUUGAGAAGCAAUGAGAAUAUAUAUAGAAUACUUUAAAACUUUUGCAUAAUACUUAAUUACAUGAUGCUUUCAUAAAAAAUAAAUCAAUAAAAACAAUUUUCAUAGUUGAAUUUCAAAACAUAAAACAACUCAGAAUUGUUUUUAAGAAUUGUUCUUAGAAAUAGUUUUCUAUUAAGUCACAUUCAAGGAAUCGUUUCCAUAUAUGCAAGUAAUGGAAUGAAUGUGAUGAAAAAUAAAAAAAAGUAAGGGGAAAGAUAUUGUAAAUAAAGCGUUUUUAUCGUGGUUCAACGACCUAUCCACUUCCACAACUUGAUGUAUUUCACAAUUUUAAAAGUUUUCUUAAUCAUGAUUCUCCUUAUUAUUCUUUAUGUCGAGAUUUUUUAAGUUUUAAUAGACUUUUUCAAUCACUAAGGUGGUAUUUGCUUUUUCACUUAAUUUUAAAUAUAACUUAAAACUAAAUAAUACUUAAUAGUAUCGAGUAUUAAGUUGUUUGUUUCUAUAACAGUUUAUUUCUAUAUAAUAUUAAAAAGUAAAGAAAAAUCAACAUGCUAUUUUUGUCAUUUAAAAAAAGUCAAAUAUUUUGAAUUUUUUUAUUUAGCUAAAAAUUUAUAAUAAAUCCUAAAAAGAUAAAUAAUAAUAAUAAUAAAUAAAUAAAUAAAUAAAUAAAAACAAAUAAACAACUUAAAGUCUAAAAACAAAUUAUUUUCAACAAAAAAUUAAAAAAAAACAAACACUUUCUAAAUAAGAUUCCUUAACCACUCGUACAAUAGCUCCUUUAAGCACAAGAUGUAAUGAAUGAAUACAACUCUGGUGAAAUAACUUCACAAUGAGAAAAUAAACAAGUUUGGAUUCAAUAUAAUUUUUGGCUAUCUAAUUAAAAGGGUAAUUGAAAAUCCAAUUUUGGAAAUAUAACCCUUCAUCAUUUUUUUUACCUCAUUUUAACAAAAAUACUCUUAUUAUUUUCUUAUAAAAAUAAUCAUUUCUUUUAAAACAUACUAUAAAUACUUCAAAUAAUCAAGAGCAUUUAUGUAAAAAAUGAAUUACUCUUCAAAUAAAAAUAUUAGAGGGAAUAAAUUCACAAAUAUAGGGGGUAUUUCAUCCCUUCUAACUAAUUAUUUCUAUAAUUUAAAGAGUUUAAGAAGGCAAGACAACUAAAUAAAUGAAGUUUUCAAGUUAUUGUCUCUAUCAUAAAUAAAGUCCAAUAAUCACAUUUGUAUCGUUUUGUACAAAGACUAAUUAUUAGGCAUAUUUUGUAAAAACACUAAUUAUUAGACACAUUUUUCGCUCAAUCAAACAAUCACACAGUUGACUAGAAACUAGUUGUUGGACAUUUUUUUUUAUAAUCAUUGGAAGACAGGAAUACAAUCGACUACUUUGAUCAAUUAAGCAAUCAUACAGUCGACUAUAAACUAGUCAUUGGACAUUUUUUUAAAAAUCAUUGGAAGACAGGAAUACAAUCGAUCACUUUGGUCAAUUAAUCAAUUAUUCAAGAAAUUUAGAAAAAUAUUGGAUAAACGACAUAUAGUGGAUUAUUUCAAAUUGAAACUUAAGAUUGGAAAUCUUGCUUUUAAAUCAUGUAAAACACAAGUUUUUAUCUUUGAAGUAAUCAAUCUCAUUUUUAACAAAAAAACAUUAAUAAUAUAUGAAUGAAUUCUUUUAAAAAAUGUGAUUAUUUUUCAUUCCCAAAUACUUAUGUUCUAAAGGUCAAUUUUAAAGCAUACUUGUCCCUACUAUGCCUUAUAAGAGAAUAUAUUCUAUACAUGUGAUAUUGUAAAAAAGUUUAAAAAAUAAAUAAAUAAAUAAAUAAAACCUCUUUUGUUUUCCUCUUUUGACUAUAUAUCAUCAUUAUCAUACUUAAAAUUAAAUAUUCAAUCAAAAUAUUAUUUUAUUAUCAUCAAAAUUUAAAUUUAACCAAACUUUAGGCUAGUACGUUGAUAUGACAAGUUAAUUUUCUAUCUUAAAGUUUUAAAAACUUUGAAAUUAAACAUUUUCUUACACAUUUAUUUUUAAAGUUUUUAGCAUAAAAUUUAAAAUAAAAAAAUACAUUAUUUUCAAAUUCAUUUUGAAAAUUUUUAUUUUAAAAAUAAAAAAUUUAAUAAAAAAAAAAAGGCAGGCCAGUUUUUUUCCCUCUUUUUACCCUACAGUUUAAUUAAUUUGAGGUUAGAGGAAAGCUAUAAAAGAAAGAAAAUAAAAAUAAAAAAGAAAAUGAAAGAAUGAAAAAUAUAGCAAAAAAAUUUAAAAGAAAAAAUCUACAAGCUAAUAUUUUUUUCUUAUUUGAGAUGAUAUUUUAUAUUUAGCUUUACUAUAAGCUAAAGUUACCAAAACCAUGAUCACAAAAGGGUAAUAUUGAUGUAAUGAAAGAUUAUGAAAAAAAAAAAAAGUUCUAUAACAAGCAAUAUUUGCUUGACUUUCAUUUAAAAAAAUUUUAAAAUCAAAAUACUUUUAGUAAAAUUAUCUAAACAUGUCAAACCUAAACGAAGUGAGUGUUUCAUAUUAAGUUAUUUUUUAAGCCAAAAAACUUAUUUUAAUAGAAUUAAUCACAUAGAUAAAAAGUUGCUAUCGUGGUGGGAAAAAGGUUUUCUUUCAUUUAUUAAAUGCUAAUAAAUUUUAAAUUAUUGAAUUCAUAAAUCUUUUAAUAAAGGUCUCGUUACGUUACAUCUAAGGUUUUAUUGUGUUGACAUCUUAUGUCUGGUGUUAUUAUUUAUUUUAUAUCCAUUUUAUUGUUUUAUAGUUUAAUCUCAUUGAUUGUACUAUCAUAAAAUAAUCUAAAUUUGAUUACUAUGAGAUUUUAAAGUUAGAUAUGAUGUCAAUCAUGGUAUAGAUUUUGAAAGAUAUUAUCAAAUCAAAUAUUUAGGGUAUUUGAUAAAUCAAUUUAAUAACUUAAAAUGAUUUAAUAAUUUAAUUUAUAUUAAUUUAAAGUUUUCAAAUAAAUUUUUUUAUAAAUAUAAUUUUAGAUUUAAGUAAAGAUAAGUUAAUUUUAAAUAUUAAAUUAAAAUAAUUAACUCAUUCUUAGUUAAAUCUAAAACUAUAUUUAAAAUAAAUAAAAACAGAGAUGGAUAUAAAUUAAGUCAAUAACUCACUUUAAAUCAUUGACUUGAUUUACCAAACACUUCAAAAUCUCACAUUUACAAGACCUGAAGUGGAUCCUUUUCAAUGAAUAUUGUCAUAUUUGUUGGAGUGUACCCAAAAUCCAAAUAUUUCAGUCUUUUUUCUCUUUAUUUCAUUUUAAAAUAAAAUAAUAAUCAUUAUACCAUGAACUUUCAAAAGUACCAUCAUUAUGUCAGUGGAGAUGGGAAGCUGAAAGCCUGAAACAAAUCAAUGGUGAAAGACACCAGUUUUCCAACAACAAAAAAGGCCAAAUCUGAUUCCAACUCAUCCAGUCUAUCUGUGCACUUUGACAACUGAAACACUUUAUUCCAAUUCACAUUUCACUAGAAAUUCCAUUCCAUAUCUACUCAAUAUUCACUGAAAAGGGUUUACAAUGAAAUAACAACUCAGCAAAAUGUAAAUAUAGAAAUAAAGAAAUUCAAAGAGCAACACUACUAACAUCUCAGAAUCCUCUGUGCAAUCACUACCAAAACUUUUCCUUACACAUGAAUGAAGAAAUGAGGCUGUACAUAUAUAAUCUGCGGAUGACAACAUGCAAGAAUGCAAAUGGGGGAAAUGGGGAAACAAAUAUUCUAGACAGGGUCUUAUUGGAAAGAAUCUAGGAUUGGGGCUUGAAGAAAAAUGGAAGAAUGGCAUCAUAAGACUGCAGUCUGAGUGGGAGAAGAAUUCAGGCGGGAGAGACAGGUUGAAGAUGAGUUCAGUAAUGAGCUCUCAAGGCUUGGGCAUGGUUCAGGGAACACCCAUUGGGAGAACCCAGAGACAUUUGAGCAAACCCAAGAGAUGGAGGCAGGAGGAGUAGUUGAUAGGGAGAUGUUGGAUAGACAAAUGGAAGUGAAUGGGGAUUCUUGAAUACCAGUGAAGCUUCCAGCAAUGGUUAUGUUUGUGCCGAUCACAUUCUGCAAGGUGAUGUGAUCCAAGACUGGGAGUGCAUUGGGGUCAAAAUGGUCAUCUGGGUGGGAGCCGAUUUGGCCUGUUGCACUAAAGGCUGUGUGGAUGUUUUCCAUUGCGACAUCUGAUAUGAUGAUUUCUUGGAUAUAACCACCUCUUCCCUUGGUAGUUCUGAACUCGAUGCCACUGAAUGAGUUGUAUAGGUGGACCUGCUCCACACAGACGUUAGAAAUGCCACCAGACAUCUCACUACCAAAGGCCAGGGAAGAGCCAGAUGAUGAUUGAAGGUUGACCCGUCUGAUGUGUACAUUUGUGGUGGGUCUACCAUAGGCAAUGCCAUAUUCAUCCCAGCCACUCUUGAGUGCAAUGGCAUCAUGGCCCAUGGCGAUGCUGCAAUCCUCUAUGCAGGUGCUAUCUGAAGAAUCUGAAAUCAAAACAUUAUACAAAGAUGAGUUAGCAAAAUUCUUUUCAUGACAUGAACCCUUCCUUCCCUGAAAGCCAACCAAAUUCUUCACAUGGCAUGAACCCUUCCCUGAAAGCCAACCAAAUUUUUUUCAUGGCAUGAACCCUUCCCCUGAGAGCCAACCAAAUUAUUUUCAUGGCAUGAACCCUUCCCUGAGAGCCAACCAUCCUGCCAUUGGGACCUCCCACGAGGUUUGAAUCCCUAGCCCCUGAUAGAGGCUUCUACACCAGCCAGUGAACCGAGAGGUUGUUGCUCAUGGUGGGGUUUCUCAUCUCAACACAAAAGUAUUCUCAAAAUGUGUAAAAGGAUAAAUUCAUAAAUCAAUGCAAAGGAUUUAUAAACUGAUCAGGGAAAUGACAGUAACAGGCUCUUAAAUUCAACCUAGAGAGGAAGAAGUCCUUAACAAAAUUGAGAUAUUAUACACUAACAUGCAAACCAUAGGGUGUAUGUGUAUAGAUUUGGAAAGCUACAUGGCCUGGGGCUAAAUCUGCCUAUCCUUUUCCAUCGCAUGAGCUACUAUGUUCCCACUGCUUACUGUUCAAAAUUUGUACCUUAUAAUCAAAAAAUGGUGAUAUGGACUAGAAAUUAUAUUACAAAUAUAGGGAAAAUAAACCAUAUAGAAAGGUUUUGGAUGGGUAUCCUUCUCCUUUUUCCAUUGUUGGAGCAAGAAACAUGCACAUGAGCAUGUGUUUCUUCCCCAUUUUUGUCUGGUUAAAAACAACAAAAUUAGUAACAAGCAUACUACAUAAAUGCCAAAACCCUCAGGUUUACUUAAAAUUGUAGCCCAUGUUUCUGAGAAUUUCUAGCAACAACCAACAAGGCAAGUAGGCUUCUCUGCUCUCUUAAAAAUUUCCCGCAAAUGAUCAAAACCAGACAAAUUUAAUUAAACACUGUUUUGCAUUGAGCACAAGAAAAAAAAGUGCUAAAAGCAGGAUUCAAAAAGUCAGCUUGGAGCCAUGCUUAAAUGAGAAGAUAUCAGGUUUCUAUUAACAUAAACUGCAAAUGCCUCAAAACAAUUAUGUUGCAGCUCAAUGUAGGUUUAUGCAAGAGUGAACAUCACGAACCUGGGACUAUACCAACAGUGUAAGGAGAUUCAGGUGGAGCAUAAACCGAUAUGUUUUGAACUCUUACAUUACUGCAUCCAAAUAUAUACAUAUGAAUUAAAGUCCUACUGCUAGUAUCAUUAAUUAAAAUUCAAAGAAGGGGCAUAGCAAUCACAGAAGGUACCUGCAAUAGACCGGAUGGAUGUUGUAUGCAGGGGCAUUCAGGAAAGUAAGAUUAGAAACUACAACAUUAGUGGAUGCCAGAAACUCCACAAGAUGAGGGCGACUGUAGUUCAAGGAAUGAGAGGUGAACCAAUCCCACCAAACUGAGCCCUGGCCAUUGAUGGUUCCAUUAUCACCUAGGGCAGUUAAUGAAUGUAAGAAUGGUCAUAUGGAAGACUCGGGCCUAGCAUGCCUACAAGGACAACAGGAAUUGAAACAAACAAAAGACAUUCAGAUGUACACUUACCUGUUAUCACCACAUCGCGCAGCAUAUACCCGUUUAUCAAGCUUCUAUAUCUUCCUCCAGGAAGUUCGAUCCCUCGACCAUAUGAAGGAAGGGGUUCUAUGACUUCCCAAUGUGAUGGAUCCUGAGCAAAGACUCAUAAAUCCUUAGAAGACAAUGGUAAAAAACUUAGAAACAAGAGGAAAACAAAAUAAAACAUGGGAUUUUAAGCUAAGAGUGGAUCAAUACCUGAGACCCAAGAAUGACAGCACCUCUUUCCAAGAAGAGUGUGAGGUGGCUCGUGAGAUUGAAACUUCCAGUAAGCCACUUCCCUGGUGGCACAUAAAGCUGAGCGCCACCCUUAUCAGCAAAAGAUUUGAGAUAAAAUAUGGCAUUCUGGAAGGCAAUGGUGUUCAAUGUUUUCCCAUCCCCGACUGCGCCAAACUCCAAGAUAGAUACACUGUGUGGUCUGGGAUCCAAUGUCAAACUAUUUGUGCACUGUCCACCCCUUUCUUGUCCAUUACUUUCAACAGCAUUGCUCAAUACCAGAAUCACAAGCAAUGGCAACUAAGAGGAAAAUAGAAGGGAAACCGCAACAUAAUUAUCGCUUCUCAAUGCCUUAAACAUUCAUAAAAAAACUAAAAAACAUAUACAAAAGAUUCUUAAAUCAACACAAAAUCAGAAAAUGAACAAUUUCACAGAAAAGAGAUAGGACUACUUGGGAAAAAACCAACACCCGACAAUGGAGUCGAAGAACCAGAAAAAAAAAAAGAGAGAGAGAGAGAGAGAGAGAGAGAGAAAUAUACGAGAGUACUAAUGUGGAUUUCUAGAAGCAAAAUUUUGAAAAAUCAUCAGAUACCCCGAUAAUGAUAGAAAACUCAGAAGCGAAACAGAAAAUAGUAGAUUCAGGAUUAGCAAAAAUUUGCUGCUACUGAAAUUCCUCAAUGCCAAAUAGAGGACCUGCAAGUUGCUAAACUGUAAGAGAACAAGAAUCAUAUGAGGAGCUAAAGUAGAUAAAGAAGGGAAAUCCCUAGUUGAAUACUGAAGUCAACAGGCAGUAUCACACUAUGAAAAAACAAUCGAACAUGUGAGAUGCUGUUUGGGAAUUGAUCUUGGAAUUCUAGGGGAAAGAAGAGAUGAUUCAGUCAAACUAAAAAUAAAAAAUUAAGUAGCUGAAACAAGCAGUCUUCAAAUGCCCAUCCUAAAUGUGACAAUUUGAAGUAUGAUUUCAUGAUUUUAUCACAACAGAUUAAAUAAUGAGAAUCACUUUGAGAGAUAAGGGAUGUAUAAAUACGACAAUCGAAUUCCCCUAACAGAAAAAACCUCCAAAACGCACAAAAUCAUUCCAAUACCCACAUCAAAAGAAAACCCCUUUACAGCAAAAACCCGAUGGCCACUUCAAAACAAGAAAAUACCCACAACAAUCAAACUCAAAAAACCAAGCCUAGAAAAUUGAGAUUUCCGGGCUCGGCCAAGAAAAAGAGGGAAAAUCAAAAGAACCCCAGAAACCCAGAAAAGAAAAACGUACUUACUAGCAUCUUCAUGGGUCGUCAGAGCUUCUGCAGCAAUGAUCCCCUGAUGCCCAAACAAGAAGAAGAAGAAGAACAGCGGCAGCAGCAGCAGCACCCCCAAAAAAGAACUGCAGCAGAAAAGAGAAAGACGAAGAAGAAGCAUGAAAAAACAGGGGAGCUUUCUGUACUGUCUGAUGUAUUAUGCGAAAUUCACAACCAUAUUAAUAAUAAUUACCAAAACGACAAAAGAAUUAAUAAAUGGUAAUGGAGAGAAAAAUAGUAGAAAAAAGCCAGCUUUCUCAUACACACAGGCAAGAAAAAUCAAACCUUUAGGAGGUGCAAACUAAUAAUAAAGGAAUAAAAUAUUGAAUUACCAUAAAUUAUUCUCUAUAAUCACUAUGAUUAAUAACGUCUCUCGCCGACAAAUUUGUUUGAAACGUCCCCCCUUCUGCCCUGCCCCUCAUGAGAGAGAGAAAGUAGAGAGAGAAAGAAAGAAGGGGGUAUGCUGUAAGAGUUUUUCCAGUGCCAGUGUGCUGCUACGUUGGCUUACAUUUGUUGAGAUUUGAUUAGUCAGAGAAGAAAUUGGGGUGGGGUAUCAUAUACUCACCAACGGUGUGAUAACUUUUGGUGCAACUAUACUUAGCUGGUGACACCCUUUAAUGAAGGAUUUGGCUACGAUAUUAAAGGACUACUUUUCUAUACCAUGCCCAAAAAAAGCUACCAAUUGUAAAACAUCGUAAGUUACAGCCAACCAUAAAAUGCCACGUGUUUAAGAGGUACCAUUGUUUGGCAUCUUUGUAUUAUAAUGAAUUCUAUAUGAUACAAAAAUAUUUUAGUAUACCCCAUUAUAGAUUUCAAUAACUUAACUUUCAUAUUAUACCAAAUCUACACUAUAAACUUUUCCUUAAUGGUUUAAAUUCCAAUUUUAAAGAGUACAAAUAAAAUGUAAAUUAUAAUUUUUUUUCCAAAAGAUAUGGAUAUGUAUGGUAACUCCAAUUUUUUUUUUAAUUUAAAAAACAUGUUUAAUGAAUUUUUAUACAAUUUUGUUAUGGAAAUAAAUUAUUUUUAAAAACAAAUUUAAUAGGUUUUGUGUUUUUCUUUCGUCAAGUGUUCUAUAAUAUAAUUAAAAAGUAGAUAAUACUUCGAAAACUUUCACAUUUAAUAUAAAUAUGUAAUAACUUUCAAAGGGAAUAGAUUUAAAAAACUAAAUUUAUAUUUGAUAAUUGUUUUAAAAAAUAGUUUUUUAAGAAUAAUUUUUAAAAACUAUUUUUUGAUAUUUUAUAUAACAAAAACUCUAUUUGCGGAUCUGAAAUGUUUUUAAUACUUUUAAAUAUACUUUAAAAAUAAAAUUUACAUCAAGUGUUUUAUUUUUAAUUAUUCUACAUAUUCAUAUAAUUAUUUUUUUAAAACAAUCCUCCAAAAAUAUGUAAAAACAAAAUAAAAUAACUAAAAUAUAUUUUACCAGAACAUUUUUUUUUCUUAAAACAAUUCUGAUUAUCAAAUGUGUUUUCCUAUUUUUUGUUAUAAAAAACAAAAAAUUGUUCUAAAAAUUGUUGCCAAACAAAUCCUAAUUUUCAUGUUUGAGUUAUUAAAUUAUAAUUUAAGAUUUUUUUUUCAGUUUAAUAGAAUUUGGCAUGUAAUUAAAUGCCCACUAAAACAUUUUUUUUAUGAUUUCAAAUAUUUUUAUUUUAAAAAGUAAAUAAUAUUGUUAGCAUUGGAAUGGAUAUUAAUGUAACAUACCUUUUUUUGCCAAAUUACCAUUGCUAGAGUACAAAAAGUACAAAAAUAGAAACAAUUUUUUCAUCUUAUUAUUAUAAAAGUAUGCAAAAGUUUUUAAUUACUUUCUAUACUUUGAAUUAUUGCUUGAAACACAUUUAAAAAACACUCAAAAUAUUUCAAAAUAGUUUUUAAAAAGCAAUCUACUUUCAAAACAAAUUCUUAAAAAACUGUCUUGUAAAACAUGUUUUUUCAAUUUAAAAAAUAUUUUUAAGAACAAUUUUAAAUAGAGCCUUGAUGUAAAAAAAAAAAAAAAAGAGGGGUUUGAAGGUGGCAAGAGAAGAGGGGGAGGUAGCACGGAGAGGGGUAAGAAAGGGUGGGUGAGGGUGAGAGUUAUAAGUGGAAAAUUGGAAAAGGGUAUAAAAUAAGAGAAGGAUAGGGGGUGCAUGGGGUAUCGAGUCGGCAUGUGGGCUGACAGGGAAGAGAAGAGGUGGGUGGGACCCAGAUGCAAUCAUAGCCAAUAUGCUAGCCUGGCUUCAAUCCUAUUCGCUAUUCCCUCCCCUCUUCACGCCGCUUCUCUCAUUUUCCAACCAUUUAAGCUUUUCACCUUUUCUUUAUUUAUUUUUAUUUUUGAAAAAAAAAAAAGUCAGUGACUUGGCGAGCGGGCAUAUUUGAAAAACGAUAUUAAAAUAAUUUCCUAUUCCAAUUUUUAAAAAUAUGUUUUCUAAAUUUGAAUUAAAACUAACUUCAUAAGUUCGAAAACUAAAUAAAUUUUAGAGUAAAUUUAAUAUAUUUUAAAGUGAUUUUUUUUAUUGUAUUUUAAGAAAUAAUUGAAAAUAUGAUGAAUACUACAUUGUAUAUGAAUGUAAAAUACUUUCAUGAAUAUUAUUUUUCAUAUUUAAGUUCUUAAAUAAUUUUUUAAUUAAUUUAUUAUUUUUUAUAUUUCAACUCUUAAAUAAUUUUUUAUAUUAUUUUUAAUUAAUAUUAUUAUUAUUUUUCAUAUUAUUUUCUUAAAAAAUAAUAAUUGAUAAUUGAUUUUAAUAACUACUCUUGCAUUUGUUUUUAAGAACUAUUUUUUGUUAAUAUUGUAAAAUAGAUCCUACAUUUUUUUAUACACUAGGCCACCUCAUGAGUAUGUUAGGGAUCAAUAAGAAAUCUUAUUGUUUGUCAAAAUUGUCUUAUUUAUUUUUAUUGCUUUAUUUAUUUGUAAUAAGAAAUCUUUGUGUUUAACUAAGUUGUAUUUCUUGAUACCUUCUUUUUAUUUUUAUUUUUUAUUUAGUCUAAGCGUAGAAGAAUAAUUUUUGGAAUGUAUUUCAAAUUUCUAGGUUUUUUUUGUAAAGAAUAUUUUUUAUUUUCAUAUGUCAUUGUAAUAUUAUUUCUUUUUAGAAUAAAAAAAAAGUAUUCAAAAUAUUUCUAUAAAUUUUAUGUGUGAAAAAAACUAUAAUAAGUAUAUGAGGUGGAUACAAAUGCAAGAAUAGUAAACUGUAGAACUCAUGAUUUAAUAUGUAAAUAUAUGAGAAAUAUGAGAUGUUUCGAAAAUUUAUUCUGUCAUCUAUUGAUGUAAGUAUGAUUCAUCAAAUCAUCUUAAAAUCUCAUAUAUUUUAAUUAAAGUUAGAGUUGAUUAUUCUGUAUUUGGAUUGUUCUCUCAUUGAGAUGUAAUUAAAAAACAUAUAUCAUGGAGAGAUAAAAAACUAAUUUAAUGCAAUUUGAUCCAAGGUGGAGAUGGUUAAAAAAUGUUUCAAAUUUCUAAUUAAUAUAGAUUUUUUGUUUAUAACAUAUUAUAUAGAAUAUUUUAUAUAUAUUAUAUUUCCUCACAAAAUAAGGAAAAUUAUUGAAAAUAUCUUUAUAAAUAUUUUAGUUCAAUGAGGAAAAAUGUUAUGAAAUAAAAAUGAACUUAUAAAAACUAUACUUCCAUUCUCUCAUCAAUGGAUGUAGAUAUGUUUAUUCGAACCAUAUUAAAAUGUCGUGUAUCUUUGUAUGAAUUAAAGCUUUUAUUGACACAAUAUCAAUUAUGGCCAAGAUACCAUAACUUUUUAUACACUAUAAAUAAUAGAAGGUUUCACUUGCUUUAUAACAAUUUGCACUUGAUUGUAUAAAUGUUGUCUAUUUUAAAUUUAAGUCGUUACAAUUUUAAAUAUUUCAUGUAGAUCUAAUAUUUUUGUUAUAUUCAUAUAUUUUAAGUUUAAACAAACUCUUAUACUAAAGUCGAGAAUAAUAUGCUCUUAAUCAUAUAAAUAUCUUUUACGAAUGCAAGGAAUCAUCGCAGUUUUUUCCCCUAUCCAACAAUGGGAGAUAUCACAUGCCUAAGCAAAAAAAUAAGAAACCAUUUGUAUUCAAGGGGAAGUAAUUUCCUUAGUAAAACCUAAUAGUCAAGCAACCGUGUACCAAAACGGAUUGUUAUUCCAUCAAAUCCAUUUGCAAUUGACUCAUAAGGAUAAAUGUUUUCUUCCAUUGAGUAAACGUACGACGCGUAGCCCAUGUCCAGAUUUUUGUAUAAUCCCAUGAAGUUCGUGUAAUACUAUAUACGUGCAAUUGUGCAAUCAACUAAAUGGAUUAUAAAUACGAGGUGUGGGUACUCCUCGUUAAGUCUCCUUCAACCUUCGAGACUUCAUGAUACGAUAUGCAUUUUGUACCUUAGAAUUUCUCAAAAGAAAACUAUAGUCUAAAAUUUUCUUGUCUCAAAUAUUAUUAUUUUUAACUUAAUUCUUCAUAAAGGGUUGUUAACGUUAAUCUACCGUUGAGGUAAAAAGGAGAUCUAUAUAAUAUUUUAAAAUUGGAAGAUGACUGAUAUAAUGUACCCAAUUUUUUGUAAGCUAAAAUAAUUACUUUUUCCAUUUUCAAGCAAUUAUUUUUCAUCCAUUUAUACUUUAUGAAAGAAAAAAAAAUCAUUAGUAUAAAAAUAUCAUCAAUUGACAAGGAAAAUUGUUGUUCCAAUAAAUAUGACAAACCAUAUUAUAAUAUGCUUUUUCUGUUAUUUUCAUAAAUACAAUAAGCAUUAUUAAAAAAAGUAUAUAUGAUCCCAAAUUCUUUAUUUUCUAAAAUAUCGAAAAUGAUGAUCUUAUAGAGAUAAAUUUUAAUAUUUCUUCAUCACCUUUUUCUUACUGUGGUCGCCUUCUUUGUGAUGCAUAUUUUUUUCUCUCCCAUAUGACAGUUGUGUCUCUUAUAAUUAUUGGAGGGUGCUUUUUGGUAUUUCUUCAAUAUGACAGCUAUCUUAUUAUCAUUAGAGGGUACUUUUUGGUAUGAUACAAAAAAAUAGCCAUAAGUACCUUAUGCUAUAUGUUUAUAAAGAAAUUUGAAGUAUGAUAGGAAUAGGAUUUUAAUUAAUAAAUUUUAAAAUGAAAUACAAGUUAUCAUGGGCUAUCGUACACAUACAAAUAAUAUUUGUACCUAGAAAAAUAUAUAAUAUUGUAUUUAUAGGCAUAAACUAUCCACUUUAGAUAUUCAAUUAUAAAAUCUUAUUCUCGAUCGAUCAAUUCAAAUUAUGCAGUUGAGGCAUUGGAUUGUAAAACCCAAUUUUUUCUAUCAAUUCAAUGAUACCUUUUAGUAUGCCAUUAAAAAUAGUAAUUUUAUAUUAUAAUAGAGAACAGAAUACCGUCCAUGAAAUCUAAAGAAAAAAACACUAUAAUCCAAAUUCUUGGAUAGGUUAACAUACCUUGAGUAAAAAUAGGACAUGUGUAAAUGUUUUGAAAGUUCUAUAAUGUUUCUAUUCUUGAAAACCUUAAUUAUUCGUAACUACUUCGAUCAUAUACUAGAGGAUUAAGAGAAAGGCUCAUCUUUGAACUUAUACAAGUAUUGUACCAAAAAAUGCAUCAUCAAUCAAAUGAUUUCAUAUAUGUAUGCAUAUCUCAUUGUUUUGUACCACUUCGAUAAAGUUGAUCUUAUUGUUUUGUACCCAAAUUUUAUUUCUUUGUAUUUUAUAUAAAUUUCAUUAUUUUGCGUUUUGAUUUCAUAUAUUAAUAUUUUUAUUCAAUAAUUCAUAUUUGAUAGUUUAUUUUGAAUGAUAUGAUUGAAACAUAUUCAUUUAAAUUUCAAACAUAAAUCAAAUGAUUAAUAUAUUUCAUGCCGAAGGUGGCUUUUUAUUAAAAAUAUUUUGAUAGAGAAUUAAUUAAUAUUUAUAAUCAAUAAUAUUUUUUUUCUUAACCAUUUAAUUUUUAUACAAAAACUACUUUCAAAUGUUAAGAUACGUCUUUAAUCAUCCCAAAAUAUAACUUUUAAAUAGAUUUUAAAAUUUAUUAAUAAUAAUGAAGUAUUCCACUAAACAUCUGCUAACUCUACAAGAUAAUAUUAAAACAUUAAAAUUAUGUUUGGUUUUUGAAAAUUUGAGAGAAAUAAAAUUCGGAUAAAAAAGUAGAAUGAAAAAAAAAAGUUAAACAUAAUAAAUUAUUUUUAUAUAUUUCUUUAAAUUUAUUGUAUUUAUUUCCAUUUAUUAUAUAAAGAUUAAAUAAUUUAAAAAUAUAUAAUUUUUUUGAUAAAUUUAAUUUUAUUUAUUUAUUUAUUUUUAUGAUAAAACCAAACUCGAGAAACCAUUUUUUUAAUACUUUUUUUUUUUCAGUACUUUUCAGGAACCAAAUAUAGCAUAAAAAUACAUGAUUUAUUUUUUUGUUUUAAGUUUUAAUUAAAAUUUGUUACAUAAAGUUGUUAAUUUUUUUUAUAAGAAAUAACAGUAUCUCAAUUUUCAUAUGAAGCUUCUUUUUGAAUAGCCAUAAACUGUCUCGAAAAAAUUAUAUAAAUAAGUCUAAAAACUUCUAUUAAAAUUUUGAAAAAGAACUUUUAGCUUCCAAAUCGAACUAAUGAUAACCCUGCAAUGUAAGAAAAUAAGAAUCGUUAGACAGAAUAUUGAAAUCAUACCAAAGAGUAGGUCAAUGCAACAUCCUUCAUGUUCACAACACAAAAGCAAAAGCUUUCAUUUUUCACGGUAACUUGUCUGGUGUCUGUCCGUUUUCUCUCCCUUUUUCUUGUACCCUAAGCCCUAUAUUUUUACACUCAAAAUUUGGCCUCUUGGACUUCACUUUGUUGCUCCACCGCUUCAACAGUUCCAGGGCUUCUUCAGUUUUGUUUUGCCCUUUUUUUUUGUGGGUUCAAACUUUCUAGCUGUAUAUACAUAAGAGAACAAAUCCCUUAUCAGAUCUCAUAUCUCCAAAAUCAACUCAAAAUCUUCAUAUGGUACGAACAAAACAUUAAAUCUAGACAAAGCUGAUAGGAGUUUGAUAGAAUGGAGUUGAAUGGAGCGUGAGGUCACAUGCUGAGCAUAUGGGAUUGAAGAGUGUGUGUGUGUGUGUGAGAGAGAGAGAGAGAGAGAGAGACCCACCUAGGGAAGCAGUGGCUUCUACAGUGAGGAAGCCACAUGCAGUGCAUAUAAUAGAGAAAUAAUUCAAGCUGGCAUGUGAUGAUUUGGAUAUGAUGUGAGGAAAGGUCCAAAAGAUGUUAGAAAAGAUAUUGUGGCAUAUGGUUUGUUUAAUGGAGGGGUAUGGCCCAGCAUAUAAUACAACUCUUAAUGGUAAAGAGAAGGGAAAUCUUGUAGUUGGAGUUUAGAAUAGUCAAGGCCAGUGAUUUAUAAGCCAAAUUGUUGACUGCAGAUAAUUUGGCUUCAUUUGGUGGAUUGGUUCACAUUGAUCAUUGGAUAAGUGCAAAUUAAUCAAAUAUGAUCUUCCUUGUACUAGAGGUCACAUCUUUUAACUUGGGGGUCUCAUCCUUACAUUUGCAAUGCCUUUAUUCUUAAUCUCCUCAUCCACACCAGGUCAGCUAUUUGUUGUCAUGGACUUAACCAUUUAUAGCUGAGUUUUGUUGCUCCUUUGUCCCCUUGUGGCUGAUUCUAUACUUUCUCUCAAAUGCUUUCAUUUCCAAUUUUCCUCUUUUAUUUAUCACAAUCUAGCUAUCUCUUUCUGGCAUGACCGGUAUUCUCUCUACUAUUGAGUCAUAAAUUGCUUUGUAACCUUCACUGUACGUUGUUUUGAGAAGUUCUUUCCAUUUUCUUCCAUGCCACCCUACACGUUGGGAAAAAUAUGUUAUAGCAACGUUAGAUUUUUUAGUAGAAGAGAGAAAUUAGUUAUUAGAAUUUUCAUUUAUUUUUGUGUAUUUAACCUUUCUAUUCAAGCUUUUGCCUACACAACAUAUAAACUAAUGAACCAGAACAUAUUAUCCUUAUAUAUAUAUAUAUAUAUAUAUUGAUAUGGCAUCACAUACACUCUUAAAAGAUUAAGCUAAUGGGAUGUAAAAGUAGACUCACAUAUAAAGUCCAAUUAAUAUUAAUAAUCAACAAAUGUGAGAAAUUGAAUUUUCGUUUAUCCUAUGUCAGACACCUCUAUUUAAUAGUUGACGCCCACCUCAAUGAGCUUGUGGUGAGUUAGACCAAAACUCGUUCUACUACCAAAUGGUGUAGAACCACAUACAUUUUUAAAAGUGUAAGCUAAUUGGAGGUAGAUGUAGAUCUUUUAUCGAUUGAUGACUAAUAUUGGUUGGAUUGACCUUAUAUAUAUAUAGACACAAUUUUCUUUACCCAAGUUCUGACUUUUCAAGGAGCCGGGUGAUAAAACUAUAAGUGGUCUACAUCCCUAAACUCACUGUUAUGAGCAGUAAGACCAUGAACCCAAUUCGAUGUGAAUAACAUUUUCUAUCGAGAGAUAACAUAUACACAUGUAUGCCUCCACCCCACUCAUUAAAACCCCCCAGCAUGUAUACCAUGUACAUGCAGUGUGUCAUCCAUGGAUAGAUCCUGUCCUUUUCGAGGAACACACAAUGACCAGCCCUGCAAUUGGAAUUUUGUCAAUCAAUACAGCACCUUCAGGACCAUGACCACAUGGCAUGACAGCAAGAAAUAGCUAGCCCUACAAACUAAAGGACCCACGAAAUGGACCAUCUAAUAAAAAAAUACCAAGUCUACCCAAAAGAUGUGGUUGUCUUCCUUGUUUCUUUUGGUGGAAAUCAGAAAAAACCAAAUCACCAAACUUGUGGACAGCCUGACUUUCAUAUAUAUACUCUGAUCAUUCAGUUUGGUUUCUCAAAUAUUUAUCAAAAUGAAAACCCCAACUAAGAAAUCGAAGACGAGGAAUCUUAUAAAUGACUAAGCAUCCAUCACAACGGAAAUCUCUUAACUGGUAAGGAAUUAAGUCAGUCCAUCUGGAGAUUUGCUACAGCGAUUUUUCUAAUGUUCACACACUUGAUGCGAGUAGCAUUUUUCUCAUGUAAAACACGCCUUAUGUUGGUUCAAGGGCCUUAAAAAAAAAAAAAAAGGUAAAUUGACCUAACCCAAGGUCGAACAAAAUAAGAAACAAAACACAAGGAUAGGGUACUUAUUAUUUAAAGUGAUUGAGGCAUAUCAACCUUUACGCCUCGAUGCAGAAAGGAAUUAACGUGCUACGUACCUUUAAUAUUCAACAACCAAUGCAACCUUGACUUAGGUGAACACUUUUGAUAAGAAAAAUACAGCUCAUAAGACUUUAUAUGAUGAUCACGUAGAGGAUGAUAUGACUGUAGUCAUGACGGAUGCAGUAAGAUCAGGUGCAGCAUGGUGGACACAGCCUCGGGUUGCAGAAUGCUGUAGGAUGCAAGGGAGUAAAAAGGACUGUGGAACAACUAAAUGACUAAGUAAAAAAAAAGAAUUAAAAAAAAUUAAAUAAAAAACAUUAAUUUUGGAUUUAUAAAACUGGUCUCCACUUAGGAUGGGAAACCAAGCCACCCGAAUUUCCGCUGGGGUGGGCUUGAGCCCUCUAGGCGUACGAGACUCCCACUUAUCCCUCCACAAGCUUAUAAAACUAAGGAAUUGGGAUUCAAUAUAUACCCACUUAAACGAGCUUCUCCUUUUUUCACGUGGGAUUGGAGCUUCUUCUUUUUUAACACUUCAAAACUCACUCACUCCUACACUUUAUGCAAGUAUUAUACGUAGACAAAAUACAAAUCGAGAAAAUCAGUACAGUAGAUAGAAUCUCAUCGUUGUAGCUGCUCAGAAGUCUGAUUACUUAAGAUGGCCGGAUGAAGGUGAUGCCCUGCCAUUCUGUAUUCCAUUAUCAACAGGCGCUGUAACACCCCACAUCCCCUCCGGCUCGGACAGUUCACUGUUGCAUGAACAUGCAGCAUAAGUUAUAGGCAGAGUGUCGUACACCUUGUGGUACCCACUGCAAUGAAAAACAUGCUACAGAAUUUGUUUCCAAUAACCAAAAAGUAUGCAUUCUAUGAGUAUAUUUUUACCUGCCCAACACAAUCCAUCUUAAAAACAUCAUAUACGGGAAUUUGUGUCUCAUGGAAUACCAACAAGUGAACUUGAUCAGAAUGGAACUGCACUCCAGUGUCCCCACCAGGAACCAUCCCAGAGGGCGGUUGAAUUGUAAUUGAUUUCCUUCUCUCCCAUGCAUCAGUGUUCCAAAAACAAAGCUACAAAAGCAGCCAUCAUAACCAAUGAUUUCAUCAAGGCAUCAGAACAACUACAUACUUGAUGUCAGAAUAGUAUAAGCAUUUGAGAAUCAUGAAUUAAAUGGCGUAUCAAAACAAAAACUAAUCAUAAUAAAUAAUAGUUGAGAUUAUCUUCCUAGAACAAGAAUGGAAAUCCCAAGAGUCUUAAGAGACGGAGAUAUGUUCAAGCAUCCAUAUACAUCUUUGAUCACACUCAUGUUUAUGAUUCAAACAAUUCUAAGGAGGAAUUUAAAAACAUAUGUUUAUGAUUUUUUAUACAGCUUCUUAGUACAUGUUGACAGAGAUGUUAGUACUCCAUUCAACUUUCCAGCAAGCCAAAUAACUAAUAAGAAAAAAAAAAAGAAAAAAAAGAAAAGAAAGAACUAGAAAAGGAAAGACAAAAUAAGGGAUGGUAAAGAUUCAUUGGAAUUGUUUGACAAUGAAUAAUGUUGGAAACGAUUUGUUUGUUAAUAAAUUUGUGGUAUUCCAUUUAUAUGCUAGUGAACUUUUUUCUUUUUGUCCUAUCAUUCAUUAGUAUAUUAGUAAGCAAGAAUUAGGGCAAAAAAAAUAAAAAAAAUUGAAUGUUUCACUAUUUGUGACCUAUGUCUUUUUAUUAUUAUUAUUUUAUUUUAGUUUUAAUGCCCAAUAGAUACUACCCAUUUUAUUAAAAAAUUUGUCCCAGCUGUUCAAAAUAACUUGAAAUUUGAUCAAGUUCUGAUUCAUCUUACUUCUAAAGUACUCAUCACUUCUAACCCAUCCUAUUUGUUGAUUUUUCCUACUUUUUAUUAGCAAAACUUCUUGAAAAAACCUUUGGGCUAUAUUGGUUUUUAGAAAAUGUUAAGCAAAAAAAGAAAAAAGAAAAAGUGUUAAAAAAUUUAAAUUUUUUAUAUUUGAUUUUACUAUAAAAAAAUAUGGAUAAAAAUCAAAUAUAAUUAAAAUUAAUAAUAAAUUUGUAUAAUUUUAUUUAAAAGAAUUAAAAUAAGUAAAAUAAGUUUGAAAGGCGGUAUAAAAAUAAUUUUUCCUGAUUGUACUUCUUGGAAUCAUACAUAGCCUUCAUAUCUUAUUAAUUGAUAUACUAUUAAUAGUUUUUUAUUAUAAAUUUUCCAUAUAUUGACCGCUAAUUACCCAUUCGAUAGCAUAUAAUUUCCCUAAAUGACGAAGAAUAAUAGAACCAAGUAUUCUUAUUCAUUGAAAUUCAAAAUUUUCACCAUGGGCCAGGGCUAACUCAAACCCUGGGCUGGAAAUUGUGUUGACCCGAUUGACGGCCCAUUUCUGUCGGAUCUCCUUGUCCGUUUCCAUCCCUACCCGAGAGACCACACAGGGUUUCAAUUUCCAAAAACCCUCACAAAACCCCAGCGGCGAUAGAAUCAAAACCCACAUAAUACAUUCAACAGAGGGGACUAGCAAGGAACGAAGGGGACCUCCAAUGGCGGCAAAGACCCAACAGAGCAACAAAUCUAAUAAAAGAAAGCAAAUUACAGGUCCUCACAGCAAGUCAGAUACCUCACCGUCCAAGAAGCCGAAGCUCCUUCAAUCCAAAUCCUCCAAUCCUGGAAACAAGGGCCUGAACAAGCCCUUCAAAUCGUUCAAACAACAGCGCCCCGUCAAAUCGCAUUCCGGAAAAUUAGAAACUGCUGGAGCAAACGAGGGUCCAAAAUCGAAGAGAGAACGUCGGUUGCAUGCCAAGGUGGAUUCGCUGUUUUGUAGAGAUUGGGUGUAUAUGUAGAACAUCGUAACUUGAAUUCGAAUUGAAAAUUAGGGUUUAUAUUUUGGGCAUGAAGUUGAAUAUGGAUUGGAAGUGUAAUUUGUUGUUUUGUUUGGUUUUGGAUUAACUGCAGGAACUGACAGAGGCUAGGAAAAAGAAGAGAAAGAAGCAUUACACUCUUGAACAAGUUAGUAGGGCCAUUUUCUAGUUUCCUUUGGUUUUCUAAAUGAACUUCACCUGAUAUAAUUAAUGUCAUCGAUUCAAAGUCCAAUUGAUAUUAAGCUUUUCUAUCAUGGAUUUUGGAGGCCAUAUCUGUAAAUCACGGGUGUUUUUUUUUUUUUCUGCGUUAUAUAUAUUGAAAAUAAUGUAUGGAAGGCAAGCAAAAUGCUGAAAGCAGUUUGAGAAGGGUCCAUUUUGAAGUGAAUUUCUGCAUUCUCUUCCUUUCCCUAAUUCUUCACAAGAACCAAAGAGAGUCUAAAACUUUGAUUUAUUUGUAAUUAUUGUGUAUGAGACUGAGCAUGUGUGGAUACAUGUUACACUUUAUUUAUUUAUUUAUUUUGGUUCUUUUUUAUUUUCAUACAAUUCUCUCUGUCAUAAGAGCAUGCAUGAGAUAUGGGCUCACUUCCUUAAUGAAGGUUAACUUGUUCUUCAUUGAUUAAACAAUUUCAAGCUCAAGCUUUCUUAUUAUUGGAUGUUUGCUCAUGAAAUAGUCACUAAGAUUUAUUCUAAGACUCACCCAGUGAAAGUGGAGUGCACAGCAUGUUUGCAGAUGUAGUAGUUACUAAGAUUUAUUUUAAGACUCGUAUAGUGAGAUUGUGGUGGCUUUUGGCUUAAUAGAGUUUUUCCGCCUUUCCAACUAGGAGCUUGCAUCACUGUGGGAAAAGAUGAGGCGCCGUAAUAUUGCAAAAGAAGAUAGAUCUAGGUAUGCUUAUUAACCAUAUAUUGCAUGGGGCACUUCCUCGUUCUUACUUUUUGGGUAUGUUUAUUAAUUAUAUAUUGCAUUGGCUACUUCCCUAAUGGCUUGUUUAUAUUCCUUCCAUUGUUAAAUUGAAAUUUAUCAUAGGUUGGUGAGUGAAGCUCUACAUAAGAUGAAAGGGAAAAUCCCUGAAAUAGCAGGAUCCCAUGUUUCUUCCCGUGUGCUGCAGGUGAUUUCUAGAAAAUUGCUUUUUGGGUGUCUUCAAAUUUAAGGGCUUCAUUUGUUUAUUCCAGCUUGUAGUAAUUCUUUAUCUUUUACCUCAGACUUGUGUUAAGUACUGUACACAAGCUGAAAGGGAUGCUGUAUUUGAGGAGCUUCAGCCACAGCUUCUCACCCUUGCAUGCAACACGUAUGCAGUGCAUCUGGUGAAGAAAAUGUUAGAUAAUGGUAUGUUCAGCUUCAAGGGUAAAAAAACUGAAGAGCACUGCUUCAGAGUCAAGUCGAUUUUAUUUUCUUAUUAUCUUAAGUUACUUUUAUGCUGCUUGCAGCCUCUAAGAAACAUCUGGCAGCAUUUAUGUCUUCCCUCCAUGGCCAUGUUGCUUCUCUUCUUCGUCAUAUGGUUGGAUCUGUUGGUAUGUCAUUAUAAUUUGAUAGGUUUUCUUGUUCUUUUUUUUUUUUUUUUUUGUUGAUGGGUAAAAAAUCCAUUGUAUUUUCUUGUUCUUCUGGAGUAUUUGGAAUCAAAUAGUUAUUUGGCCCUAAUAAUAGCUACAAUAAUUAGCAUUUUAUAUGGGUUUACUUUUCCAAAUUGCCCAAGUUAUGUCUCAGUUACUUUUGGCAGGUUCUUAGUUUACAGUGACUUAAGAAAAAGUACUGAGUUGGUUGGGCCCUCUUGGAUUUUUCUGGAGUUUGUUUAGGCAAGCUUGGAUUUUGAUUCUUGCCACACUUUUGGAGCAAGUAAGGUGUAAGGGAACCUGGGAGGGGAAGAAGUAAGAUGAUAGGAGUGUUUUAUUCAAUUGGCAUUGGCAUGCUGUUUCUUCAACUUGACCACUUCGAUAAUGUAUUCCUGUGAAGUAGCCAAAUUUAUUUUUCUCAAGCCUUUCAGGUUAUAUGAUUCUUUCAAUCAUUUGGCUUCAUGCAGUUGUUGAGCACGCAUACCAGUUGGGAAAUGCAACUCAGAAACAAGAGCUUCUGAUGGAAUUGUAUGCCACAGAGCUUCAGUUGUUCAAGGACUUGGCCUCAGUAAAAGAGAGCAGGUAAAGAGUCAUUUGUUUGAUUGACUUUCUUGAUAUCCUUUUAAUAUUUCCAAAUAACUGCAAAAUCUUCUCUUUAAACAAAAUCACCAUUUAUACGAUUUUCAAAAGUUCAUUUUUCUGAAGAUUAAAAAGUUACAUUUUCAAUCUUCAGGGCAAUUUGAGGACUAAAUUCCUAUCGCAGCAUAACAGGCAACCAUAGUCUUACAAAGUGAAAAUCUUAUUGUUUUUUCUAGGAUCUUUGUUUUCAUUCCAGGGUAUAAAGGAAUAACUAUUGAAUUACUUUUUCACCCCGAGUUGUGUUCCUUCUUUUCUUUUAUUUUCAGAUGUUUCUAAGAUGCCCUCAUUAUUAUUGGGUUUUACCCCCUUUAUGGUUUCUGUAUAUAAGGAUCCAUUAGGAUUGAGUGUGGAUCCAACAGGACAAUCAAAAUAUUGGAGUUGUUUCGUUUUGGAUUGCAUAUUGUUAAGUAAUCCCUAGAGCUUGUGCUUCCAUUGCAACAAAGGACUCCCUUUGGAUGUGGAAAAAGGUCAUAUCAGUAAUUGUAUGUGUAUAUAUUUAUGUGCAUAAAUGUGUAUGCAUGUGUGUAUAUGUGCUUCUUAUCACCAAAAAGUAAAAAAAAAAAUACAAAUAAAAUAAAUUAUUUAUUGAAUUAUAAUGUCAAUAUAUUAUUACUUUUUAUGGAGAUGAGUUUGUAGGGACUAUACGAAGUGGAUAGAAAUAUGAGGAAGAAUGAGAGAUAUCUGGUAGAGCGAGGAGGCUUGUGGUUUAGGGUGUGGAUAUAAGGAUUAGAGAAACAUGGGAUGUUUUGAGAACCCAAUAUUCAUAUCUGGUUCUGUCCUCUAUAAUGUUCUCUAUUGUAUAAAGAAAAAAUCCUCUCAUCCAUAGAUGUAGGUAUGACUAGUCAAACCAUGUUACAACCUCAUGUAUUAUUGUGUUGAUUGAUUUAUCUUUGUGUUUUUUGGAUUAACCUUGUUUACAUUAAAGCUUUCGUUGAUACAACAAUUUGGUAUAUUCCUGACAUGUAAUAUAUGAACUUUUAUGAAUUUUGAGGGUUCCUACUUUCUCAUUGUCCUUAUUACUUCUUUCAUGUUGUCAGGUUAAUAGAUGUAAUUUCUAAACUAGGACUGCAAAAAGGUUCUGUCUUACGACACAUGAGCUCUGUGAUUCAACCAAUUUUGGAGAAAGGAAUAGUUGACCACUCUAUCAUACACAGGGCAUUAAUGGAAUACUUAAGCAUUGCUGACAAGGUAUUCAUCUUGAAUUAGCAUUUUCUUGCCUGCUGGAGUUCCUUGUUUUUUCUCCACUUUAUUUUUACCUUUUCCUAAACCAAGUCUUCUAGCAGUCAUCUGCUGCAGAAGUAAUCCAGCAGUUAUCAGGUGCACUCCUUGUUCGAAUGAUCCAUACCAGGGAUGGAUCCAGGAUUGGGUUGCUCUGCAUCAAACAUGGGAGUGCAAAGGUUUGUGUAAAUUUGGUCAAGAUUCCCCCACGAGUUGAUCCACUAAAAGACAACUAAUCUGAUCUGAUCUUAUGCAUUUGAAGUUUUAAUUUUUAAUAACUGAUGAAUUGUUCUUCAAUGUCAUCUUUUAUUUUAGGAAAGAAAGAAAAUUAUCAAAGGAAUGAAAGGCCACAUAGACAAGAUAGCUCAUGAUCAAUGUGGGAGUAUGGUAAGGAUCAGUUUCAGAAUGCAUUUACUCAACUUUUAUUCUCUAGGGCACUCUUACAAAACUUCCUGUUAGCUUUCAGCCUGUGCAUUUUGACUUGUAUUUCCUACAGAUGUCAUAUUGACCAUGUUGUUACCAGCCUCAGUAAUUGAGAGUCUAUCUUUGUAGUUUGUGAUGCUUAUCAGUUCAGCUUUCUUAUUGUUACUUUUGGUUGAUAUGUCUUCGGGCUUUCUUAUAUUGAUAUAUAUUCCUUCAUAUAUGCAUUUGUAUAUAUAUAUAUAUCUUCCUUUGUAUAUGCAUUUGUAUGAGCAUAACAACACUGAAAUAAGAACUUGAUUUAUAUUUUUAGGGCAUUCCCAUACUAUCAUUGAGAUGAAAUCAUUCCAUUUUAUUUUCUGUAGCAGUUGAAGGCACAAAUCUAUCCUUCAAUUAAAGUUAUCUAUCAUAAUAAUGUGUCAACUUUCAAUGCAAAAGUUGAUGUCUAAUGAUAAUAGUAAUAAAAUGUAAGUGUUUUUAUUUCUUUAAAUCCUAAAGUGAUCCUAGAUGUGAUACUGAAUAGAAUCAUUUCAGAUUCUGUAAAUAACAAAAUGGAUUCAUGUUAAAUGCUUGCAGCAUGUAUCUCCAAUGCUUUAAUUUUAUGGGAUGUUCAAAGCUCCCUCCAGUAGCUCUGGUUUUCAUAAGAUUGUUUUGUGCACUCACUUCUAGUCUAUGGCAAUACAAGUUCAAUCAGCAUGAAGCCCCAACUGGAAUUUGACUAACGGAAUUUUGAAUGGCAUUUGCACAUGAUCCUGGCAAUGCUAACAUAGGUCCACCAUAUGUCUACGUCUAUGCUUAUGGGUUCAAUGCAAAAAUUGUUAUGGUUAAGAAAAUUUAUUGGCUUUAUGGUAUUAUAUAUUGUAUCCCACCAGUCAUCAGUACCAUUCUGAGGCCCAUCCUUACCUUAUUUUUUUUUCCUAUUGCUGCCUUGAUUAUUUUAUAAGGUAUAAAUUUUUGUUUAUUCUUUUGUGGUUCAUUUUAUUUUAGGAUUCACCUUACACUAUUUACUUUUCAGGUGCUUGCUUACAUUCUUUCAACUGUCGAUGACACAAAACUACUAACUAAGGUUGGCUCCUUUAGUGAUGUUUGUCAUGAAUUAUUCUUCAUAAUUAAUGGAGUUGCUUUUUAUUUGAAGUUCUUAAUCAAAUUCUCCUUAACACAGGUUAUUAUUCGUGAGCUUCAAGCAAUUUUGAAAGAGCUUCUUUUGGAUAAGGUUUCUACUCUUCUUGUUCUUUUACAUUACACUGGCAUAUAACCUCAAACAGAGAUUGAUAUAGCUCUGAAUAGGAUGUAAGUAUGGUUGACGAACCAUUUUUAUCUAAAACCCUAUUCUCGUUUUGGUUUUGCUGCUAGUUAACCACUUCCCAAAAAUUGUCUGGUGGGAUUAUUGAAGAUGUCUGUAGCAAACUCUGUGGGUCUUUUAGAGAUUAUUUGAUUUGCUUCAAAAGGAAGCUGAGACAUUGGUCGGCUAAAUUAGAUCAUUGCCAUUAUUUUUUUCUUUUAUCUUCCUGAAAUUAUUUUUAAAAUGCAUCCAAGUAAUUUUACAUGGGCCCUCUUUCCAAGUGCCAUGUAUACAGCUGUGUUGUUGGGAGACCAUCUUUACUAUUUUCCUAUUUUAACCUUAUAUUUCAUGGGUUCAUAAAGUGAUUCUGUUUCCCUUGUCUAAAUUUCAGAAUGGAAGACGAGUCUUAUUGCAGCUCCUUCAUCCAAAUUGUUCCCGCUAUUUCAGUCCAGAGGAUCUGGUUUCUUUCAAUUUGUCUAUUCCUUCUCUUAGUCCCAAGGUAUUGCCGACUUCUGAUAGCUUUUUGUAGUAAGAUAUUGAUCAGUGAUGCAAUACAUUGAAGCUUGUAUCUUUCUCUUUUUAUCCCAUGCCAGAGUGAGUCCAAGGUAAAUCCUGACUCUGUUAAGGAAGCAAAAUCUUCUAAGACCAAGGAAUCUGGUGAUGAGGAGACAAAGGGUGACCUAGAGGUAACUACAGCUGAGGCCAAUGAAAACACUAGCCCCAGUGAGAGCCAUCACAUAGCUGAAGGUGGAAAAAAGGAUCCAAAUCUAAGAAGACAAGAGUUGUUGGUUGAUAGUGGGCUUGCUGAGGUUUGUUGUUUCAAUCUAUUGUAUGAUAUUUUUAACCAAAAGGUUUAUCAUUUUUAUCUAUUUGCACCCUGUUGCCUUCAUUUACUUUUGCUCCAUCUUUUCUUUUCAACUGGAAGGUGAAUCACAUCAUCCCUUAUACACAUUCAUCUUAAUGGAAAGAAUUUAAGCUGUCAUGUUAUACACCUAUCCAAUUUGCUCUGGAAACUGAUUUUAUGUGUCUUGCAGAAUCUCAUUGACACAUGUAUUGAGAGUGCAGGAGAAUUACUUAGAUCAAAUUUUGGCAAAGAAGUCAUGUAUGAGGUAGCUAUUUUGUCUAUUACUUCAUCUUAAUGACAGUCAAUCCUCCCCAGGGUUUCUGUGGAUUUUUAGUCAAGAAACUGUUUAAAUGCUUUUAGUUUCUGUAUUAGCUGCAUUAGGUCUCUGGACUUAUCACCUGCCGGAUGAAUUGUGGUUUUAUAAACCCAGUUUUAUCUGUGAUCUUCAUCACACGGUCUGAAGCAAUCAAUGAGCUAUUAAUCCAUCAACUCAUUUCUUCACUUAUCUUGGUAAUGCAUGCAGGUUGCAACCGGGGGUGCUGGUGGCAUUCUACGCCCAGCUUUGGAUGAAAAGUUAGAUGCACUACAUGGAGCUAUAGCAUCUCUUGCAGCACAGCCUAAAUCAGAAGAAUCAGAAGAGGAACAUGUCCUUGAAAAUUUUCACUCCAGCAGGACCAUUAGAAAACUGGUCUUGGACUGCCCUACUUUUGCUUCCACUCUGUGGAAGAUAGCUCUUGGAGGGAAGUGCGAAAUGUGGGCCCAGGGUCACAGGUUUGACUACACUGACUCCUUUCAAGUCCUUUUAAGACCAAUGCAUUAACCACUUAGAUAAUGAAAUAUUUUCUGAUAUCACAUUUUGGGAAUGUGAAUGCAGUCAUAAGGUAGUUUUGGCAUUCUUAGAGGCCUCUGAUUCUGAGGUAUGUGAGCUGGCCAAGGGAGAGCUGCAGCCCUUGAUAGAUAGUGGCAUUCUCAAGAUCCCAGAGACCAAGCAGUAGGCAAAAUAAAGAGUUUCAAGGCACUGGUAGCCCCAAUGAAGAGAGGAAGUCUUACUCAAUGGAACAAGCAUUGCCGUGAUGGUGGAUCCUACUGGUUCUCACUUCCGUAGUAUUUCCAGUUACAUAGCCAUGUAAUGUUUUUCUUUUUGGCCUAAGAAACAAGUUAAUGUAGCGGCGUUCAUAAAAGACUAGACUGUGCCAGGCAGUGUUCCGUUUUGGUUGAAUUGAGUUUGAAAGUAAAAGAAAAUUUUUUAUCAAAGACGACUUGUUUUCCAUCAGAUGGGUCUGUACUAUAUCUGGCUUUCUACUUAUUCUUUUGAACUCGAAGCCAUAUGUUGUAUACUGCUGCUUGGAAUCUACAUAUAAGCAUAACAUCAGAUGAUUCUUUGUGAUUCCAUUUGCCAUAGAAAAUUGCUGAAUACAUGAAAAAUGCGUCAAUCAAACUGUGAUUUUGUGGAUAGAACAUGGUUCUCCUGAAUUCCUAUUAUUAAUUAAGACAUUUGGAUUAGCAAUUGAAUAGUUGCCUUCUGAUUUGAUCCUGAACAAAUUGCAACAUCUCACUCCUCUUCCAUAUUCCCAGUUCAGUAAGUUUCUUGUCUGCAACUACCAAAUCCCAGGUUUCUGGUAACUCCGUGUCCUGUAGUGAGGGUAGCCUUGGUGCAGAUAGUCAGACGGAUUGAAGAGAGGAGAUUCUUUCCUCGAUGUCACAUUGCUCCUCAAAUAGUUCUCUGUCACCCUUGACCCCGGCAAAUACCAGAGGCUCUCAGUCUUCUUAUAAAAGAGUGGUCUGUGGUGAGGAUAGCCUUGAAAUUGAUAGUCAGAUGGAUUGAAGAGUGGGAACUCUUCUCUUGAUGCUGCAUUGGUCUUGAAGCAAUUCUCUAUCACCCUUGCCUCCUCCUUUAACCUGUCUCUGAUGUCUCUCAGACCUCGAAAAACUUUGUAAUAUCUCGACCAGUUUGUAGGAUUCAAUGGCUUCAGUUUUGCGGAGCCAGAAUUGGCUGAAGGAUUGCAGGCAGUAUAGGGAAUUCUGUUGCAGUCCCUGCAGAAGCUUCUCCAUCUCUCUGAGUCAAAGGUUCUUCUCUUCACAUCAUCAGACAGACAUGCAUAUGCCUUCAAAUAAUAACAUACAGAUUAAUGAAACAGAAGAUCAAGUGAAAAGCAGCACAUCGCCCAAACCUAAUGUGGCAGAUUAUGUGGGUUCCAUAAGAGAUCACCCUAUGCCCAAUGAACCAUUAAUCUCUCCUACCCAACAUACAGAUCAUGUGGGUUCCAUAGAAGACUACCCACAAAUGGUUAGGGCCAUAUCUUCAUCCCUACCCACCAUAACAACUAUUUGGUGAAUCAAACUAGGCUCGAACUUCAACUUUGCAUUAACCUUGGGUUCUAUGUUCUAGGGAAAUACAUCAAAAAAGAGAGAAUGAAUAAAUCCCAUUUUUAUUCUAUUGGUAUCCUAUGGACUACUGCCCCGAGAUUCCAGAAGAUAUGUAAGGGAAGAGCUCCAACCUCUGAUACAAGUUUGAAGGCAAUUUCAGCCUUGGGAUGCUUGUUCUUAUCUGGGUGAAGUUGCAAAGCUGCAAAGAGAGCAUUCCUCACAAAAUAUGAAAGAAUAACAGACUGCAAAGACUACAGAAAUAUUUACUUCAAUCUGAAAUAUACCGAAUUUGUGGUAUUGUCUCCGAAUAAUAUCUACAUCUGCAUCUUCUUCAACCUGUUUCCACCCAGAAACAGAAUUCUCAGCAACAUACAUUCAAACCCAGAAAAAAUGGCUUCAAAUGAAUCAAGAAAAACCACCCAAGAAACGUACUCUAAGAAGACGGUACCAGUCGACGAGAGGCGAUUUAAUUCUCUUGUGAGAAUGCUGGUGAGGGCAGGCAAUGGAGCGUGAGGAAACGGAGAUAAUUUCCAACACCAACUGGGUUUUGAAAUCUGUCUGUUCUUCUCCAACUCUUCCCAUUGACAAACAAACAGGAAUCGAAGAUUUGGAGGAAAGGGUGAGACAAAUGCUGAAACAAGAAAAGAAUAAACUCACUUCCUGUUUCUCCCUCCUUUUUUUUUUUUUUUUUUUCUGGAUUUGAACUGAUGAGAAAGUGGAGCGGUUAAGAAAAAGGGGCACAGUUUGCGGGAGAGAAAUUUGAAAGUGGAUCAGUUGGUGGGAAGAUGUGAGAGAGAGAUGGAGAGCUUACCGUUAAUUUUGACACCAGGCAUUGACUGAGAUCAAUGCCUACGGGCCCUUCUAUAUAUUUCUUUAUUCACCCCAAUAUCUUCUAAAUGGUAACUUUUUUCCAUGAUUUUUAACUUUUUUUUAGUAUCAUGGGUGUUUCAAAACGACAAAAUAUUCGAAAACCCAAUUCAAUUUUGAAACCGAUUUUCUUGGAAUUCAAUGAAUUUUGUAGGUGGAUCUCAUGAUGUAGAGUUAGAUUAAAUUUGAAUGCAGUAGUUGAUUAAACGGAAAGGCAGUAACUGGCUUCAAAUCCAACCAACCAAACCUCCUAAUCUAAUAAUUAAAAACCAUUGAAUGAAUGGUCAGUUGUAAUGCCCAGAUGGUGAUGUUAAUGGCCACUGACUCUGAAGUAUAGAUGUAGAAGAAUGGUGGUAGGGGGUGAGGCAAAGCCCAGAGGCAGCAGUUUCAUUCUUCUUCUGUGAGCGUAGCAAGUGUGAUAUUGAAAGACAGUGAGGCUUUGCUCGUGAGCCUGCGGCGUCCAGUUGGGGUGACCCACGCAUAUAAUGCCCUCUGCGAUGCUUCACCCUUACCAACUCAAAAGGCUAUAUGGUAGGUGAAAACUUCAAAUAGACUUUUAAGUUACAUUACAGUUAAGUUAGGCAAAAAAUUCAAUUCAGGCCAUUGUUUACCCACCGUCUUUGAGUAAAAGACAUUCUGAGGCAUUGUAAAAUUGUUGGUGACCGAAGCUUCGUGGUUAACUUUUAUAUCAUGGUAGUAUUCUUCGUACUAUUAAUUAAUUUUUUAUGUCUUCUCGAAUUUUCAUAUUGUUCUUUAUUUUAUUUUAUAGGAUCCUCUAAUAAGGAUGGAGUAAGGAACAAGUUGGUGUAAACUAGGUUUGCAUUUAUUUAUUUUUAAAACAAUUACUAAAAAAUAAGUAAAAAUAAUUAGAAUAUAUUAAUAUUAUAUAAAAACAAUCUAUUUUUUACUUUAAAAAGAAAGAAAAAAAAAGAGUUUUUGAUUGUUAAAUAUGUUUUAUUUUUAUUUUUUUUAUUAUAGAAAAUAAAAAACUAUUUUAAAAAACAAUAACCAAACAAAAUCUGAGUAACUUCUUUCUAUCUUAUCUACUAUCAAGCUAGCCCUGAGUUCAAGUAUUAAAACUUAAUUUCAAACACUAUUUGGCAACAUUUAUUUCAAUAAGAAAAACUUUAGACCAAAAAAAUAAAAAUAUGUGAUUAAUUUUGAAUGAGCUUCCUAGACAUUUAAAGGUGGAGCCCUUUCAAGUUUCAACUCAAAUGAGAAGUCUCUUCUAGCAUCAUAAGCUGGCUAUUUCUGGAGACCCGUGCCAAACCAGCUUUAAGGAGUUACAACUUACAUGUGGGUCAUUGCCCUCAAAUAUUCACAAUCCGAUUCCAAAAGCUUUUUGGGCUCCCUUUUAGCCAAUAGUAAAAUAGUUGAAAUAUUUGGUGUUACAUUGGAGUGCCAUUCUUGUAUGAAGAUCAGCAAUACAAUAUACUAUGCAGUAUGCACCAUCUUGAUAUUGAUGAGUUUACUGUUUGCAUAAACUAGACAGGAGCCUCGGAGCGUUGCAAUGGGACAAAGUACAUGGGUUGGAGGUAAGAGAAUGGUGAAGAUAGGUCAACCGGAGCAGUUGAAAACCAAACCCAAUGCGAACUUUUCCGGAAUAAGUGGAUGGGGGAUUGGAAUCCGAAUAUCAAAGGCUAUGCAAAUGCAACCAUUUCCUGUCUCAAUUUCUAAAAUCCACGGACCUAGUUGCCCUAUGUCGCUUCAUUUUCCUAUAAAAACACCAAUGAUUUGUUGACUUUCUUGUGUAACUAAAAGCCAAUGCACAUGUAGUAGAAACCGUUUCAAAUGCUUCCAAAAUCAUUUUGAAAAUUUUAAGGUAAUAGGUCUUCUUCUAACUUUUUAUCUUAACGAUUCAAAUUAUAUGAUAAAAUUUAUAUCGAGACAAGCUAAAACAAAUAAUAGUACCAAGUAUAAGAAAAAUAAGUUGUUUAAUAGUAUAAUUUAGAAAAAUAAAACAUUAUAUAUGAAAUACUCCACUAAGGAAGUAGUAUUGAUGAAUGAUGAUUUAUUAAAAAUUCAAAUAUUAUAAAUACUUUUUUUAUUUUAUUCUCAACAAAUGUACUAUGUAUUCAUUAUAAAAUAUUUUUCAUAUUUUAAAUUAUUUCUAAAAGUACUUUUAAAAAACAAACUGAAAACACUGUCCUUUAAAUCAACCUAUUUUCAAAAUAAAUUCUUAAAAUAUUAUUUUUUCAAACUUGUUCCUUAGAAAAACGGUGCUCUAUUCUAAAUAAAAAAACUUGUUUCAACGACAGUUUACACACGGCCACUAAAGUUACUUUUACCCAAUCACUUCCGAUGGGCCUAAAAGAGCUUUGAAUAGUCAAAGGGCUUUCAGUUAGAUGACAAUGGUCAGCCCCGGUCAAAAAAUGUGUACCCUCGAAAUCAGGCCCAAAAAAAUCAUCGGUGACAAUUAAUUUAUGGAAUUUAUUGUGGACUGACUCCGUGGGCCGGCACUGAGACAAAGGCUUUAACUCGUUACAGCCUUACAGGUUGAUGUAAAAUCUAGCAGGCCCCCGAUAUUCAAGCCCACAAUGUACGGCCUCAAUGGUGGCUGUCCGUGUCACUAUCAACAGCCCCGCCUUGGGCCCACCGCACAUUCUCCGUAUGGCGUCUGUGUCCCCAUCCACUGUAUGAAGCGCACGCUCAACCUUAUCGAAUCGCGUCCACUUUUGUUCAUGCGUUAACCGGUUUACUACUUCAAGAAUAAGCGUAUACUUCCAAUAGGUUUCUCAUAAAUGCAAGCCUCUUUCUUUUGAGUUCAAUAAUUGAUUUUUUUUCCAAGUAAUAAUUUUAAAAGCACGUCGCUAUUAUUAUAAAUAAUUAAUUAAAUGAUGACUUAUUUGAAUUAACUUUUCAGGAAUAAAAAAUCUCAAUUUUGAGUGCCUCCCAAAAAUUUGUAUAAUAGUAGUUUUGAAAAUUUGUCAAACAUAUUUUCUAAAUUAUAAAAUUAUUUUUUUCUGAACAAUAAAAAUUAUUAUAAAAAACAAUUUCUUUCGACAAUGUUAUUAAGAAAUAGUUUUAAAUUAUUUUUUAAAAAUAAAAUUUUAUUUGAAAUUUAGAUAUGAAAAUCAUUUUUAUAAAAUUAUUUACAUUUACACAUGUAUAAAAAUUGUUGAAACAUUUUUCAAAAUUUUAAUUAUUAUAUAGAAUAAAUUAAUAAUUUCUUUUUAGAAUAAAUAAUUCACCGUGUUUUUCAAGUUUUUUUAAACUUAUUUUCUUCCUAUGCUUGAUUAAUUGUCUUGAAAAAACUAAUAAUGAUCUUAUUAUAUAAGUAUUUUUUUAACUUGUACAGCAAGUCCAUCCAUAUUGUCUCUCUAAAGUUAUGACUUCAAAGCAACAAAACAAAAAAGACAACCAGAGGGGGCUUUUCUUUAUUGAUAUUGUCUCUCUAAAAUUUGCAAUAAAUAAAUAAAGACAAUAUGACUUCCUUACUAGUUAGUAGUUACAAAGCAUUUUUCUUUUUCUUUUUUUGUGGUAUUAUCAAGAAAAAUGUGUUAUACCUAAAUUCUAAAAUUGUGGCUUCUGUUUAUAUGUAAGCCAAACUGUCUCAAACGGGAUUUAGUUGAGAACUUGGAAUCUCGGAUCCGCGGGGAACCCGUCCGGGUCAAUUAUUGAAAGACGGGGGGGGGGGGGGGGGGGGGGGGAAAGGGGGGUUUUGGGAAUUUUCCAAAAAACCCCCCCCGGGACCCCCCCCAACAAAAAAGGGGGCCUGUUCCCCCCCCCCUUUUUUUUGGGGGUUUCUGGGUUUUUCCAUUUUUCCCAAAAGGGGGGGGUUUUUUUUUUUUUUUUCGGGUCCCCCUCAAAAACCCAAAAAGGGGGGGGGAAAUUUUUUGAACCCCCUUUUGGGGGGUUUUUUUUGGAAAAACCAAUUAAGGGGGGGGAAAAAAAAAGGAAAGGGGGGGGGGGGGGGGAAACCCCUAAAAAAUUGGGGGGGGGGGGAAAAAAGGGGAAAAGGGGGGGGGGGGGACCCCCAGGGGAAUUUUUUAAAAACCUUGAAAAAAACCGGGGGGAAAAAUUUCCGGAGGGGGGGCCCAGGCCCCGGAAAGGGGUUUUAAAAAANNNNNNNNNNNNNNNNNNNNNNNNNNNNNNNNNNNNNNNNNNNNNNNNNNNNNNNNNNNNNNNNNNNNNNNNNNNNNNNNNNNNNNNNNNNNNNNNGGGGUGCUUUUGGCAAUUUCGCAUAGCACUCACUCGUGACUCGCCCACAACCAAAAGCGAGCUCUGUUCCCUCUCCCUUUUCGUUCGCGGUUCUCUGCGUUUUCGCAUUAUCUCUGAACUGGAUGCAUUUUGCUUUUCUUCUUCGGUUCAGCUUCAAAACCCUAGAAUCGGGGCGGAGAUUUUUCUGAUCUUCAGUUUGAUGGUUUUUUCUUGAGAUACCGAUUCGAUGGCGGCGACGACGAUGGCGACGGCGGUCGGAGCGGCGAUGCUGCUAUACUAUGUGCUGAGUCGGAGAAUAGGAGGAAAGGAGCAGGAGGAUGAUCGCAAUGGUAAUUUUUCGAAGUCGUUGAGUAGAUCCGGGAGGAGAAUUGCUCGGAGGCCGGCUCAGGCGCCGGCGACGUGGUUUGAGACGAUCACAACGUUGUCGGAUACGCUUAGGUUUACGUAUUCGGAGACACUAGGCAAAUGGCCGAUUGGAGAUUUGGCUUUCGGCAUCAAUUAUCUCAUGCGUAGACAGGUGAGCUGUGUUGAAUGGCCUUAGUUUGGCUGUUGCUUUAAGAUUCUGUUUAUUUGCAACGGUUCUAGUUUUCGCCUAUGAGAUGUGUGAGAUGCAUAUUUUCAGUUGCUUGUUUAUAUCUUUGACUGUGAAUAGCCAUGGAUUGCAUAAUCAAUGAUUUCGUGAGAAUUUUAUAAACGUAAGUACAAAUUUUAUAUUUAUUUGCCGGGAAUUUCUCUCCUUUGAUUCUAAAUUCUCAUAAGUGUAAAUUUUAUAUUUAUUUGCCAGGAAUUUCUCACCUCGAUUCUAAAUUCUUUUUCUGUCAACAUAUGUUGAAUUUUCAACCAACAAACUUCACUUAAUGUCUAAAUAUGAAAUUUAUUGCAAAAUAUUACCUGCAACACGAGACUCUUGUUUGUUUGUAUUACACCAAGCUCAAGGAGAAGAAUAUGCCUCUAAUUGUCAAGAAUUCUCUCUGAAUUAUGAGCUCAUGUGAACUGUUUUCAGUUUGUGCUUCCUCGAUUUAGUUCUUAGACUUGUAUAUAUAUAUUCUAAGAUUUCUUUGAAGUUUGCUCAUCAAAAUAAGUAAAUAAAUAAAAAAAUUGAGAUUUCUUAGUUUUUAUGUUCUCGCAGGGUAACUUACAAGUUGCUAGUGUAUAUGCUGGAUGUAAUUCUGUACAACUCAAAGGCCCAGAAAUUAUUGCAGAGUUGAACUAUUAUCUGAGGUUGUUGACCCUUUGUAUGCUUUUUUCAAAGAAGUCAUUUCCAGUAUUUCUAGAGACUGCUGGCUACACUCAGGCAGAUGUACUUCUUCAGAAGCCUAAGGCAGGGGUAUGUAAUUAUCUUAAAUAUGCUUAAUUGUGUUCAAACUUGAAAACCUCACUACCUACACUCAGAUAUGAAAAGGACUGAAACAUGAUAACAAAAUUACUUUUAAGCAUUCCUGCAGAGAUCCCAUCCCUAUAGAUUAGGACAUGAGAACUAGCUCCUCUCUGAUGAAGUUCCUUCUUUUGAAUAAGAUCAUUUUACUAAAAGCGGAUGGUUGAUUACAAACCUUGGUUAUAAUUUAACAGUAAUUUGUGGGUAAAUAUGUGGAUAACAGAGUCUCUAAUCUAUAUAGUUUUCUACCACUUGCUAAUUCUACAACCUUCUUCCUUGAAAUAGUCAUGCAGCCUCUAUUCCAAUCAACUUAAUUUAUAGGUUGCCCCGGAGACUUGACUCAGGUGGCAAGGACUGGGAUUUGGAAGAGGACAUUCCAUGUAGCAAAAAGAAAAAGGAAAAAAAAGAAAACUUAUAGAAAAAAUGAUCUCUAAUUUAUAUGAUAAAGCAUGGUUGUUUACUUAUUCUGUUUUUAUUUCCUUUUAUUUUUUAUUAGAAGAAUAUAAUUUGAUAUUCUUUUUUCAGCUUCUGAAGCCUGCUUUCACAAUUUUAUGUGAUAGAAAUUCAAAAUGCAUCCUUCUAUUGAUUCGGGGUACUCAUAGCAUUAAAGAUACUCUAACAGCUGCAACUGGUGCUGUGGUUCCUUUCCACCAUUCAGUUUUACAUGAUGGUGGGAUAAUCAAUUUAGUUUUAGGAUAUGCACACUGUGGAAUGGUUGCAGCAGCUCGUUGGAUUGCAAAGCUUAGCACCCCUUUCUUGCUCAAGUCUUUGGAAGAACAUCCUAGCUUCAAUGUUAAGGUAGAUGCUCUCACUAUGAUCUAAAUGAAUAUCAUACAUUUUAAUUUGUCUUGAUUGUUCUUUUUUCUUUUAUCCAUUUCUGGUUUUUAUGAUCAUACAUUCAUAGGUUUAUUUUGAGUGAUUUUUGCUAUACUGAUAUUAAAAUAAAUCCAACCAUCAACACACUAAAGUUAAUGCACCAUAAAAUUUUCAAAAUUUUUGUUGUAUAACAAAUACUGCUCUUCAUGGUAGCUGCACGACCUGUGCUGUAAUUUCUGAUUGCCUCAAUAACGAGGUCUGGUCAAAAAAACUAAUUUCCAUGUUAUUGGUCCUUUUGGGGAGGGGGGCUUUGCUUAACAAGCCCUAUCUGGUGAAUUGGUCCAUUGUUUGCUUAGAUAAACAAAAAGAGGGCUUGGGUUUCAUAAAUCUUUUGACCUUUUACAAGGCUCUUCUAGGAAAAUGAUCUUGGAGAUUUGUGACUGAAAGGAAUCCUCUUUGGAAGCAGGUGACUGUGGAAUAGUACGGGCAUGACAAUGGGGGUUGGUGUAUGAAAGAGGUGGGAGAGAGUUAUGGAGUGGGAGUUUGGAGGACAAUCAGAAAUGGUUGGGAGGCGUUCAAAGGUAAGACUAGUUUUAAGGUUGGUUCUGGGGAUAAGGUGAAAUUUUGAACGAAUAAGUGGUGCGGGGAUACACCUUUUGAGGGAUUCAUUCCUGAAUUUUUAUUUUAUAGCCUCUUCAAAAGAUGCUUGGGUGGUUGAUAUCUAGGAAGGAGGCAGUUGGGGCCCUAGGUUCCUUAGAUAGCUGAAUGAGUGGGAGUUGGAGGAAGCUGAAGUCUUUUUUGGGAGGCUGCAUGAUUUUUCCAUCUUUUCGGGGAAUGAUAACAAUUUGGUGUGGUUGGAGACAAAGAAUGGUGUCUUUUCAAUCAAGCCUUUCUACACCUCCUUGGCAAGUAGGAGAGUAAAGUCUUUCCCUCAUAGUAUAGUCUGGAACUUUUGGGCUCCUGUAAGAGCUAGCUUUUUUGCUUGGGAAGCAACUUGGGUUAAGAUAUUAACUCAGGAUCAGAUCAAAAAGAGAGGCAGGAGGAUGCCUAGUAGAUGUUAUUUGUGCAAGGCAGAAGAAGAAAUGGGGGAUCAUGUCCUCCAUUGUCUGAAAGUGCGUAUUUUGUGGCAGUUGAUUUUUGCUCUAUUUGAUGUUCAGUGGGUGAUGCACUUUUCAGUGAGAGAGAUGCUCUUGAUUUGGGGUGACUCCUUUAUUGGCCAAAAAAGGAAAAAAGGCUUGAAAAGGGGCUCUUUUAUGCCUUUUUUGGUCCAUUUAGAGGGAGAGAAAUAGGAAAACGUUUGAGAAUUGUGAAAGCUUGGACCAAACAGUUAAAAGUUCUUUUUUGGGAUUGAGUUAGAUUGUCCAUUGGGGAUGGUUCUUUGGCUUUGUGGAUUGGUUAGGCUCUUUGUGGGUGCGGUUACUUGUUUUUGUGUAUUCGCACCUUUUGGUUUUUGUUGCUUUGUGUACAUUGUGUGUACCUUUUAUUUUUACUACAAUCUUCAUUUGUCUAUCAAAAAAAAAAAAAAACUGUAGAACAGCCAUUUUGAUUCUUGUUGAGCCUUAUAAUAGAUCAAUCAUUUACCCAACUUUGAGAGACGAGCAAAGCUGUUUCAAGAUGCAACCCUAUUUGAUAGGUUAUAUUUAGCUUAAACUUACUAGUUAUUGCUAUUGGACUGUUGAGAAACUAGUUAUAGAAUCAUUUUGAAUUUAUUAAUGUUUGCUUUCCUAGGAAUUAAAAAUUUUUCAGCCUUUUCCACUAUAUACUUGUAUGUUCUGCUAUCAUGAUAUUAGCUCUCAAUUCUAGAUCUUUGUGUAUAAUCUCAAGUUACAAUUUUAUUUGCAUCUAUAAACUUUGUUUCCUUUUUCAUUUUAAGAUUGUUGGGCAUUCACUUGGUGGUGGUACUGCUGCGCUGUUAACAUAUAUUCUUCGAGAACAGAAAGAGUUAUCCUCGACCACUUGUGUCACAUUUGCCCCAGGCACGUACCAAUCAAAUAUGAUGCUUACAUUUCCUUUUGAGCACAUUCAAAGUGAUAACUAAUUCAUCACACUUAAACCAUUGAGAGUGUGUAAAUUCUUUUUCCUAUAUAUGCAAGCAUUCCAUUUUUAACUUCUUUUUUCAUGCCCCUUUGUUUAAUUAAAUGAAAACAGAUGGAGAUCACCCUAGCUUUUUUGAUGAAUUUGCAGUAAUAUGGAUUCCCACAUCAGUUACAACUCGGGAUCUUACCUAUGAUUUCCAGUUUUAAAUGAUCCAGAAGCAAGUUGAUGUUAUUUGUCUGUGACCUGUGUCUGAUAUGAAUUCAGCUCUGUUUCGUUGCAAGAUAACUCCAAACAUCCUAGGACCUAGAGUUUCUAAUUAUUAUCAUGAUUAUUCAAUGAUUUCUUCAUCGGAUUUGGAUUAACUAAUGGUAUGGAGUUUUGCUACUAGAAUGUUCAAUUUUCCUGUAACAUUCUGGUUUGCAACCAAUGAGACCCAGUAGGAUGAAGAAUACACACAUCUAAACUUAUGGGCUAUUUGAAUUUGAGAUAUAACAUAGAUAUGGAACAUUGUUUGUCUGUGUGUGUGGAGGGGACUAACAAACUCUAUUAUAAAACAUGGUGGUAAAAUUUUUAUUUUUUCAGCAAGGUUUUUUAAAUGGCAACACAAAUCAUAGCCUCAUUUGACUGCCAAUUUUUGGCAAUCCUUGAUGCCGAGGAUGAGUGAUGAAAAUCUGCUUGGAGCCAUUUUGAUUAGGUUUUCAAGCUUGAAAUGAGUUAAAUUCCUUUUGUCCUCAUGGAAAAGCAUAAUCAUCCAAGUCCAUUUUUCUGAAAUGUGACUUAUCUAUUCCCGGUUACUGUAGGUAAAUUUCUAUUUUAGUGCGAUGUGCUUCUCUCUAAACGCUUGAAUUACUGUUGCCAUUGUGCAGCUGCCUGCAUGACGUGGGAUCUAGCAGAAUCAGGAAGGCACUUUAUCACUACUGUCAUCAAUGGUUCUGACCUGGUGCCUACAUUUUCAGCAGUGUCUGUUGAUGAUCUUCGCUCUGAGGUGCUGUAACCUUGUGCAUAUAGAAUAUUUAUUCUUGUUAAUUAUGAUGUGAGUUCCUAUCUUAAGCUCUAAUAGGCAUCAGAAUCCUAAUUUUGAGUGGAUAUAAUCAGGUCACCGCGUCAUCUUGGUUAAAUGAUCUGCGUGAUCAAGUUCAGAGAACAAGAGUCAUUAAUGUCGUUUAUCGCUCUGCAACCGCUCUGAGUUCUCGGUUGCCUUCAAUAGCCAGUGCAAGGGCAAGAGUUUCUGGUGCUGGUGCACUUCUGCGUCCUGUCUCCAGCAGCACUCAGGUAAAAUGUGACUCAUUUUUGUGGAUGACAAACCAGUGACUGAAUCUAAAUUGUCAAUAUUCAAUAGUGGAUUAAAAUUUAUUGCAACUCUAUGAGCACCAUGCGCAGCUACAGUAGAUAAUUGAACUGUCUGAAUUCUGAUGUCUGAACUGCACAUGACUCAUUUUUUAUUUUUUUUUUCUGAGUCUAAAAAUACCUAACAUGCACCUUUAUCUGUUUAAUUUCUUGGUCAUCUUGUCUCUCUUUAACAUGACCUGAGUAUUUUUUUGGCAAAUUGCAGGUUGUGACACAGAAUGUCACUGAGGCGGUUGUCAGGACCCGCUCAUCUCUGUCAUCAUGGUCUUGCAUGGGUGCACGUCGCCGCAAUGUGGGCUCACUACCAAGCCCUAAAGAAGAGGAUUUGCCUGAGGCUUCUCUAAUAUCUUCUGAGGUAACAUCUGAAUCCCUUGUGACUGAAGUGGGAACGAGAGUCUCAGUUGUAAAUAAAGCGGAAUGCAGCUCUUCCAGUGGUGGAUCAGGCAAUGACGACACAGAUGAAGAGGUAACACUCCUCCCAGGUGAUAGAGAAGUUACCACAGCCACCACAGAAGACAUCACCGAUGGUGAGCUGUGGUAUGAACUGGAGAAGGAGCUCCAGAGGCAGGAGGACGAACCCGAUGUUCAGGCUCAGGAGGAAGAAGCGGCUGCAGUUAUAGAAAUCACUGAAGAGGAGAACAUGUUGGCUGAUGCAGUUGAGAGCAAAACGCCCAACUCCUCUGAUGUUUCGGAGAGCCUGCACUUCUAUCCACCUGGCAGGAUUAUGCAUAUUAUUUCUAUGCCCCCAUCAAAUGACAAUGAUUCAGUUGACAAUGACACUGGCGCUGGCCCUGCUGAAGAACAUGUUGCUAUUUAUGAGACACCUAGGAAUCUGUACAGUAAGCUCCGGCUCUCAAAGACAAUGAUUAAAGAUCAUUUUAUGCCUAUGUAUAAGAAGAUGAUGGAAUUGCUAAUCAGGGAACUGGAAAAUGAGGAAGCCAGUAGCUAUGUUAUGUGAAAAAGAAAAAAAGAAAAAAGCAACAAGAUGAUAGUGAAGAAAGAUAUACCCGUGUUUGAGAAAAACGAACAGGUUUUGUCUUUGAUGAUUCAUUGUAGACUCCACUUAUUUUUUUUACCAGCUUGAAAAGGGAUUACAGGAUAUCAAUAGAUAAAAAAUUUGAUCGUCAGUGUAUGUUUGAUCAUGUCAAAGUGUGGAUAUUGACAAGGCACGAUUCUUACCGACUGUUGAAUCCAAUUGUAGAAUUCAACUGUUUCUUGAGGCUGCAUGUCAAUCAGAGAAAGAAAAAAAAGAGAGAAUCCAACUCAGGCAAAUUCUUGCUCGAGUGUGUUUGGCAGCAUGUUUCAAUUAUUCUAAACUUAAAUAUCAUUCGCAUUAAAUGAUACAAACUAAAAUGAUUCAACUAAUGGCGGGUGUGUUUUGCAGAUCCAUUUCAAGGAGAUUAAUUUGAUACCAGUGGAGCCAAUUUACUCAGUCUUCCUCCUAUGGUAUACAGUAUCUCCCACCUGGAGGCAAGGGCAAGACAUAUUAGAAGAUUCACGAUUCACUCCCAACUCACCAUUCAACCAACUAGAAGGAAAAAAAGAGUCGCGAGAAAGUUUCCUUUCUUUCAAAUUCCCAUGCUAAAUGUUGACAAUAAGCCAAAAGUAGAAUUUGGGGUCAAUUGGCCCAUUUUACGUGCAUGAUAUAACUCAUAGCAUCUUUUGAAACUAUUGUCCAAAAUAUAUAUUUUUUAAAAUUAGUUUGAAACCGUAUUUUAGGCUUCCAUAUGAAUUAGAAAUUGCUGUAUUAAAGUGUUUCUAAAUGUAUAUUAAAAUCAUACUUUCAAGACAUGGUUUUUAUAUUUGUAAUAAACCGUAAUUUCAAGAUGCAGUUUGAAAUAAAUUUAAAAAGAAAAAACAAAAAUAAAAUAUAUGGUAAAGGGGCCAUUUUGAACAAUAGUUUGAGACGCCGACGAUAGUUUGAGAAGAGGACCAAAAUAGUAAUAUUUUAAUGACCAAAAAGGUCAAUUUGAAACAAAACUUCAGAAAGUAACAGAAAGUUGGUAUCAUAUUCCCAUACCAAAUUUAGCGGACUGGUUAAAAUCAACCACCAUAGCGAGCCCUGAGGGAUUCCGGAGGCUCCUCUUCCAUGAUGCCUGAACCUGUUGUGGCCAAGUAUUCACGGAUGGUUGUUUUACGGUCCGCCAGGAAAGUGUGAUCUAGAAAAUUGUUGUAAGCUGCGUCACUUAGAUUCUUUGCAGCCAACACACUACAGAGUAUUUAACGACCUUCACUUUGUCAACAAAGUUGGCAUUGCAAACAGCGUGCAUAUGAAAAGCAGCAUAUUGAAGCAUAGUUUUCUAGAUCAACAUAGGUGUGAAGAAAAUGUGGUUCUUGUGAGUUGGAAACAAUUCCCAUAUCCCUCAGGCAAUAAAAUAUGUAAAAAAUAUAUAUAAAAGAUAAUCAACACUGACCAGUGUCGAAGAUAAACACGGCAAGGUAAAACAUCAUCUCGCCAAAUCUUAUGGAUGUUAUGGCGGCCAUAUUGCUGAAAAUAUAUCUCCUUACUUCCUGCAUAAUAGUAGCAAAAAAAUAUAUGAGAAUGCAUUCCUACAUUUCAAUGACAAGCAGCAAAGGCGGAAAAAGAGUACAAAGGAAUUAAAAAAAAAAAACACUGACUGCUCCAAUGAUAAAGAUCGAUGAAAUCAAAUAGAGAUCUUUUUCCCCAUUAGUAUUUGAAUGAUGUCCAUAGGUUUUCAUUCCCUUUACAUUUAGCUUGUACAGAGCCUUAAGUUUUAUGGUAAGAAUUAUUUAAUCUUCCUUGAAUGUUGGAAUCACUGUAGAAAAGUAAAAACUCCAUUUCUCAAUUAUAUAUAGGGGCAUAGCCAUUGCAAGCUUCUUAAUCUCUUAAACAACAGGAUGAAUGGCAUCACUACCAACUUACAAAGUUUAUUACUAGGAAGUUGGUCAAAUCAUCAAACUGGAAUUCAGAACAAAUUUGUCAUUUAAUGGAACCUAUAGGCCAAAUGAUUACAUGGGUAGGCAGAAAUUUUGGGUCUUAACAAUCCUAGUUGCAAAGGAGAUGAGACUGGAAAAUCAAUGUCAAAGAAGAAGCAAAGAAAAAGGUUUUAUUAUCUAUGUUGGCUAAAAGUAAUUGAAUCUUACAGCAGAAUUAUGCUGAAGAUGAUGAAAAAGGAAAUAUGAUACAAUGCAAUGCUGGGAAAUUAAGAGCACUAAUCUGAGUAGCCAUGCUGUGAUGGAGAAAUGAAUCCCUGUGAUUAAGUUAAUUCCAUUUCAUAUAUUACUUCUGCAAAUCUAUCAUUCCAUAUAUUUGUAAAAUACUAGUAAUUUUCUCAGCUCCUAAACAUUGAGAUGGAUGAUAUUUUAGGGGGAAGAAGCAUAUAACUACCAUUUACUUUUGAAAGAAACAUGUGGACCUAGGUGACAAGAAAAAGAUUUACACAACAGAUCAAUGUAUAAUAAGUUACUCAAGUUUUUCUCAACAUGUUUUUCUACAGCACACCAGGUUAGUUUUCUAGAUUAACACUGUAUAAAGUUCUUUCAAAAAACUGUUAGAAUAAUGGCCAUCUGAAAACCCCAGGUUAAAUGAAGUGUAAAUUCCAAGUAGUACAAUCAUCUUUGGAUGAAUCACUCAACUUGUUCAGUAUUUUAUGCAAUCAAUCUCAACCAUGAGCAGAACAGUGGCUAUUUGAGAAACCCAUGUUAUACAAAAAUGCUAAUAAUUAACAUCAGAAGCAGUCACCAUCCUUGUCAAGCAUGCUGCAGAUGUCACGAAAAAGUAAUUAAGUUUAUUCUCAAGCUAAUAGUAAGUAGGACACCAAAGAAGAUUACCUUUGCAUCUAUUCUGGAAAAAUUCCUCAUCACUGUAACGAGCACAAAGUACCUGCACACAUUCACAAACCGUCUGUUUCAGAAUAAUUUAUGAGCAAAUCAUACAGCGGCAAAGAACCAAAAAAAAAAACUAUAGUGCAAAGUGAACCACCGCUGGAGUAGUAAAGAGCUUCCCAUCUAAUGUUUCAGGGAAGACCUGCCAUAAAAUAUUAAAUGGAUUCAGGUUCACAAACAAAUAAGAUAUUAAAAAAAUAAGAAAAUAUCAAUGAAGUAAACAUGUAACAAACUUACAGCUAAGAAUCGAAACUCAUGCUCCCUCUUGAUAAAAGAUGGAAUCUGACCUUGUGAAGCAGCAUAUUGAGUUAAUAUUGAGAAUUGUGAAAUCAUUCAUCUGUUCUUGCUUACACUCAAGAUUCAAAUUAAGCACCAACAAUUGAAAGUUUUUGUUUACCUCAGAUCUUUGAAUCUCAAAUACAGUAACUAUAAGGGUUUCCCCUUCACAAGGCUCCACACUCAAGCUUGAAAUCUCCUGAAAUGUUACAAUUAACACAAAACAAAAAAUUAAUCCAAUUUUCUUCAUCAUAUAAAAACUUCCCCACUAAAAAUUGAAUAAACUAAGGUCAAUUUGUUGUUGAGAAAAUGUAAGAAAAACAAAAAUAAAAACUCCUCUGCGAAUUCUAACAAAAUCCAUGACUUAGUUGACGUGAAUUUUCGCAAUUUCAAAACCAAAAACAGCACAAAACAUGAGAUUAUUGAAGAAUUUCUCCCAUUCCCCCAAAUUUCUCAGCAACCAAACAGAAAUAAAGUUAAAAUGAAAAACACUGCUAGGAAUAAGUUUAUAUUAACCAUGGUUUCUGGUUUGGCGAUGCCGCGCUCAAAAAAAAUUGGAGCAACAUGAGCGAAGACACGUCGAAAGCUGUUCAAUCUCGCAACUCUGAAGUUCAUCAGAUCCGGAAAUGUGCUCCUCGCACUUCUCUCUGGUUCCACAACGCAUCAUACACACAUUGAUCGUAUAAUAACAACGCAAGAAUUCUAGUAAUGGUGACAACGAUCGUCCUUACCUGAGAGCAGAGAACCGAAGCCGCAGACGGAGAGAAGACCAAGACCACCGUCGGGAGAGAGAACUUUUUCGAAAUCGGAUUCAUCCUUCAAUUCAAUCAGUUUGGAAUCAUCACGAACCUCGCCCGACGACAUGGCCGGAGAUCGAGUUUGGCGGAGAGGUGAAGAGGAGUGUGUUUGGUUGUUGCUUUACGAUGAGUUGGGAAGGUGAGUCCAGGGAACUCUUUUGAUUUUUGAAUGUCGCCACGGGCCACGCUCCAUGCGCGCGAGUAAGUGGUCAUAGGCAGAAAAAGCAUGACUGGUGGGCGGUUGUUGGCGGUUUUGCCAUUUGUCAAUCACUUGAAGGGUACUAAGGUCAAUUCAAGUGGCACCUCCAAAUGCAUAAUUACAAAAAAAAAAAUUAGCUCACUGUUCUUACGUUUUAAAAACUAAGUUUAUGUAGAAAUUAUAAUUACCAAAAUACCUUUUUCUUCAACUUAUCUGCACCCACCUAUACUCUCCAUUUUCUCAGCAACUAAGCAUUUUCUCUCCACAUCCACAUAUUAUGCAAAAUCACCCUCAACUGGAGCUAACUAUACUAGUGAUGCCACAAAUGAUUUUUAAAUCUAGAACAAAUUUAUCCUAGAAGGCUAAAAUCAGUUCUAAAAUAAUCAUAGAAUUUAAGGGUGAUGGAAGUUACAUGUUCCAACAAUGAACCAUUAAAUUUAAUAGAAGAUUCACAGUUUAAAUCUCCAAUAUGGUGACUAAACAAAUUGAAGGAGAAAAAGGGGGUGAAGAGGGCUUUUACAUAUUUCAAUUGCCUCCAUUGACUCUCCCCCUUAUUUUUAGCCUGCACAAACCGCAAGGUUGAAGAAUUUCAUGUCCUAAUAUGGGAAGCCUUAUUUGCAGCUACCAAAUUUGGCUCUGCUCUGUGGACUUGUUCAUAUCAACCACCAUAACGGGCCUUGAGGGAUUCUGGAGGCUCCUCUUCCAUGAUGCCUGAACCUGUUGUGGCUAAGUAUUCCUGGAUGGUUGUUUUGCGGUCUGCAAGGAAAGUGUGAUCGAGGAAGUCGUUGUAGGCUGCAUCGCUGAGACUCUUUGCUGCCAACAAACUACAGAGUGUUUUGCAGCUUUCAGCUCACAUAUAGAAGUUAGUACUUGAAAACAAAAGUACAUCCUAGGAAGUGUAAGUAUUAGAUCAUAUCAUUUACUAGGGUGUGAACAAAAUAUUGCACCGUGGUUCAACAUUUGUAAAUCAUUCCCAGAUUCUUCAAGCAAUACUAUGAACAUGUGUAAGCAAAACAUUCAAGGAUAAUUAACACUAACCAGUGCCGAAGAUAAACACGGCAAGGGAAGACAUCAUCUCGCCAAAUCUUGUGGAUGUUAUAUCGCCCAUAUUGCUCAAAAAACAUCUCCUUGCUCCCUGUAUGAAAGUAGCUAGCAAAUUAGCAAGAGAAGAACAUGUGGAAAGAAAUUCAAAAUGACCCCUUAACAAGUCCAAUGAUCGAGUCAGCUGCAGUACAUGAAGAUCUCAGUUCUCACACAGGUAUGGAGAGCCUUAAGGUUUUAUGAUAAAAAUUAUUUUCUACUUCCUCUUAAGUAAAACACAAAGAACAUGACCAAUAUGCCCAGCUUCUCAAUCUUUAAAAUCAAAUAAUGAUAGUUGACAUCACUUCCAACAUUAAAGUCUAAUCCAUUAGGAGUUGGACACGUCCUUACAAUGAUGCACAAAAGAAUCAUGUGUUAUUUCCUGGAACCUAAUACCCAAGCCAUUACAUGAGUGAGGAAGAAUUUUUGGAUCUUAAUUAUUGGGUUACAAAUUAGGGGUUAGAACUCUAUCAAGAUCAACAGUCAUCCAUGAACUUAAUUUCAUGAGAGGUCUGGAACAUCCACAUCCAAGAAAAGGGCUUCAAAAUCUGAGAAUAUUAUAGCACAAUUACAGAAACGAAAGAGAUGAUGCAAUGCUGAGAAGUUAAGUGCAUUGACUAGAGUCACCCUGCUGCAGGCUCAUUACUUGUGCCAGAGAAAUGAAAUCCUUGUGAUCUUAUUAAUUCCAUUUCACUUGUUAUUUUCUAAGAAAAAAAAUGUGUGCAAAAGGAAAGGAAGGAUGCAUAUUGUUCCUGGGCAGAACAGGUCUCUGAUCAGGACAUACAAAAUCUUAUUGACCACCAUCAACUUGUUCCAAUGAGAAUGCUGAUGACUUAUCACAGAAAAUAAGGCAUAGAACAAAUGGAACCAUUCUAAUCUUUGGUUCCAAACUUCAAAACUUGUCUAAAACCAACAGAACUUGGCACUCAAUCAGGUACCUACAACUCCAAAUUUAUUUUUAAAAUCAAGGAAGAAUCAGCUUUAUGCACUUUCUUAAAUACUAAAGAGUGGACUCUUAGAAAUAAAUAAAAGAAUUCAACCAUCACAAUUGGUUUGCAGAUAUGAAUUUAAAUUAAAGGACUAAGAACAGAGUUUACCAUUAUAAAAAAUAGUAAACUGAAAUUGCAGUUCAGGGUUCCAAACUGCCACUGAGCUAUCAUGCAAUUCUGGAUUCAGGACCUAUUGAUCUAUUGGAGAUUACAAUUUGUAAAGUAGAAGUAAUUUUGUCAGCUAUCAAUACCAUAGAAGAUAGCGAUAUAUGACUAAAAAUUUAGCUUUAGCACAAACAAUAGCCAGAUUUAAAUUGAUCUUAUCUAGAAAUUCUCUCAGUAUCCUUUCCUUGAGGCAUACCAGGUAUGAUUUCAAGAUCCACAGUAUAAGCUUAUAAGGAUCCUAAAGAAAGGAAUAUGAUUGUGAAGCACACAUGUUCGUGAAGCACACAUGUUCCAAGUUGUAUGUAGUCAUCUAUUCACCUUCAAACAAGUCAAUCAACUUGUUCAGUAUUUCAUGCACUUGAUCUAAAUCACAAACAAAAGAGUGGCUAGAGUACACAACUCAAAACAAGAAUUAUAGAUGUCCCAGGGAAGUACUCAUUUGUCAUAUUUCUCUCCCCAGGUGCCUAUAACCAUAGAGGUCUUUAAACUAAUAGGAAAAUCCAAAGAAGAUUGAUUACCUUUACAUCUAAUCUGCAAAAAUUCCUCGUCACUGUAACGAGCACAAAGCACCUAAAUAAAAUCCACAAACCCAUAAUCCAUUAAUAAAGUAAUUUGCAGCCAAAUAAUAGAAAGGAAAAUGAGAAGCCAUGGAAAAUAUUUUUACAGCAUAGUGAAUCAUCCAUUUCACGCACCGCUGGACUAGUAAAUGGGGUCCCAUCUAGUGUUUCAGGGAAGACCUGCCAUUCACAUUCACAUAUAAAGAAGGCAACCAAAAUGUUCGAAAUGACAAUCGAGUAAAAAUCCAGGAACUCACUGCUAGAAACCGAUACUCAAUCUCCCUCUUGAUAUAAGAUGGAAUCUGACUUUAAGAAGUAGCACAUUAAGUUAAUCUUGAGAAGUAGAACUUCACUACCCUGUUCUUUAAGAUUCAAAAUAAGCACUAAUAUCGUUGUUUACCUCUGAUCUAUGAAUCUCAAAUACAGUAACUAUAAGGCUUUCCCCUUCACAAGGCUCCACACUCAAGCCUGAAAUCUCCUGAAAUGUUUGCAGUUUACAUAUAACGAAUAAUGCAUUCAGUACAAUUUUCCUUGUCAUAAGAAAGACCUCCCUUUGCUCAUAACUAAAUGAUUUAUCUCCAUUUGGUUUCUGAGGAAAUCAGGAAAAGAAAGAAUAUCUCUCUAUGAGUCCAACAAAAGCCAAUUGCCAUAGUUGUGGUAAGUCUUUUCCUGCUUUUUGAGGGGGAAAAAAAUAUUAAAUUCAACAUUCUAGGGCCUGUUUGGCAGUGAAAAUAGGAAAUGUUCUAUAUUUUAUCUGUAUUAAAAAAAUAGAAAAAAAAAACACAAAAAGCAUGUGCAUCAACAUUUUUCUGAAAGUUUUGGAUCAACAUGGUUUUUAAAAACUUUUUAGGAACAUGUCCCCAAAAACCGUAUUCGGGAACAUUUCCUGAAAACAGGUCUUCAUUAUAUUUGUUAAAAUAUAAACUAUAAUUUUUUUCAGUUCUAAAUUUUGAGUUCUAAAAAUUCCAAGCACAUAAGCUAUUGAAAAUAGUAAAAUGACACUACAGUUUAACUGUAAAAAAAAAAAGAACAGAUUCUGAAAACACAAUUUUUAUACCUGCCAGCAAACAAGCCCUUAGUUUUUUUUAUUACUUUCCUGAGUUUUCUCAGCAACCAAACAGAGGUCAGGUACUUGACAAAAGGCACUGCUAAGGAAUGAGUUUAUAUUAACCAUGGUCUCCGGUUUGGCAAUGCCGCGCUCAAAGAAAACUGGAGUAACAUGAGCGAAGACACGGCGAAAUCCGUUCAAUCUUGCGACUCUGAAGUUGAUUAGAUCCGGAAAGGUACUCCUCGCGCUCCUCUCUGGUCCCACAGCGCAUCACACACAUUGAUCGCAUACUAACAACAAGAAAAUUCUAGCAUGGAUGAUGAUCAUACAUACCGGAGAGAAGAGAACCGAAACCGCAGAUGGAGAGAAGAUCAUCGUUGGAGGAGGCAAGCCUUUCGAAAUCGGAUUCGUCGUGAAGUUCAGUCAGUUCAGAGUGAUUGAUGACGUCCCCGGAAUACAAGGCCGGCGAGGAUGCCCAGCGGUCGGGUUUGGCUACGAAAUGAAGAGCAGUGUAUGUAGCUAUCGCUCUGUGAGGUGUUGGGAAGGCAAGUGACGAGAGGCUUCUGGAAUGGCGCCACCGCCCAGUGCGCCCACGCCCUCGCGAGGAAGUCCAGAGAAUGAAUGGGAAAUCGAGAGAAGUGGUCAUCGGAAAAGAAGCUAGAGGGGAGAGAGGGUCUUUUUGCUAUUUAUUAAUCACUCAGGGUCGUUUUUGUCAUUUCAGUACCGCCCAUGUUCUAAGGGAUAAAAAUGGAAGAGACUAUCCUUCCCUUUUACACGCUCACAAGUCACAAGUCGCAUGCUUAUUAACCUAAGUUAUCCCAAUUUACCUAAAUUACCCUCCUCUUUCACUAGUCUUCUUCCUUAAAAAAUCUUACUUUUAUGGAUGAAAUUGGUGUCAACAACAAUGUUUAGUUGUCAGAAAAUACAAGGAGAGAAAAAAAAGGCGUUCAUUGAGAAAAAUAUACGGAAAAAAAAUCAAAUAUAAUUAAUUAAAAUUUUAUAUAUUUUUAAAUUAUUUAAACGUGAAAUGAUUUUAAAAAAUUAUUAACUUUAAAUAUAUUUUUUUUAUUUUUUUUAUAUAUAUUUUUGGAACCAAACAUAAAGAGAGAUUUUGAUUAUAAAAGAGUUAACAUACAAGUUUUUAUACACUCUUGGCAUUUUAGUAUCCAACGUUAUAAAAGUGCAUCGAAAUAUAGUGUAAGACACCUCUUCUAAUGUUUACGGGCAUGUCUUCGGACAUUUAUUUAUUGUUUGGAAGUAUACUUCCCAAUGUUAAAAAGAAUACCUCAGCGAAAAUUUUUGGAUAACUUCAACUUACCUUCCUUAGAACGAACUCCCAAAAUGCCCGAAAAUAAAUAAAUAAGUUUUUAAAAAAAAAAAAAAAAACAAAAUAAAAACCAUACAUCUUGGUUUAUAACAAUGAUGAUUUUCUUAUCCAUUUAUCUAAAAAAUAAUUUUUUUUUAAACCCUUCAUAGGAGAAAUGGAAGAAGAGGAAUUGUUAUGUACAUGAAUUUAUAAAGGUUGAGUAAUCUUGUCAUAAAACAAUUAUUAGGUAAUAUAGAGCCAUUUGGAAGCGAUUUCAAAUGCAACUCUCCAAAAUAAUUUUUAAAAACAAAAUUUUGUUUAAAAACUCUACCUACAGAAAUUUUUUUAAAACAUUUUCUUUGUUUUCAAUUGUUACUCAUCACAUUCUAAAAAACAACUAUUGAAAACACAUAAAUUUAUUCUAAAAUGCUGUGGCUUGAAAACAAUUUUUUAUUUUAAAUUUAUCGAACUUUUUUAUCAAAAAUAAUUUCCAAACUGGCCAUCAUCUGUCCACGUGUAAACCUCUUAAGGGCUUUUCUCAUAAUAUCAUUAGAGCACAAUGUGGCUUCUAAACCAUCACUUACAUCCCCAUUCUGUUUCUACACGUGAGUAAUCUUAAAUACCAUCAAGAUAUUUCUCUUGUAAAUUACAGCACAUAACAGCACUAGUAUUUUUGAAUAAUACAAAAACAUACAUGAGAUUUGAUCCAACUGGUGAAGAUAUAAUUUAGAAACUAGGAAGAGUCCACAAUAUUCAGGAAAGUUCCUGUUCACAUUUUUGGUUUUUCAUUCAAACUUGCAUACAUUUAAAGGCAUGCAACAAAGAUAUUUAAAUUGAAACAUAGUUGAAACUUGAAAGAUAGCAUAAAGGCAAGGGCAAUGAGCAAUUACCCAGCUUUUGUCAUGCCAGCCUCUUCUAGGACCUUAGCAUUGUUGCCUUGCUGGGAGGGUGAAGGGUGGAAGAAGAGGCAAAUAGCUGUGAUGUCAUCCGUUGCAACACCCCGUUUCUUUCGUUUCCAUGCAUCAACUGCACAUUCCACCAGCCUUUUAGCAGAUUUGUUUCGGUCUGGUGCUGAAGAAACAAUCUCAACUGCCUCUUGGUUAGAGAUGACAUCCCAUACCUGAACACAAAAGCCAAGCAAUUGCCCAAUAAUCCAGAACAAUUUGUCAUUUAUGGGUUUUUCACUAAGAUCAAAUCUACUUAAAAUCUAACCUUUGCCAAACCAAUUUAAGAAAGUAAUGCUUUGAUGUAAAAUUUGGAACCGGAAACAAUGAAAGGCAUACCCCAUCUGUGGCUAAAAUGGCAAAUUGGUCUCUGCUGGUUAUAUUUCUUUGUGUGACUUCAGGCACGGAAAUAACCCCAAAGUCCUUCAUGCAGUAGUCACCAAAGGCUCUUGAUAUUGCUAGCCCUGGCGUCUUUGUAUUUGGCAUCCAAACCCUGUACACCCCUGGUUCAUCUUGUAAGCAAUAUACCUGCCCUCUGGACUUAGUUAUUCGCUCAGCUUCCUCUGUAACCAAGAUGAAUAUGAGUGUAAAAUUAAUAUUAUCGAUGUAUACUUAGUAUAACUUGUUAACACAACACCCCACAAACACAUGUAGAGAAGGAGAACUAACGAGGUAAAUUGGGCUUAAAGUCGACAGUAAGUUGAACUGCUACCAGGCUGCCAUCAUCAGACGUGGUUCCCAACACAGCCCGAGAAUCACCAACAUUUGCUAUGAUAAUGAGUUCUCCCUGAAAAAGUUAAUGUGGCAAGGCUGAGGCAACUUUCUGCUUGAAUCUAAAAAUUUCUAAUAUCUGAUAGUCUUUUAAUUUAGUUUUCCAAACCAAUAAAAUUUUCAAGGGACAACGGUAUAGAUUAUCCAGCUCAGUCCAGAAUGAUCUUAGAAAUCCAUUUUCCUAUCUUCAUUAAAAUAUCUGUAACUUGCUUUUGGUUGGUAGACAAAGAAACAAGGGUGGCAAAGAAGAUACCACCUAUUGAAAUCAUUUUAGACAACCUCGACCUUAUUUGUAGCUCUAAACAGAGGGUUGGCCUUGACCACAUGGGAAACUAAUUCAAACUAGGACAUGCCCGGGAAUUCCCAUACAAACUAGAGGUCUGUUCCUCAUCUGUACAAAUUAACCUCAAGCUUUUCAAUAUGUCACUUCAGCCAAAGCAUCUUCUGCAUCUUAAAACUCCUUUUUCUUUCUUUAAUUUCAGUAUUUGACAACAGAAGACAUAACAUUAGAUAAAGCUGAAUGGUGGUCAAGGAAUCAUGUAGCGGACUUUGAAAUUUGGGUUACGAGGUUUUGUUAUUUCAAUAAUAACACGAAGGAAAUCUACUAGAAGUGAUAAAACUGAAAACAAGAAUCAAUUCAAAAGAACAAUAAUGAAAUGACUAAUCAAACCAAGCAGUUAUCUGCUCAAAUUAGAUAUUAUGCAGCUACCUGUCGAACAAUUGUCAAAGCUGUGGUGCCACUGCGAAAAGAAUCAAGAUCUGCAUGCUGCUCGAGCUCCUCAUCAAUGGCAGCACAAGUUUUCAAGUAGGAUUGCCUCCAUAUAUCAAAUGGGCAAAGGUUUCUAUCAAGUCCCAUCAUGUCAAAACCCUGAGCAAGUGCAAGAGUUUCUUGCCAAUGGCAUAACAAAAAUGAUGGCAUCAAUUUCCUGACCCUUUUGGCUACAUGGUGCCCCCACAAGCCAUGCCCAUCAAAAAUCCCACAAAAGGUCAUGUCUUCUUGGCAUCCAAACUCCUACCAACCAAACCAGAAUUUGUGGAUCGAUUAGAAACUAAAUGGUAAUUAUCAUUUUCAAAGAACUGUUCUAGAUUCUAAUAACAAGUUUGCCAUAUAUUGACUUUGAGAUAUGAUUGGCAUACCUCCCACACAAUGAAGCAAUCUUGAUUCACUCCUUUCUUUCCUUUCUUGGAGAAGACAGAGGCAAAAUUACUAGAGCCCCUUGAAUUUAUAAUGCCUGGAGAAGUCAACAUCAAAUUGUUCCCCCUUGCUUCCUUUGCUAACGAUUCAGCAGCUUCUCUUCCAACAUCACUCCUCCAGCUCUCCCCUUUCAUGAGUGAUAUAUUCCGCAUCAAUGCGUCAAAAAGAGCCAAAAGAUUCUCCAUCGGCCUUCCCUCCAAAUCACACCUGCAAAUUACAUGGUAUUUUCCAAUCUAUUUACUCAGAUUAUCAAAUAUGAAAAUGACUCUCAUGUCUACUGAGUACUGGAAGAAGUAAAUGAAUUCAUUUGUUACAAUUACAUUCCAAUCCAAACAAUAGAAAAAGUAAGAUAGAAAAUUUUCUUUCGUUUUCCUCCUUCCUUUGCUACCAAACAUAAAUAAAUUAAAGCAAAAUACGAAGUGCAAUGACUGAAGGUCAACUUGAAGCUAAAAAGUAUUCACACUCGAAAGGAGCCCAACGGAACCAAAAGGAAAGACAGGAAGAUUUGAAAACCAUUCCUCCCCACACAGAACCGAGGGAAAGAAAACCUAUCCUCUCAGCUGAGUCCUUGGUCUAGUUUUUGCAAGUACAAACAAUGAAAAAUUUUCUCUGGUUUCCCCGACCAAACAUGGUCUUAAUCUACUGCCUCUAAAUAACAUAACCAACUGAUGUUCAGAGAACUAACACACAACCUUGUUUUUCCGCGGUGGUCAAAGACCGAUCACGCCGUCCCGGAGAUCUCUCCGGAGAACUAUUGCCAAACCAACUGAUAUUUCCAAUUCUAGCAUCUAAAGCAUAGCUUUUACCGGGAAGGGCCAUUUUUCAUUUAAGUAAAAUAGUAAUCAAAAUAUUUUAUUCAGAUUUGGUCUGAAAGAAAAUUAUAAUAUGGAUUAGGACAAAAUAGUAAAAUAAUUUUUUUUUUUUGAAUGGAAAUUGACUCAAAUAAAAAAUGUUUGUUCUGAAUUAAUUACAGUUUUUACGUGGAUGGAAAUUGAGGCUAAUUAAAAAUGCUUAUUUUAGAAGAACAGUGGGAAUUGAAUAAAGUUUUUCUUGUGGAUGGGAAUUCAUGAUAAUUUUAAAAAAUAUUUUGAAGAAGUCGUAAUGCAAUUACAUAAUUCUUGGCGAAGGAAAUGGAAUUAGUAAAUAUAAGUUCUUUUUCGGAGUGGUUAGAAGUAAUGACAUCAUGAAAGUAGUACAUUAAGUAUUUUAAACAAGGGUUUGGUUAUGGUAGUGUGAUAUCCAAGGAAAGUAGGCUAGACCAUUUAAUUUGAAAGCAAUUAUGGGUUUUUUUUUUGUGACAAUUACGAUUGUUCCUAUCAACUAUGUUUGAUAAUAUUAUAACUCUGGAAGGCAUGAUGUUUCAUCUUUAAGUUCUUGUCGAGUAAAUAUUAUGCAUGUAAUUCAUAAGUACAUGUAAUGGAAUGAAAUGUAAAUAGAAAGGUUUCCAUUGUUUUUGUUUAUACUAAAGUUUAUAUAAAGGUGAAUCUAAUAAGAACUUUAAGAAAAGAGGAUCUACAAGUUAUAAUGAAUAUUUUUUCACCUAUUCUUAGAAGAACCUUUUUUUGUCCCGUUGAUCCCAUUAUUUUUUUGUUGUUUUGUACCUGACAUUUUAUAUUAUGGUUUUCCCUUCUUUUUUUUUUUUUUACACUUUUAACCCCCCAUUUGCUCGUUACCCCCCAUUCGAUGACCCAAAUUUUACCAUAUGGCCUAAAUUAAAAGCUCCACGUGGUGCCACCAUAGAGUUUUCCAAACAAGAAAGUAGAUUUGAAAUAAGAGGAGAAGGCUAGGUUGUGUGUGAUGCUAUACCGAAACAAACAUUUUAUGGAGAAAUAUCAUCCUGAAUUUUACAGUGUACCUGCAAAGCCUCCAAAGGUAAAGCAAUAAGUGUUUUUGGAGACAAACGUUGCUUCCGGAUGCAGGAAAAGAGAUUCACCGAAGCAACUACUUUCAUGAAGUUUUAUACAACUGACGAUAAAUGAUUGACCUAAAAUACAUUAACCCCAAGUGGGGGAUUAAUUAUCAGCCACAUUAGACCUUCUCUCUAUCAUUUUUUGUAUUCAUGCUAACAAAUACUUACAACAUUGGGGGAGCCGUGUCUGUCAUGAACCUGAAAUCUUCACUUCACAUGACCGAGAAAAUGAUGGAUCUCAGGAUAACAUGCUGUGUCUUUUGAGUAUUAUAUCCGGGGAGGUACAGCUACAACGUGAAGGGCAGGGACCCCAUCUGCCGUGAAACUCUUUAAUUAGUGUGUAGGAAAAAACUCAGUGAAAGACUUGAGGAGAGGCAUAGUACUCGCUCUCAUUGAACACAGGUCUUAAAUCUUCUUUGCACAUGAAAUCUAAGGGGAAAUAAACAAGAUGACCCUUCACCGACUCUAAUCUUUCCAUGGGUUCGAUUGUCUUCAUGUCUCCAUUGUCAUAGGAUUCUAGCUUCAUAGGGGCUAUUCCUAAAUCAAUGGUGGUGUGGCCAAGUUUCUCCUUCCAGAUGGCCAUAUGUUGUCUCAUUGCAGCUCUGCAUGUGAUGAAGAUGAGAUGAAAAAGAGGUUAGCAGGGAGAAAAGAGAAUGUGAGAUGAAGAUCAGAGCUGCUUCAUACCUAGAAUGUAUGAGAUCGUUUGGGAUGCAAGAAAAGACAUCUUGGUAGAUUGUGGAAUUCGUCUGUCAAGGUUAAACACCCAUAAAUGGGAGUUAAUUAGAGAAAGAAUCAAGAGCAACAAACAAAUGAAAAAGACUCGAGCACAAUAGUAUAUCAACAUAAAGAUGUCUACACCGUUGGGAAGAUUUAGCAUGCACAAAAAAUUUGUCAUUUUCAUAUGCAGGGAAUUAUCUUUCAUAAAUUAAAAUAAAAAUGCAAAUCUUCUGAAUAAAAAUAAAUGCUUUCCCCACUCUCGGCGUUGACUUAUCCCAUCCAGAGAAUACUGGGAAAAAGAAAAGAAGGGGGAAAAAAAGAGUGGCCUAUAUAGAAGUUAAAAAGCCCAUAAAAUAUGGGCCAUAAAUUAGAGAAAAAUAUUUAAGCAAAAUUAUGUAUCAUUAAUAUAGUUAGUAAAGAAUCCUGAAAUUCUCAAAUUCAUUUCUAUUGGUUUGAUGUUGAGGAAAGUAAUGUAAAUGCUAACUUUGAAGUCUUUUGUUUAACAGUAACACUUUUCUUUUAGUUUUUGAUUCAGACCUUUGCAGUUGCCAUCCACACAUCUCUGUAAGUUGAAUCAACAACUGGAUCUUUUAUUUGAUCAAUCUGGAAAAAGAAAUAAAGAACAUACAGUCAGCCAAAUGAUAUGAGCUAUAGUUAGUUCCUCUUCAUUGAUGCUAUGGUUUGCUACAACCAACCCUCAGUCGCAUGGGUGUGGUUCAGUGAAGGCUUUUGAAGAAAAGGCUAAGCAGCAAUUAUCAUAUUUAUGACUAACCUCUCCUCCUCGAAGACCAAGGUGUUCUGACCACAGUGAGAGGCGGAGACUAUGAGCAAAUUUGCCAGCCUUCUUUGGUUUUCCUCCCAUAUAUGAAUCAACCAAUUCCUUGUCUUCAAUGAGCACGCCAAUCUGAAAGAACAAACAGUUCAGUGAUAAUUAAGGUAAACCUAAUCAUAAAAAAAGAAAAAGAGAAGCAAGUUUACAUUUAGAACAGAAAACCGUAUCAUUAGGUGGGGAUAACUCCUAAUUUUGGAAUUAUUCGCAAUGACUAAGACAAUGCAGGGAAGAGAAAAAUUCAGAAACUUGGUAGCAACAAAAAGACAACACAAGAACAACAGUUCUGAAGAUAUUAAAUUCAAUUUACAGUUUAGCUAUUAAAUAUUAUAUUGACCAAUAUUCUGUAAUGCAAUCUGCUUAAGUUCACAAUCCUGGUUCAACAAUCUAUAUUGUUCACUUUAACCAUGAUAUUCCAAUAUUGAAAUUAAUACCAAAAUAAAUAAAUAAAUAAAGUUCUCACUAUACAUAAACUCAUGAUAUGCAAGGAAACCCCAUGGUGGAACAAUUUCAGGAGCAACUAGUUACCAAAAAGAGGACUAGUGAUGGAAUAGAUGGUUCAUUUGUCUGAACAGUCCAGGGUUUCAGAAUGCUGAUACCACCUCCUAGACCAUAAAGAAAAACCAACCUUUUUAAAAGCAUUCAAAAUGCAUUAAGCAUUAAUUUUAAACAAGAAACAGCUCUAAAUUGUUUGGUGAAAAGUACAAAAGAAAUUUCAAGAAAUUGAGAAACCUGUAUCAAAUUCUAACUUGGGAAAAAAUCCACAGCAAUGGAAAUGGUGAACCUUAGUGUAGCAAUCCAAUUAUACAUAUGCCUAAACUUUAACCUCCUCCUCUGAAUAUCACAUGGGCAUGUUUGGUUCUCUCUGAUAACAGUUUUUUAUUUUUAUUUUAAAAAUGAAGUAUAGAACUUCUAAAAUCUAUAUUUGAUUCACUUUUUUCAGAAACUAUUUUAUUUUUAUUUUCAAAACAGGUGCUUUAAGAGAACAGUAAAAUGUGGCUCUAAAGUUUAAUAAUGUUAUUGAAAACAACUCAACAAGAACUUCAAGUUGUCAUUGACAUUUAUAACCGGGAGAUAGAAGGAGAAAAACUAAUGCUACUUUCUUCCACUCAGGUCAGAGUUUCAGAUAGAAAACAAAAACAACUGGAAGUCAAGAGUUAAAUAGGAAGGAGCACUGAAACACUUUGAAGCUUGAUAGUUGGGAGAGCAAUCUUGGAACAAUGAGAAAUUGGAAGAAACUUAAAACGAAUAAUCCCUUUAGAACUUAUUAAGGCAAGGCGACACUUCCACAGCCAAAGCCUGUCCAUAAACUGAGAAGGACAAAAGAGAGAAUAAAGUUCAAAAAAAGGGCGAUAAAAUAUCCUCCAACUCCUGUAUUUAAAAUAAGGGGAAAAAAAUAAUUAUGACUGCUGAGCUUAAAAUCAGUUCAUUUCAAAUCUUGUAUUCCUGAUUCCAUUCAUUUUCAUUCAAAUUUCUGUGAUUAAUUCAAUGGUUCACAUAAAUUUUCUUGAUCACACAAUAUUGUAUUUAUAUUUUUAAAGACAUGUAAUUUUUUUUCAUGGGUAAUUUUUUUUGGUCUUCAUUGGGUCUCAAAACUUGGAACCUUUCACAUCUCUAAUACAACCCUUUGUGACAUGGGUCAGGCCAAAUGAGCAAAACAUGUGAAUUUUAACUGCAAAUUUGGAAACAAUUCACUCACAAAAUUCAUCAAUGUGCUUUUUAAUUAUUCAAUGGUCACAACUAUACAAAUUUUGAUUAUCCUCUGUCUUCUGAAAAAUUGUUCUCUAAUUUAUCUUACCAAAAGUGUUUUUGGAUAAAAAUUUUCUGAAACUCACAUGUGAAGAAACUAAUCAUGAUAAAUCAGAGUUGUGAACAAUAAAUUGAUCUCAUGCUCUAGAACUGAAAAGAAUGAAAUACCAAUAACAAAAAUUUUAUUCAUGCAUAUUAGGAGAUAGAUUGGAACGCUGUGAGAAAGGAAAGUAGUGGGCAUCCAAGAAGUUGAUAGUAUGAUAGACUGAUUCUUUGUUAUUGGAUGAUGACUGGAAUACACAACACUUCUAAGAUUAUUCCUAACGAUGAAUAAAGCUUAGAAAAUAUGCAAUUUCCUCAGUCUUCUUCAGUUACUAUAAAUAAAAUUUCAAAUUCUCUGGUUUUUUCCAUUUCUGAAGCUGAAAACAUGGGUUUUUUUUUUAAUCACAUAUGAUAGGUUUUAGCUCUGAAGCAUGAACCUGUAGAAGAAUGAAUAAGUAUAAAGCAAAGGGAUGCUUGAGAAGUGAUACCUCAGAAUCUCUUGAUCCAAGCAAACUCCUAUCAUUAAUGUUAGCGGAUCCAAUCAAGGUUGUGCAGUCAUCAACUAUCAUGAUUUUGCUAUGCACAUACACCUACAGAAACAAUAGGAAUAUAAUGUGAAAAAUGAUAUACCACUGAGUUCCAAGCUCAAUUGUUUUUCCCAUGUCCAUUAUAAAAAUUUAAAAAAAAAAACAUGAAAAAGAUGCAUACAAAUAGAUUUUGUAAUUGAUUAGGGAACAUUGAAAAUAAAUGUACAUAUGUGAUUAUGUGCAUCAGCAAAACACAAUACCUGACUAGAGGCCACAGGACCUCCAUCAAAAAGUCUACCAUAAGCUCUGAGACCAUAGAAAGAAAUGUAAUCAUGUGUUUUAUGACCAAUAACAUCAUAAAGAUUUUGUAAUAUUGAAUUAUUUCCUCGGCAUAUAGUUCGAUACUGCCAAUGCAUUAUGGCUCUUACAGAUGCCGCCCCACCAUCAUCCAAACCACCCUGUUGAAAUUCAAGACAAAAAUAAAAAACAAAUCUCUUUUAUUUCAAAUGUCAAGGAACUUAAUCAAGAAUAGUACCUGGAAGCCAGGUAGGAGUGGUAUGACAAUAAUAACUCUGAAACACUUCUUAUCAUUGUAUGCUUGCAUAAUACGCCUGUAUAACACUUCUAAUACUCGAUUGCGUAUUAUCUCAUCACCUGAAAGACCUGAUAUGAAAAAUUGAUUCUGGGAACAAGUUGCCCCAUGAGCAGAACAAAAAAUCAGAAACAUUAGCAGCUAAUUGGAACUUUUGCAGGCCUCCUUGGGAUGGAGAACCUCCCAAUAUUCAGUAAGAAAUCAAAGGUUCAAAAUAAAUAAAUUAAAUAGAUAUCCAAUUAUGAAGGAAAACUUGUCCAUAUAAAUGUCUUAGGAAGACAUCUAAGACCCUAACAUGCUGGUAAACUCAAGUGUAUAUGAGAAAUAUGUUUUCCUGUUUAUUACAUGCUUCCAUGCAUAUUUCUACAAGUGCAAAAAAAAAAAAAAAAAACAUCCAUCGCAUAUGGUUGUCAACUAAUCAUUCAUUAAAGAUGAAAAAGCUCAUCUCAUUCUAUACCUCAAUAUAUAUAAAGUGUUCUGCCUUUUCUAUAAGGGAGCAAUAAGCAUUAUGAGUGCUGUCUUCAACUUGGCUUGUUCCAGCAGACCACUGACUGACGCUCCUAAUAACCUGAAAGUGAGAUAUUAUUUCUGAUAGUUAAACAAAUAAUAUUAUAAUGAAAAAAGGAUUCAAUCCCAUAAAUAUGCUAGAGUGACAACAUAUAUAAAUUUAUGGGCUUUGUUUUUUGGUCCUCAUUGUGAAUAAGGGCUAAUUGUUAGGGUGCAACAAUUCUGCUCUUAAGCCCAAGGAUGGGUCACCUAAAUGAUGGCUCUUAGAAUAGACUCACAAGAUAUGAUGUUAAAUGCCAUAACAGGUUUUGCUUACCCUUAUUGGACACAAACAAGUUUUCAGAUGAGAUGAUUAGAGUCUAAUCCAAGAAUUAGUAUCAUUAACCUACCCUCACUAGACACCAAUUGGUUUUCAAAUGGGAUGGUUAAAGUUUGAUCCAACACUAAUCACAAAUAAGGUACCAUUGUGUUGGUAAUUGGCUGGUGCUACUUAGUUCCUGAAUGAACCACAAGAGCAAGGCACUAGCAGCUUUUCAAACCUUAAAUCCUUGUUUCCCUUUCUAAAUAUAAAUGUAUACCAACGUUAACUAGCUAUCCAAUUUCAUUCCAAAUCCCUUGCCACUUGCAAAUCUGAAGACACCAAAUGAUAAUACAGGUUCUAGCAGCCAACUAUACUUAAAAGGAUAUAGGAAAAAUAUAGCAAAAUAUUUUUAAUGUCAUAGAAUUGUGAGAAUAUAACCAAAAACCAAGAGUAAUAAUAAUAUUCUAUAUUAUAAGGAAAGGACUGUAGAGUACUGACAAGGUUGGCAGGGUGGAUUCUACAUUAAGAGGAAUCCAAUUUAGAAAUGUGACAAGAGGGCAGGGACUGACAAGGCAACAAACCAUCAUCACAGCAAGACUUAAAGCUAUGAAAUUCUAUGCCAGACUAUGACAUUCAAUAGUAAUUGGGUUGCACUCUCUCUUUUUUGUUACACCUAUCAAUUCAGAUCCCUAAUAUGCCUAUCAAAAGAAAAAAGAAAAAAGAAAAAUGAAAAAGCCUGUCAAUAAAAGGUUGACAUCCAUAGUCUGUAGAUACAGCAAAAAAAGAAAUGGAAAGAUUUGCAAUCUUCACCAUGCAGAUGUGAUCUAAUUCCAAAGUCUGACAACAUCACGGAAAUCUAAAAUUAACAUUUUGGACUACAUUGAGCUUUUUGACAGAUUGCUGAUCUCCCCUGAGGAAUUCACCAACACAUCCCCCCUUAGGCAACUACUAUUUUUAGUGCGAUAAACUACUCAUCUACUCCUGAAAUAAUAUAAAUUAUUUAAAUUAAAUAAAUGGUAUUUUCAACUUGGUUAAAAUGUGCAACUCCUGAUUGAGAGCAGAUAAUUGAUUCUACAUCCAAACCCCAGGAUUCACAUAUCAUAAGCAUAUUGAUAUUAUAGGAAUAUGUAGGUUGCUGAUAUUUGGCAUAAUUUAAGAUUUUAAAGAACUUCAAGAAUUAUAUAGUCAUAAUUUUAAGAAUUUUAAACCCCUUCAAGGUUAUAGCCUACCUGACAACGACAUGGAACGCAAGGACCAACUUGUCCAGUUUCAUCAGCAGAAAGAACUUGAUUCCCCCGCUCUUGUGUUUCCCACCACUCUCUAUCACACGUUCUCAUUCCAGGCUGUGCCAUUAUAUCUGAAGACAUUUUUCCUUUCAGAUCCAAGGUAUCAAGGUCAUCUACAAAACCUUUCAUUGGCAUAUCUGGGACUGGUUCAAUUUUGGACUUGCGAAAAGAGAAAGAAAGACUUCUGCUGACCCUAGUUGGCUGAUCAAGGAGAUUACUAGAGGAGUCAAACCCAUUCAAUUUUGAUUCUCCAUGGGGAGAAUCCAAUCCAUCAGGCUCUUGAGGCAAAAGCAGUGGGAUAUCUUGGAAAGAUGACCGAGAGGAAAAGGAAUCCAGUUUUUUAAUGUCUUUAUAGUUGUUUUCAACAUUCUUCUUUUCAACCUCCAUCUCUCUGCUCCUUCCCAUGUAAUGUGGAAUGACCAUGUGCUGCUGAGGCAUAAGUAGUGGAAUUGCUUGCUCAUUUGGAGCUUUAUUUCUCUGCAGAAAAGUAUGCUUGUAUUGAGAUAAAAGGUUUAUUAUACUUUUGAAAGAAGAACUAGGGAGUAUGUAGUGAAGACAUCAACCUUUGCAUAGUUCCAACGCUGAACAAAGUGCCUAGCUACAUCACGACAAGGCGGUCCCCAUAGGGCACAAUGGACGUCAUGCCAUGGCAUACGAGGAUAUUUUCCACGAUCCAAUUCAUCUUUCAUUGUAUCUUCCCAAGAAUUUGGUUCAGAUUCCCUGAAAUUGAAAAUUCAUUACAAGUUAUCCAAUGUGAAAGAGCCAGAGUGAAAACAAACUUGCAAUUACUUAGAAAAGAAGAAACUAUUGUCAAUGUUCUCACACAAACUAUGGAGCUUGUCACCCAUAUGUUUACAAGGGAAAGACAGUCUCUAAUAUCAAAACAUUUUACAAAAAAAAAAAAAAAAAAAAAAAAACUGAUUCAAAGCAUCUGAUUGAGGGAAUAGUGCAUAGACAAAGCAUGCAUCUAAAAAAAAUGCUUUUGAUUUUAAUCCAGCGUAGGAACAGCAGCAACUGGUCCCUUAAAAAUUCUUUAUCUUAAUAGUGAAUGAUCUUGUUGAUGAAAACCCAAAACACAGCAUACCAACCAAACAAAUACAGAUCAAUGAAAAGAGAACUAAUUUAAACUUCGAGAGAAAAGUACAGGAUCUAUAUUUAAAAUUGUCUUCCAAUAGUCAUCCAUUGCAAUAAACUUUCUGAAUCAGGAUCCAGAUAUUGAGAAAAGAACUUGCCUUGGGUUGUAAUAGUCUUUUCCUGGCCACAUCAAAGGAGGGUGAUCACCUACUUUGUGUUCCAAUGUGUCAUAACGGCCAAAGCAUAGAUCCAGACCUCCAAUAAAGCAAAUCUGGUAAUCAACAAUGACAAGUUUUUCAUGGUGGGACCUGUAUAUAAACAGAAAUGACAUCAGCAACUUCAAAAAUUCAUUACAACAGGAAAUACUAUAGCUCAAUUCUUACAUCUAUAGGACUUCAAAGUAAAUUACAUACCACAGAUAAACGCCAGUUGAGAAAUGAUCAGGAUAUCGCAGUACUCUCACAUUCUCAUGAAUGCUAAGAAGCUUCCUUUUACUGUAGACACUGUUGAUUUUCAAAGCAAGAGCAACCUCUUUGUAGAGAAGAAUGUAAAUCUGCAGUCAUAAGAUAAAUUAACACCAGCAUCCCUUCUAGUGGAUCAAAGUAGGUCCCAUAAUCAACAGAAAGAAAAAAAAAUGCAGGAAUAAUGAUUUCCAGAGUCCAUGGAUAUGGAGUUCAGUAAAGCUACAUGAGUUCUCAUGUUGUGGUAAAGUAAAGAUUUUGAUCAAUGAUAUCCAGUAUCCCUCCCUUCAAUCCAGGUCAGUGGCAUCCAUCUCUAGGAUGAAAUGUCAUGAGUUAAAAUAUCCAAAUGAAUAUCCACUAAGAGCAUAUUGAAAAUCAAUAACAAAUGAUUCACAGCCUAUCUUCAUAGUGGAAAACAUCGUCACUUGGUGCAUAAAUGAAUAUCCUGAAAAACCAAUGGUACAACUAUACCAAACUGUGGGUUUGAUAUAUUUAGAUGAUAUAAUGGAACAUAAAUAUGAACAACCAUUUAAGGAAUAAGGGUACCUGAACACCUUGCUUAGCUUUUGCUUCCAGUAAAGCAUCAAGCCGAGAAGAAGCAUGAGAGUGAAAUGGACGCCUCAGAUACAGUUCUGGGCACACCCACCAGCCACAAAUAAAUAUCUGCAUCGAAAUUUCAUCAUCUAAGAAUUGCUUUAAACUGACUACAACGAUAAUCAACCAAGACAGACCACAACUGCAUUAUGUGCUAUAGCAGGAAUCUACCUCUGAUUUUGCUUCCUCAAUUGCGGAGGCAAUCGCUUCAAAUGCCGCUCGACCAUCGACAAACCAUUGAGCUAGACUACCAUCUUCACUCAAACCCCUUGGAGGUGCAAAAGAGCCAAAGCGGUGAGGAUGACACCAGCCCUCAGGAGGCCUAAGUCCAGCAUCAUUAAUUGCAGCAACCCAGUCUUUAACUUUAGCACUACUCUUAGCUCUUAACCUUAUGCUCCGGUUUCCGCAUGUCACCUUUAGAAAUUUCCUGUUGUCUGUUAGAGAGUGAACUUCAUCUAUCCAACAACUAAACUAUAUAUCUAUCCAUAUAUAUGUUCCCAUAAAUUAAAUGGACCAAUUUAAUUUCAACAUGAAGAUGUGGUGGGAAAAAUUCAUCUCAAAACAUAGCAAAAUUUCUUCAGCCACUAAAAUUUCAUGUCACUUGCUCUGUGAGGAAAAAGGCAGCACAAGCCCUAAUAUCUAGCUGUAUAGGGGUAGAAUCAGGCAAAAGAAUUAAGUGGCUGUAGUCCCAAAACAACCCCUACAUACUCUAAAUUACUGCAAGAAAGAAAAUCAACCUUACUUUCCAAAUUAAGUGUCGAAGUUGUCGAAUAUGUUAAGGCCCUUGUUUUUUAGGUUCAAACCAGACAAUAAACAGAUCUUUAGUAAACCUACAGAAAUUUAUAAGCAUAACUUCCCUCUCAAAGCCAUUGCUUUAUUGCAGGGCUUCUGAAACAUGUGUUUCUAAUAAGCAGACUCCCAUACAUCAGUAAUCCAGUACCAUAUUAGUAGGUUUUCAGCUUCUCAUAUACCAUAAAUACAUAUCCUUUCAGUUAGAUCGAAUCAGAAGAUACCCCAAGCAUGGCACACUAUGGUUGGUUAGUUAAGAAAAUAGACUGUACACAUUGAGGUGGUGAUAUUGAAAUUUCCAAUAAUACAAUAGGAAGUGAAAUGAACCUAAAGGCUCACUGGAAAGGCCAGUAGCCUGUGCCUAUUCCAUUUAUGUGGUUCUGGGUGGAGUAGAACAACAAUAGACCUAACUUCCAGAAUUUUUUAAUCCAGCCUCUCCACCAGAACCAAAAAGAAUAAAGCAACAGAUUUUCACAAGAUGAAAGGACCACAUGCUUCUUACCUUUAAUGCAUGGCGUAAAGGGUUCCUUUCCUUUAUUUCUUUUGCUAAUGAUAGCCGGCCCUCCCCAUUUCCAUCUGAGGCAGGUAGCAGAUCAAAAACAAUAAUAUCUAAAGGCUGAGGAUGAAAAGGAUCUUCCAGCAAGGCCAAGAAUCCAGGUUUCAAUACAGCCCACACCUGCAUAAAAAUUCAAGAAUGUGAUAAAAUGAAAAUGUAAGAAGAACAAAAAAACAAAUGCAGACGUACUAUCAAAGGACGAUAAAAAAGAGAAACACUUGUGCAACAUGGUACAGAAUAUAAAUCACACACUAAAAUUUUUCAUAUUUAACCACAAUUUAAUGUUAACACUGUUAACAAUUCACAAACAAAACUGAGGGAACCACAGGUUUGUCAGUACGUGCCGUUAUAUGGCACAUAGAGUAGAGAUGAACUAGGGUGAAAGAAAAACAAAUAACAAAGGAGAUUAUAAAUAAAUGUGCAAGCAUAAUAAAUUAAAAGAAUGAGAGUAUAGGAUCUAGGAUCAUGGUACUCCCAGAUAUGAAAAUAUAAUGCAGAUAGUGAGCAAGAAAUCCAAUAACAGUAAGCCUACAGCCCUGUUAAUAGGCCAGAGGGCAGGUCAAAACCUUCAAGCUACAUUUGGUUCAUGGAAUGGGAUGGUUGUUGCUUUCCAUUCCAUCAAUUCCAGUAUUUGGUUAUGCACAACGUUUUUCUUUUAGAAUUUUAAUAGGUUUGUGGCACACAUAACACACCUAGGGAUGUGAGUUUGCAAAAAUGAUUGCUAUGAAUGGGUUUUAAAAUAAUUGAAGUGACAAGCAGAUCCUUUUAUUUGUUACUCAAAUUACAAUAAUAUCAUAUUGUCCAUCAAACUAUCUUUAGAAAGUAAAUUAAUUUGAACUUUUGUAGAAGGUAAAUGACAAAUUACGAAAAUAUUCUAGAAAAAAAAAAUUAAUUACAAUUCUAAUAGAGUGCAUAAUAUACAUUGUGGGCCCAAAUCCAAUAUGCUUAAGCUUUUAGGAAAAUUAGUAUUUUAACAUGACAUCAAAGCCUUGUUUAGUGGGAGAUCAAGAGUUCGAGCCUCACCAUUGCAUGUUUAAUUACCCAAUUUAUUUUUUUAAUCAGAAACAAACAUAUUUAGUAAUUAAAAAAACAUAAGAAGGAUGAGAAGUCCUCCCCAGGAUGUACAAACCUGCUCAAAAGAACUAAGAAAACCUCUGCUAAAAAAGGAAUGCUAUACAAAAAAGACAAAAGGCCUAUACAAGUAUAACCACUUCAGACCCAAUUUUUAUUUACCUAAUUUAUUAAGUCCAUAAACCCAAAAAUGGAGGUUACAUCUAAGGGAGGAUGUUAAAGUGCAUGAUAUACAUUGUGGGCCCAAAUCUUAUAAGCUUAAACUUUUAGGAAACUUGGUAGGUCAAUACUAAACAAAAUCUUUUGUGAUGAAUUUUUUUUCAUAAAUAAAAUAUACUUGUCUGAAAAAACUGGAACAAGAAUUAGAUAAUUAAAAACAUAAAGAAUAAUAAAGUUGUUAUUAGUCAAAAUUUAUCAUAAAAGGCUUCACAAAAGCACAUAUCUUUUUAAUGGAACUUUAUUUUUUGUUAUCAUUACUUAGAACCAUUACAGAAAUCUAUGAUUAAAGUAGAUCAUAUUUUAACACCACCAGGUAGAUAAGAAACUUCUCAAAACCUCGGAAUUCCAAUAUGGAAAUGUUCAAUUGAAACAGAACCUUUUCAAGAUACCAUUAAAUAUAAUUUUUUUUUAGGAUAAGAUUGCAUUACCUUUUGCCAAUUGUCAUUGCAACAACUGAACCAAGGACAUGGGCAACAUUUUCUAGUAUCGUCUUCCUUUGGAAUUUUUGGUAAAUGCUUGACCAUCACAUAAUCUUCUUUCAGCUUUGGGCCAUAUUCCGGAGAAAAUGAUAACUUCGAAACCUCCAAAAAUUUGCAAACCUACAGCAUAGAAUAACCCACUGUAAGAACCAGGUACUAUGCAGUGGUGCCACUCUCAAGCACACCACUCGUGCAUGGUGCCACCUGUUUCAUUUAUUUGAAUAAUGCUAAAAAAUAUAUUCAUUUCAUUCUCAGUUGUCCCUCUCAAGGACUUCACCAGUUGACAAUUUCUUUUAACAUAUAUGAAUAUUCUUCUGAUGAUGCUUUUUUGAAUUUGAAUAUAUUUUGCUUUUUUUAUAUAAAUUUUUUUUUAUUUAUAAAAUAACUGAAUAAACCUUAGAGAUAAAAAAUAAGAAAUAAAAUUACAAAGAUAUUAUUUAAUAAAAUUUAUUACCAUUUUUUAAAAUUCUUCUUAGAAGUAUAAAUUUUUUAUAUAUAAAAAAAGACACAUAAUUAUUUAAAUAUGGCUUUUUUUUACAAAUAUAUUUUUCUAUAAAAAUAGAAAAUCGGUUUACUAUUAAAUUUUGAGAACAUAUUGGUUGUUUCAAUUUAUAGGCAACCAUAUGCACAAUGACCCAAAUUUGAUUUUUUUUAAAAAAAAUUAUUUCUACAAUAUUUUUAAAAUGUUAUUUAAAUUUUUGUAUUUUUAAUUGAAAAAACUACUCUUUCUUAUGUUAAGGCCCUUCCCCUCCCUCCCUCCCUCCCCCUCCCCAAAAAGAAAAGACAAACAUUUCUACACCCCUAGGGAGAGUGUACAUUCAGUUGAAGACAAAUACAUAAUAUCAUAAAACAAUACAUAAAAUUUUAACUAGCAAUUAGACACCCAUUUUUGACAACAGCAACUAAAAGAUUGUUCUAUUGACAAAGAGAUAAUUAAAGGAAGAAUUAUGGAAUAGUAGACCAUUUAAAAAAAAAAAAAGGAUUUUGUUAGAACCCAAACUUAACCUUUUCAUAUCAAAUACAUAAUAAGAUAAAAUAAUCCCACAAGACAUGCAGACGAGUAAUUAUGAUGGAAUUCCAAAAUUGCCCAUUAAAAAAAAAAGUUGUCCAAAACUCCACAUAAACUCUCUUGCUAUGUAAACAUCCACAUGGUAGCAAAAGAGGGAUUGCCACACAAGCCCAUGCCCACAGUUUUAAAAGGCACAAGGAGCACCUAAAGUGCAAAAGUCUCCUACAUCGUAGGUGCAAGGCACAACACAAGGCACACACUUGAGCGACAUAAAAUGUGACCUAAAAUGCAUAUCAAUUUUAUAAAAUAUGAUUCAAAAUAUAAUAAAAUCAAUAAAAAUUUAAGAUUCCAAACAUGUAAGAGAACGAUUCAAUAAAAGAGAAACGAAAAUAUAUAAAUUUCAAUAUGUUGUUAGAAAUUUAAAAAGUAAAAGUGUUUGAAAGGGAAAAGUAAAAUAGACGAGGUGCAACUCUCCAACAAAACGCAUGCCUUGGCAAGCAAUGCACUAUAACUAGGGAGUGGUUGCUCCUUGAACCUAGGUGUGUGCCUUCUAAAACUAUGCCCAUGCCAUUAAAAAAAAAAAAAAAAAUGAAAGAACCCAAGCCCUAACCUAUUUCUCAUCAAAGCACUUUCCCUCCCACAACACUUACCAUGUCAAACCAAAUUUAAAGCCAUAACCAAGCCAAAAUCCACUCUAUCUCUACAAAGAUAUUGAAAUCUACUCUAGUUUUUCAUUUGAUGCCCAAAUCUAAUUCAUCUAUUGCAACCCAUGCUCAACAGUGGUUGGCCCCUCAAAAGUCCUUGUACUUUGAGUCCCUAAUCAUCCAUCCCCAUCAAUGUGUUUAUAUAUAUGGGUGUUUCUUUUUGUAAUGUUAUUCACUUUCAAAUGUCUUAGGUUUAGAUCUUUUUGUAAUUUUUCAAAGCUCUAGUUUCAUUGAGGUUGUUUGUAAUUUUUUUUGUGAUUUUGAAAAAAAGAAAAAAAAAAUGGAAUGAACUUUAUGUUGAUUUAGUUGUAUCCAAUUGAAGGUGCAAGAAGUGAAAAAUAGUUGUGAAUAGAGUAAACAAUUAUUAGCUAAAGGAAUUUAAUUAAUGAAAAGAAAUGAAUGAAAUGGAUUUCAUUUCUUAGGUUUUCAUAGAAGGUUUCAAUACAACUUCUGCAUUUUGUUGGUGCUAUGUGGUUUUGGGUUCUUUUCCUUUUCAAUCCUGAUGUUUUGUUGUUUUUUGGGUUCUUUAUACUCUCUUCCGACAUAGCAUAGAAUCAAAACAACAAAGCACAAAGGGAAAAGAAACCAAAACAAUAUAGCACCCAACAAAAUACAAAACUUCCACGGGAACCUUCUAUCAAACACUAAGAAACAAGAUCCAAUUUCAUUCAUUCCUUUUUCAGUAAUUAAUUCCUUUAGCUUAUAUAGAAGCAUAAAAAAGCUCAUUCUUUACUACUAUUUUUGGUAUAGGCUCUUAAACUAUAUACAACUAAAUCAACAUAAUGUUCAUCCCAAAUUUUUCCACAAAAUCACACAAAAAGUUUAUCAAACAACAUGAAGAAAUAUUGAGCUUUGAAAAAUUACAAAUAAGCUCAACCUAAGGCAUUUGAAAGUGAAUAACAUUAUAAAAAAAUGCACACAUACAUAUAAACAUAUCGACGGGAAUGGAUGAUUAGAGACCUGAAAACUUACCAAUCUUUUGAAAAAGAAAAGAGAUCUGAAUGGAGCCAAAGUACCACGGUUCUUGAGGGCUGAUUAGUGUUGAACGUGACAAUAGAUGGGCUGGAUUAGGGUGUCAAAUGCAAAGCCAGAGCAAACUUCAAUAUUGCUGCAGAGUUAGAGUGGACUUCAGCAUGGUUAGGGGUUCAGAUUUGGUUAGGGCCUUUGAUUUGGUUUAGCGAGGUAAGUGUCAUGAGAUGGAAGGUGCUCAAACAAGAAACAGGUUAGGGCCUUGGUUCUUUUAUUUUGGGGGUUUCUUUCUUAUUUUUUUCUUUUUAUAAGUCCACCUGUCAUGCCAAGUUAGAAUGCUUACAUGGCAUGGGCUAGUUGGCAAAUCCUACUUUGGCUGCCAUGUGGAUGUUUAUGUGGCAAGAGAGUUUCUGAAAUUUUGGAGAAAUUUUUAAAAAAAUAGCAAUUUUGGAAUUCCAGUAUGAUUAUUGUUCCAGUGCAUGUUUUGGGGAAUUAUUUUACCCCAUUGUGCACUUGUUAUGGAAAGGUAAAGCUUGGGUUCUUAAAGAAUCCAUUUUUUUAGAUGGCAUACGGUUGCAUAAUUCUCCCCCAAUUAAAGAAAUGUGAAGUUCCAAAGUUCAAGUAUGAACAUUACAUACCUCAAGAGUUAUAAAAAGAGCAGAAAUCAAAUAACUAAACACAACGCAUCAAUUAAUUGGAAGUUUUCUAUUAUCAAAAUGAUGUGACUAGAAUGUUUAGGUAGGAAUAUCAUUUCAAGAACAUUAGUGUGCAUCAGAAUAAGGAGCCGAAGAAGACUUGAAAAUAAACCUUCGGUAUAGAGAAUUUAGUACCAUUAUAGACACUAUUGGGAGCAUCCAAAACAAAUGAAGAGCCAUAUGGUAGUUUUUAGGGUACUUCCACAAGGAAUCAAACCAGGAAUCUUCUCUAUCCCCACCCCAACACCUUACUACUUGAACUAGGCCUCAAGGAUUAACAUCGUAUAUCCACCUUAAGAGAAGCAGGGUGUUAAAUGCUACGUAAUAAAGCAUUAGCAUUAUCAAGGACCCCUUGUCAGUGCAUUAAUCCAAAUGAAGAGAUUUAAGAUUAAAAACUUUGUCAAAGCAGCACAAGACCUGAAAUAGAGGGUUUUUUUUUUUUGUUAGGAUGCAAAUCUUGCAAGAGAGGUAGUGUGCUUUUCUUUUUUUUGGUGGGCUUAGUGGCAGAGAGAGGAAUUUGAAGUAUUCUUCAGAGACAUGGAAGCAAUAAAUUUUGAAUUUAGAGUGACCAAAACUCUAAUCGAAUUAGAUAAUCUAUUCUCAAUCCAUGAACACAAGCCAAAACAGUGAUUAAAACUCUAACUGAAUUAGACAAUCUAUUCUCAGCCCAUGAACAGAAGCCAAAGCAGCAGGGCAUUAUAGGACUUAUAAUAAGACAGAAGAAACUCAUUUAUUGCAUAUUAGGAGCAUAGAUGAUAAUUGAAAGGGUUCUACCUCUUUGCAGAUGACAUAAAUAUAACUAGCAAAAAAAAAAAAGAAAAGAAUACAGACAACUAACUAAAGGUAUCUGAAUUCAAAUGACUCAAAAUAAGAGAGGCAUCACUAUGUUCAAAAUGAGGAGCUUAAACAUACCUCUCGGGAGUUUACUAUAUCCAAAUUUCCAAGAAAUAGAUUAAGAUACCCUUGCAUUGCAACCUUUGCUCUAUCAGAAACAGAAUUCUGCCUUCCCAGGGCUGGCCGAAUGAUUGGCAGAGCAGCACUAGAUGGAAUAUCUCUGGAAAAAAAAAAAAAAAGGCCACCCAUAAGAACUCUAGCAGUACACAGAUGUGCUUUAUUUUUAGCAUCCAUCUGACAAGAACAAGAUCCAGCAAUCACCUGUUUUUAACACUUUCAUCAUGAUGUAAAGGAACAGUUUCCUCAUCAGGUUCAUCAUCAUCAUGCACGACUGCUGUGUGCUCUCCUAUUCCUAUGUUUUGAAGCCAUUCUUUAACCUUUAAAUGUUAAAUAAAAACUAUAUCAAAAACCCCACACCUUCCCAACUAAACAAUAAAUGGGAGAAUCUUCCCGAACUUACGUUAUCAGAUACAAUAAAAAACAAGGAAAAAAGAAUGAAGCACACCUGCUCUUGCUUCUCUUGAAUUUCCUCGAUAAUUACUCGUUUUUUUAACGCAAAGUGUAAAAAGAAUACUUGUGAAGCUUUCUUUAUUAACCGCCACUUGAACUGAAGUAUAAGAACAAAAGAUUAGUACACCAAAUUUUAAGGUGUUCACUUCCAACAAAAAGGAAAAGGCACCACUAUGUAUUGGGGACAGAAAAAGGAAAAGAAAUAAGAGAAAUAUCACACUGACGGAGAAUAAAAACCUAAAUUUUGUACGGUAUACAACAACAUGAAAAUCGUAUUCAGAGUUGAAAAUUCAAUAAAUUUCCACUAUAAGAUUGUUGUUGAUCUGCCAGCAUUAAAAGAAAAUUAUCAUUAUCAUUGUUACCGUUCUCAUUGAAGGAAGAGGACACACCUCUCUCCUAGGUGUCUCAUUUCACACUUGCCAUAUGUAAAAUGAUGUAAAUAACUGUAUUUUACCCUUAUGAUACAAAAUGAAAGAAUGCAAUGAUAAUUACACAAUAAUAAUCCUACAAAACUUCUUUUUGUGCAUGUUACAUCUACAUGCUUGACAUUUACCAAAUGUUAAUUCCUAGUGUUCAUGUACGAGUUUCACUAUCAUGGCCAUAGCAUGUGUAUGCAUCUACUGUGAAUAUUAAAGGCUAUGUACAGUAGGGCACCAAAAGUAAGUGGCCUAACCUGUUUUAUAAUUUAUCAUGCUUGAACUCCACAUAACAAUAAAGAAAAUCACAUUGAUUGACAAAAAAGGUAAUGAUCUUACUUAGCAUGAGUGAUACUCAUUUCCUUGCAAAUGAAAUGGAUAACAAUGCAGUUGAAUCAAUCAUAUAAUUUUAAGUUUAAUUCAUUUAUCACAAUCUUGAACCUAAAAACCCCAAAAAGACUGAUAUCAGCUUAUUCAAUAAAUCAAUUUUAAUCAAGUCAAUGUGAUUUGAACCUAACCUAAGUUUCCAACCAAGAAACCAUCUAAAGUUGCCGAAUUCAACUAAGCUCAACCUCCGAUAAAAUAAUCAUCAAACGCUAUUGCCUUCGGUUUCAAGAAACCGAGGGUUAUUAAGAACUUAUAAAAUCGGAAAAUAACAGCAACUCUAACCCCAACCUGGAAUAAAAAUCAAAAAGGAACUCCAAAUUAUUGUUCAUCUGACUCUUUUCUUUUUCUUUUUCUCGCAAAGCAAACAGAGGCGUAAAAAAUAAAUCCAGAGAACAACAAUGAAAAAUAAAAAUAAAAAAACGAAACGAUCUUGCCUGUUUAUAUCGGAAUUCAAUGGUGUAAGUUAACAGCGCGGGGCUGAUGUCGCUGGCAUCGGGCCGAGAGACGAACACGAUUGUGGCCUUGGGCAACUCGUCGAAAAUCCGAGUUGACUCCGGGCUCUGGCGGAAGCUGAAGAACGACGAUAUCGUCGACGGCAUCGGCUCCGAUUGCAUUUGAAUGUAGCGUGCCCCAGCGCCGGACAUCAAGUCCUCCGACGCCAUUGAUUCCGAUCAGACUCUGAAGUCUCUCAGUCCCUCCCCUGAGAAUUUUGAUUGAAAAUAGAGAGCCGUUCAACGCCUUGUUACGAUGGCUCCGGAUCCAAGUUCCAGAGAGAGAAAGCAACAAAGAGAGAAAGGGCCGGAAAUUGUUGGUUUUGGUUUUGCUUCAAAUAAAAACAACUGCUCUACAACUACGUCAAAAUCUGGAAACUCAUAUUGAAUUUUGCCAUUUCAUGUAUAUGGGUUUCGGAUCUAAUACAAUCCGGAUGGUUCAAUGAUCCGAACCGGAAAAUUCAUAUCGGAUUCUUAAUCCAACGAAACUUUUAAUCACGUUUGGCUGCCACGCUUCCACGUGUCUCCCAUAAUUUUCAUCAUCUAUGAGAUGAGGGAAGUAGGCACGCCUGAACUAAUGUUUUGAAAACUAUAUACUAUUUUCACCAAGUUUCUAGACGCUUCCCUAUAAAUUAUAAUUGGGAAAUUUCCAAAUUAUCCUUCUUAUUUUUAAUUAUUUCUUAUAACACAGUAUAUAAAAUAAAAUAAAAAAUAUCUAAAAUUUAUUGACUCGAAAAAUUAAUUUUUAUUCUACAAAACGAAAAGUUGUUUUUAAGAAGAGUGUUAAAUGUUCAGAGUUUUUUAUUGGUCUGUACAAAUUUUCAGAGAAGGAAUAUUAGUUGAUACACAAAGGAAGAUGCCACCAUAUUCCCCCUUUGGUAGUUGCCUUGAUUGACUUGGAAAUGAUUGAACCAAAGGAAGUCGGUGGCUCGCAGUCGCAGACACCUAUUUCUUAAUUAUUAUUUAAGAUAUAUAUAUUUUCUCUGUUGGUUUCGUGCCAGACUUGUAGAUGAAGCAUGGCAAGCAACCAAACUGGCAUGCGAUGCAUGAUUAAAUUAUUUCAGAUUUCGUGAAUUAAUGGAUAAAAUUAUGGGUUCCAUGUAACCAUUUUAUUUAAUCAUCUUCCAAGGGUUUAUCGCUUAUUUUUAACAUUGGGUACAAAUUAAUUUUUGUUAAGCACACUUUUCUCUUGACAACAAGAAUAUGACAUAAAAAAAUUAUGAUAUCAAAUUCAAUAUCAUACCAAAAUUUCAAUAUAGAUGGUUGAAAUGCAGAAUGAAAUCUAAGUUAUUUAAUGAGGGUAUAAAUAAGUGAAAUCAAAAUAGAAAGUAAUAGAAUAAGGUAUAAAUAGGAUCAAAGUGUAAAUAUGGCACAUUCUCAUUAGUGACCCCUUUUCAAGUACUGGUUCAAAGGGAUGAUUUCAGCCAUUAAAAUGUAUGUUUUGUUAUUUUUAAAUCGCAGCUUAAUAUUACAACUAUAGUAUAUAUUUAGAGAAGGUGGGAGGGUCGUGGAAUUUGUUUGCUUGGGAGUAAUGGUAACUCAAUAUAUGAAUAUGUGCCCAUAUUGGUUUACAGCUAGAUGGCAUGGGGCAAAGAAUUGGACCACAUGGAUAACAGCCAAAAUAUUUUGGGCAUUGGACCACAUUGGGCUCCCAGGGGCUUCUUUCUAAAUACAGCAAAUUUUGAAAGUUAUUUUUAAAAAAUGAUAAUAUUUUGGAGGGAUUAUAGGAGCUUGGCUGAUAAGAUCAAGAACCACCUGGAUGGUGCUACCAUCAAAAUUUGCAAAGCACAAUCUCAAGAAUAACAGCAAUCCACAUCCCGAAUUGAAUCUUGAGGCUUAAAGCAUCAAUUGUUUUUAGCAAUCUUGAAUUCAUAACAAUAACUCGUCCCAACCCAGCGAAGCACAGAGGUAAGUAGCCCUGAUACUAAAAUCCAAAAAUAAAUAAACAUUUAAAAAAAAAAAAAAAAAGAUAUGCUACUGUUUGAAUAUACCGUUCCAAUUUCGGAAAAAAAUGACCUCAAUGCAUUAAGGUGCAACGGGACUCAAGACAUUUUUAGCCGCUGCUUUGUAAUCGGCUUUGAGCAAAGCAGCAAGAAGAGAACAAGACAAACAAGAUCAACUCCAAACAUUAUGAACAAAGCAAACUUUUAAGACCCAAAACUGUGCUUUCAACUAAUACGAGUAAAUUCUUAUGUUUAACUGAAGCAUGCACACAUAAUUUAAUGGUUCGCUGAAAUCAUAAAUGAACAAAGCACUCAACAUAUGGGAAAGUACCUAAAACUUAAUAGAGGUUCAAGAUUUCUUAUAAAGAAAAAAUUGGCCACAAAAAGAGAACAAUAUUGGAUUAAGAACAAAAUCCUACUGCAGAAAACCAAGAGAUUGUCAUCUGUUGUUAUCAGUUCUUCAAUGUUCAUGGUAGAGGCACCUCUCAUCACUUCUUGGCCUUUUUAGUUCCCCUACAAGAGAGAGAGAGGGGUUAGAUCCACCUGUUUCAAAUAGAUGGAUAAAACAAAAUUUCACAUUUCUUACUCAGCAGGCUGGGGUGCAGAUGCUGGUGGUGCCCUUUCCACAGGUCCCUGAGUACAUUAAGACAUGAUUAUAAUUCACAAGGUCAUCUGAAUAUAAAAAUACAAACUACACAUAUGCCUAUACUUCUGUGCAGGUUGGUUUUAAACAUUACAAAUGCUUCUAAAGUGUACAUGGGGCUUGGGAUAUUCUAGCACCUAGCAUUCACACAAGCUCAUUUUCAUUAUCCUUGCAAUAUCUCAUAUAUCAUUAACUAAAUUAAGCUAAAAGAAACAAUGUUGAUCUUUUUUCAUAGAUCAUUUUUGAGCAUCCAACAAUCAAAGAUACUUUCAAGCUUAUAAAGGACACUGUGGAAAGAAGAGGUUUGUACUCUCAUCAUACCUGGGCCAGGCGCUCCUCCCUCCGAGCUAGCUUCCUUUCUCUGCUUGCCUUGUUCUUAGCACGCUUAGCCUCAAACUGGUCAGAAAGAGUUUUUUCUCUUGCCUUUUCAGCCUUCGACUUGUGGAUACUCUCCAUUAGCACCCUCUUAUUCUUAAAGACAUUACCUUUCACUUUCAUGUACAUGUCAUGGUACAUGUGCUUGUCAAUUUUUUUGGACUCCCGAUACUUGCGGAGCAAGCGCCUCAGUACACGCAUUCUCCUCAUCCAAAGGAUCUUAGUGGGCAACCUUGCCUCCCUUGUACCCUUGCGUUUACCUGAAAAAAUUCACACAUUAUCAAGCUUCAUUAUGGUCUUAAGCUCUUCAAUCUGAAUCAAUGUGAAGAGGGAAAUCCAACCGGUAACUUAUCUAGAGCAACCUAGCACAUGCAUUAUCUAACUUGGGCAUAAAGAAAAUGAAAUAUUGAAAGCAUGGUAAAGUUAAUAAUUUCUGUCUUCACAUGGAGAAUUGUUUAUUCUCCUCUUCCCAUGGGAAUAGACAUGUCCAAAGAUGUCAGGUACAUGCACCACAAAUUGUGAGACCAAAUAUAUUCCCAUUCUAUAGUUAACAUAUUUUUAAAAAAUAAAAAAAUUAUCAUAUGAGUUAAAGUUUUAUGAUAUGAUUGUAACAAUGAAUACCAGAAAAUAUGAGGCAUGUAACCAUAAUUACCAGCAAAUAUGAGGCAUUCACUUUGUCUUGAGACAAACAAAAAAGGGUGCAAAAUUCAUGAGUCUUCAAAAGUUAAACUAAAGAUUGUUGGACAUAAAUUUAAAACAUGUAUAACAUUCAUUGUAGUUUUUAAAAAAAAUAAAAACACAAGAAAAAGAAUGAGAAAAUAAGGGCCUUAAAACAAAAAAACAAAUACAAAUACAAACAAUAAAUAAACACUGUUUAAAAACAGGAAACACAAAACAAAGAACACAUCCAGGUAAGCACCAUAAUGAGUUGCCAAAGCUAGUAAAAAUUUUCCCAAUACUUGGCAUCAAGACUUGCAAACAGCAAUUGAGAAAACUAUUGCAAAUGAAGAAACCAAUUACACAUAAACAACUGUUCUUCAUUUCAUAAGUCUAAAACCAAGUAAAAAAGAAAUGUCAUGCAUAAACACCUGUUGAUUUGAAAUGACAUUCAAAUAAAGGUUAUGUACAUCAACUGAUUCAUUACUGUACAUUGCAUCUAUAAAGAUAUGCAGCCAUUUAACCAUGACCCUAUACAUUUAACAAUUAACCAUACCAUAUCCAGAGUGACGUCCCUUUCUCUUGGCCUCCUUCAUUCUCCGUGCCCGAGAUCGAGAGUGGAUCUUAGUUGGCUUCCUGAUGAUAAAACCAUCUUUCACAAGUUUCCUUACAUUUUGCCCUGCAUUAGCAAUCAUUGAGGAUACCAUUACACAAAAAUGACAAAUAGAACUCUUGCAUGGACAAUUAGUUUGAUUUUAGAAAUAAAAGAUUAACCAAAGUAAUAUAUUUUUCCCUGCAUUAGCAAUCAUUAAGGAUACCAUUACACAAAAAUGAUAAAUAGAACUCUUGCAUGGAGAAUUAGUUGGAUUUUAGAAAUAAAAAAUCAACCAAAGUAAUAUACUAAAUCGACAAAUGAUAAGUAUCAAAGAUUAAUAUAAGGCCCCACAAACAAUCAUUUAGAAUAUGGCUUUGACCCAAGCUUCAACAGCAAAUUAUAUAUAAAUAUAUAUGAAAUAAGAAUUCAGCAAACCAAUUCCAUUAGAUGACCCGAGAUCAUCUACAUUUUCACAAAAAAACACACAUCAUAUUAUUGAAGGAAGAUACCAAAGUUAUAAGGAAAACCCAAAGAAAUAAGAAUCACAGAACAAAACAGCACUCCCCCCCCCCCCCCCAGCCCCAGCCCCAGCCCCACCCAAACCAAAAAAAAAAAAAAGACAACGAGGAGAAAAUAGAAUCAAGUACAGCAAGAAGAAGAAGAAAGAGGAGUAUCAGCAAGAUUUUGAUGUUGGACGAGCUUAAACAGGCAAUUUUCAAAAACAACUUCCAGCAAAUAAUUGAACCCAAGAAUUACCAAGUCUACUUCUUUCAAUAAGGAUAGUGUUUUAUACUAACAUAAACGUGAUAACCAAUAAGAUUACCACUCUACUUUGCUGUAAGAAUGCACCUAGUAAGGGGAAUUUUUCUUAACAUGAUUAAGAAGAAAUGGAUUUCGCAUGUAACUAAAUGUUCACAGCGAUUCAUCUCAAGAGUACCACGCUACACUACAAAAACGAUAAAAGAAAUAUAAACAGAGAAACAUCAAUCUGCUAAACCACUAAAAUCCACUGUCCAUGAAAGUUCCACAAACAAAAAAAAAAACGCAAAAGGAAUGGAAUCCUUCAACCGUCCCUCCAAAAUCAAAGAUGCUACAAAAGAUUCUAU
RNAcentral lists this long non-coding RNA (109681 nucleotides) under Vitis vinifera (wine grape). RNAcentral describes it as "long non-coding RNA (VVIN_LNC001269)". Lineage: Eukaryota; Viridiplantae; Streptophyta; Magnoliopsida; Vitales; Vitaceae. The record is from RNAcentral.